CUACAUCUUCUUCAUCACUUCUAAAUUUUCAGGAUUUUGAGUUUUUUUUUCUUUAUCUUCAAUGCUUGUAGAAAUUUAGGGGAAUUUGAUUGGGUUUAUAGUUUAAUGAAUUAGAAUUGAAUAAAUUAUAAGUAGAUGUUUGGGUUGGUUGUCAAUACUCGAAGAAAUUUGUAGCAAGAUUUUUUUUUGGCUCUAUGUUUCAGGCAUGUUGAAGAACAAGGAGGAUAAUGAAACUGGGGAAGAGAGAUUUGCUCUGCGGUGAAUUAGGUUUAGAGAAGAGUAAAUAAAAAAAUAAAAAAAAUAAAAGAAAAGAAAAAAAGAGGUGUGGGGUGAUAGGCGAUGGAAAUUAAUGGGGAUUACAAAUAUUUUAAUUAUUAAGUAUUAAAUUAUUUUAUAUUGUGUUUAUGUUUAAUAAAUUUAUUUAUUUCACAUUUAGUUUAAUUAAUUACUAUUCAAUCAUUUCUUAACAACAAUGGAAGAUCUUGAAGGAAAAUCAAGGGACUGUAAUUUUUCUUCCGAAGAGGAUGUAUCAUCAUGUCAAGCUUAUAUAGCGAUUAGUGAAGAUCCAAUUAUUGAAAAAAAUCAAUUAAUUACUAUAGUGUGGUAGCGAAUACAAGAAAAAAACUCACGAGUUGGUUUUGAUGGAGAUGAAAAGAGAACAACAAAAAGCCUGAAAUCCCACCAGAAGAAAAUCAAAAUUGUACAAGAUUUGAUGAAUGUAUUAUAUUGGUCAAAUAAAUUUGAGGCCAAGAAGCGGAGCAAGGGCCAUUGACAAUGUGAGUGUUAUUGAUGACGUGUUUUUUUUUUAUAUUUUAUAUAUUAAAUGUUUGUUAUUUUUGUUAUUCACAUUUGGAUGAUGAAAGACUACUGUAAUUUAGUCAUGAGCGCAAAAUUUUAACUUGGAUCACUGUUGGACAGUUUUACAAGAUGGCAAAAAAAUGAAGGGCUAUAAUCGGAAUUCAAUUCUCCGAAAGUGAAAAUAUUACUUCUAGUCCGAACCUAUUUUCUAGUCUGAGUGAAUAUGGAGGGGAUUCGAUGCCGGAGACCCAAAAUUUAUGAUAAUCAUUAAACACCAACAUAAGGCCGAUGGGGCACAAAAAAAGCUAUAAACACAAAAAGAUAAGGGCACUAUAGAUGAUACCACGAGACAAGAUGAUCAAAUGGCAAAAGUAAUAAGGAAUUACCAAGAAAAAAUUUAAGAUUAAAACAUAUUUCAAAAUUAUGAUGACGAGCAGGUCCUUAGUUGAAACUCCAAAUAGUAAAGCAUGGUUGAUUGAACAACAAAAUACCAUUAUUGCAAAAAGAUCAUCUUGUUCAUUGAAUUUUGACGAUGAUCUCUAUCACCCCGAAAUGCCUCCAUCAGAUUAAGUAUUUUGGUGUUAUUUUAAUUGUUUAUUUUUCAGAUUAUCGUUCAUUAUCUUAAAUGUCGUUAUUUUAGUUGUUAAUUUGAAUUUCUAGUGAUUUUUAAUAAGUUAUUAAUAUUAAUGUUAUAUUUUUUAUAUAAUUUCUAAUAUUGAGUUUAUGGACAAUCAAUUGAAACGAGGAUUAAUAUGAUUGACCCAAAUAUCACUUAAACACUCCAAUUUCUAUCUCGAUAUCCUUGCCAGACAUGAUCGACUAAGUCAUUUCGGAGCAUAAGAUAGCGAGUUGUAUCUCUAAGUCCAACACGGUUCUUAAAUAUUCUGAAAUAGUUAUUGGGUCUCGACUAAGCACAACAUGUUGUGCUCCACGUACUCGACAAAAUCGUCACCUUCUUGAUUGCGGUUGUCUUCCACGACCACAUUAUGAAGAAGUAUACGAGAUUUAAUAACAUCACCAAUUUGUGCAUUGUGACAUAAUCGACAAGGUCCUGUAAUAAACUCAAAUCGAUAUUGAAGAAUGCGAAAAGUUCUUUCAACAUCCUUUCGAUGUGCCUCUUGCAACCUCGUAAACAAUUGUUUAUCAUGUGCGUCCUUGCGGAUCGGGAAUUGCUUGACAAUAGUGGACCAACGUGGAUAUAUAUCAUCUACUAGAUAAUACUCUUACUUGUAUACUCUACCAUUUAUGGUAAAUCGAAUAUUUGUUGCUAAACCUUCGACAACAUCAUUGAAAAUAUAUGAGUUAUAUAAUACAUUAAGAUGAUUACACGCACCUGAUGGUCCAAAGUAUGAAUGUCGAAUCCAAGUAUUAUUUGAUGCUGCGGCUUCUAGUAUUAUUGUAGGUUUGCCAUGGCGCUCGGAAUAUGUACCAGCCCACGCAGUUUGACAAAUUUUCCAUUCCCAAUACAUACAAUCCACACUUCCUAAUAUUCUAGGAAAUCUUUGUUGCUCUGUUUUCUAAGUACUCUAACCAUGUCUGCAUUAUUAGGUCAUCAAAGAUAUUCCUCUCUAUACACUGCACUGACAGCACGACAAAAACACUUCAAAGCAUCUAAAGAAGUCGUCGCUGCUAGUUUUAGAUGCUUGUCAUUUGCAUCCGUAGGAUAUCUGUAAGCGUAUACGAAGUUCAGUUAUCAUCUUGAAAUGGGUGAGAAGCCUUGCUUUCCCGAGGCAUCCGACUUUUCCUUAAAGUAGUCGUCAAAAUGCAUGAUAUCAUUCAUAAUUCGUAAAAAUAUUUCACGCCUCAUACAAUUUCUAUUUUGAAAAUCAUCAGAAGGAUAUAAAUGACGAUCAACAAAGUAAUCAUUCAUAGGUCUGUCAUGUGCACCUAUUCGGUCCCUUAUUAUGGAAUAUCGGUAUGAUAAUGUUCAUCCAUGUUGUGUUUUGCACUUCCCCUGUGAACCCAACAUGAGUGAUUGGUAUUUCACGUACAUCGUCUUCGUUAUUGUGUGGCUUUGGUUUUCAUCGUCGGAAGAGGAGUUAUCACUUCCUUGUACCAUUUUUGUUUUUUGAUCAUAUGUAACUAGAUUGUAUAUAGAACAUGUGGUUAUUGUGUAAGGGUUGUGGAGUAGCAUUAUAUAAGACAAUGAAUAGAUAAUAGAUAAGAAUUGAAUGGCCGAGAUUGAACACGAAAAUCCAAUCCAAUGAAUUAUAGUUGGAUAAAAUGAUGAAGAUCUGGAUAAGAUGAUUAAGAUGUAAGAUGAUUAGAUAAAAUUUAAUGGAUGAGAUCGAUUGAAAUCAUAUCCAACGGUUGUGUUCAACAUUUCAUAUCGUUUUAGAAUUUUUCAUUUUUUGGAUCGAAGUGUGUAUUAAAAAUAAUUAAAAUUGUUCAAAGAAAAUUUAGUUGUCUACAACCUCUUAUAUGAAUAAAAUUUGAACCAUAAACAAAUUACUAUAUAAACUAAUCAGUAACAUUAUUUAGAGACUCGAAAUUAUAGUACCCUCCACUUCUGAAUUUUAUUUUUUAGAAACUCUAAAACUCUACUAAGUUUCUAUAUAGGUCUCUAAAACAGAAUUUGAAGACCCGAUUUGCUUAAUCCAUUUGAGAUGCCCUUAACUCUCUAUUUUAAGCUCUCAUUUGUCAAGCUGUGUGUCAGAAACUCUUAUUUAAAACCACUUAGUUUGAAAUACAUAAUCUAUUCACUUUCUAUGGCUAACCUCUCUAUCUAAAUUUUGUUAAACUGUUUCAAAAUGCAUAUUUGUACGUUGAGCUAUUUAUCUAAGCCCACAUAAAACCUUUUGAAAUGCAAUGUUGUUUGUUAAACUUUCUAACCAAUCACUAAGUUUUCUAUCUAAGUUCUCCUUUAACUAGUUUGAAAUGCAUGUUUAUUUUCUAAGCUUUAUAAGUAAGCUCCCUAUAUAAGCUCUCAUUUAAGACCUCAUAAAACAUGCAUAAGCUCGUUGCUAGAAUGCAUGUUUUUCUUAUUAGGUUCUCUUUCUAAGAUUUCUUUUAAAUGUCAUGUUUCUCUAUCUAAGCUCUCAUUUAAAUUUAUGUGUAUUUUCAUAUGGUUUUCAUCAAAUAUUUUUUUGCAUAAUCUCUUUUUCUAAGCUUCAUUUUUACAAAUGGGCUCUUUGAUACAUCCCAUUUCCUAAUAGGGAUAAGAUCAAUUUUAACUUCUCAAAUGAGACCCCCUUUCACUUAAAUACCCAAAAAAAUGUCUGCAGAAUAUUCAUUUGAAAAGAGAUAAAAGAAAAUAUGAAAUACAAUCAAAUCAUAAUUUCACUCCUAAUAUCCCCAAAUAUAACUCCCCCUAAAUCCCGCUCCCACUCUCCAAAAAAUCUCUCAUAAAUCUCACUUCAUUUCAAUUGUUUUUUUUUUUGUUUUUCCAAUAGGUUUGCCAAAAUUGACUACACACUCAUCGAAGUCCACUACAAACUUAUGGAAAUCCACUAUGAAAUUAAUGUAAUUCACUGCAAAAUUAAUGUAAUUCACUACGAAAUUUUUGUAGCCAACUUUAACAAGUGUAGAUAAGCAAAUCAUCAAUCAUAAGAAAAAACUUUGAUGUGCUUUGUGAGGAGAAACAAAAAUGGCUUAAAACUAAUGAUGUAAUUGGCGAAUUCGACAUCGAUUAUUUUCUCGAGAAACUCACAGCAGUGGAUUGGGAGACAAAUUCGACGGGUAAGAGACGGCAGAAAACGAAAGCUACACAAAAGGUGAACGGCGGCGGUGGAGAGAAAAGAGAGGGGCGUCUAUGGAGAGUAAAGACAGAUGUGCAAUGCCAGUGUGUUGUGUGUGUGUGUGUGUGAGAGAGAGAGAGAGAGAGAGAGAGAGAGAGAGAGAGUGUGUGUGUGUGCGUGUCUGUGGAUUCAUAUUUGAUAUUAAACUAGGGGUUAGAUAAAAGGGGGCUAUUAAUAUAAAAGAGAACCCCUCUAGCAUUUUUUUAAUAAAGAUGGGUCCAACCCCAUUUCAUUUAUUAGUAAUAAGUCCAACUUUUUUUAAUUCUCAAAUUUACCCUUUCUUACUAUUCACUCUCCACUACUUUAAUAUCUAUUUCAUUUUUUUCUUUUAAUUAUAAUAUUCGUUUACUUAUUUAAAAACUUUGUAAAAAUAUUUUUUUUUCAAUUUUAUUAUUUUUAACUUCCAGUUUUUUGUUUCCAUAUCGAUUAUAAAAUUCCGAAAACAGCUAUAAUUCGGAAUCAACUAUUUCCGAAAUCAACUAUUUCCAAAAUCAACUACUUCUGAAAUCAACUAUUUUCGAAAUUGACUAUUUCCAGAAUCAACUAUAGAUUGCUGAAAACAACUAUUUUUUUGUUCGUUUAUUUCUCGAACCAAGAAUCACAAAAAAUAGUUAUUUUUAAUAGCAGGUUUACUAAAACUAUAUCAACUACAAAUUAACGAAAAUCAACCAUAACAAAUUAAAAUCAACUAAAAAUUUAUCAAAUCAACUUUAAAAUUAUCUAAACCAACUAUAAAAAUCGAAAACAACUAUAAUUUAUCUAAAUGAACUAUAAAAUAAAAAAUCUCAACUUAAGAGAUUAAACAACUAUAGUUCAAUCUAGAUGCUGGACAUAACAGUCGCAUAUCCAUCGAGAAAUGGCUAUAUCUCCACCGACCAUGUGUUGAAUCCGAAGGCUGUGAGGGUGAUUUGUUCCAUCGCCACCGUCUGAACCACUCCCCAACUUCUACGUGCCAAUGACUCUCAGGUGAAGAAAGGACGCAAAUCCCUUACGUCAACCGUCAAUUACCACUCUGCCACAUCAGAUCGCCGCUGCGGAUACCUAAAAUGAUUUCAGAAAAAAUUAGUAUAAAAAACCAACUACACUCUACAAUAUAUCGAAAAUCAACUACAAACCACAUUUUUAUCGAAAAUCAUGAAUACAGAUCUGAACCGAAUCUGAAAAUUCGAUCUAAAAUUGGCAAAAGAUAGGAUGAAUUAACUGCUUUGCUCCGAUGAGUUUUUUAUUACCGGUUUCAUCCUCGGGCUGAAUGAAUAGGCAAGAGCCGCGACUCGAGGCAAUCGGAGAGCGAUUGUUGCCUACUGAAUGACGGCUUCUGGUAUUUGGCGAGACUCAAAAAGAGUAAAAGAUUAACGAGGGCACUGUUGGUCGGUGACGACGGCGGUGAAUGGAGGGCAGCAACGACGGCGGUGGACGGAGGGCAGUGACGACGGUGGUUGACGGAGGGCAGCGACGACGGUGGUUGACGGAGGGUGGCGGUGGGCAUAUGAGAUCUGGCUUGGAUUGGGGAUAGAAACGAGAGAGAGGUGGUGGCUGGAGAGAAAAAGGAGAUGAAGAAUAGAAAUAGGGUUUGGUGAUGUUAUAUGAUAACUAACGGUAAUUAAUAUAGACAUACCACUUAAAAUUUGAAUUUAUGUUAAAUUAAAAUAUAAAAUAAGGGGGUUCUCACUAAUAUGUAAAAUGAAGUUAUAUCUAUCCUAAUAUAAUCAAAUGUAUUGGGGGGUUUUCACUAAUUAUCCCAAUAUAAAAUAGGGAAAAUAAAGUUGGAUCUGUAUAAAGAUAAAUAGCAAAUUUGGGGCUCUCCCCAAAUUUAUUUCCUUUUAAAAACUUAUUUAAUUAAGCAAAAGAUUAUCAACAUAAAUCUUUAGAGGAAUAAUCAAUCUGUGAUUCUGUUGUAAUGGCUGUCAAUUCAAGAUUUAUAGGGUAAUUGGCACUUUGCACCCUCAAAUAACAUGUCUUUGACACUUUACACCCUUAAAUUGAAAAUAUAGCACUUUACACCCUCAAAUUAUAAUUUUACUUGCCACUUUGCACCCUACUACACAUUCUGCCAAAAAAAAUGACCUGCAACCGGUUUGUAACAUUUAAAGAGUGGCAGAUUAUACAGAGCCUCCAGUGGAAAGGAAAAUUAGGAACAGCACACUACAAAAGUCAUGCAACAAAUAGUAACUGCUAAUUUAAUUUCUUUUUAAUGAAAUCAGUUUGUUUUAACUAUAUAAAAUUUUGUAAUAUUAUUAAUUUAAAAAACAAAAUGCUAACAGAUUGCCCUCUGAAAGAGAGUGGUCAUGAAAGAAUUAUUAUCGAGGUAAAAAUAUUUUUUUUUUUUCCAGUGGUUUACAGAGAUGCUGCAUUUCAUUUUCAACAAAGAAGGGACUGGCGGUGGCGGCGGCAAAUGUGUAGGAGGAGGUGGUGGUGGUGGUGGCAAAAUGGGAUUAGACAAAUUUGUGAUAUCCGAGGUCUCAGGAUUGGAGAUUCUCAAAAUGAGAUCAGAAAAAUGGAAUUGGAGAAUUCUUUUUAUGAGCUUCUUGUUUGACCCUUCUCUCUCAUCAAUUGCACAAAUUGAUAAUUGAUGAUGUUUCUCUUUGUUGGAGUAUGUUUUUUCCAGCUUCAGACAACAACAUGUCUGGUUCUAAAGCAAAUUUCAGUGAAUUCAAGUAUAUAAGAUUUGACCCGUAUCUUUCCACCGAGCUCUGGGAAUUAGUCACAAUCCUUUAAUUUGAUCUGCACCGACACACUUGUUCUUCUUUGUCUUCUCCUCUGUUUCUUGGACAUCCGGUACCGGUGCCCGCUCUUUAAAUUUUACAAAACUGGUUGUAGGUGUAGCAGGGUGCAAAGUGUCAAGCAAACUGUAAUUGAAGGGUGCAAACUGCUAUUUUUUUAAUUUAAGGGUGCAAAGUGCCAAAGACAUGUAAUUCAAGGGUGCAAAGUGCAAAUUACCCAGAUUUAUAUGUUGAUUCAUUAAGAGUGAAAACUCUAUUCCAAAUCCCAGCUUAACAAUCAGCAACACAACGAAAAACCGCCACGAAACCAGUAUUUGCUCUUCAAACAAUGUUUUAAGCAUCAUAUAUUAUACUGCCCGUACGUGUUGCUGUAAACGGGGCAGCAAUUUCCAUGUUGUACAAUGAUUGGUGAUCGUGAAAAGGCAACAAAGCCAGCAGCAAUUAAACCAACUAAAACAAACAUAAAUUGUUCGUUCGUUCUGCCGUUAUCUAGCCAGUCAAGUUAUUGCUUACAAUUAGACGCGCUUGUCAGGAUUUCUCCCAAUUUACAGGGCUCGAACAGAGGACAAGAUUGCUUUGAAAAUUCAAGUUCCGAAGAUUAGGCAGAGACCAUGUUUUCGUCGGUAUUUUUCAUCGGACUUCUUGAUUAUUGGACACAUUGAAGUACACAAGAUAUGGGGCUUAAGCAAUAUCAGAGGGGAUUCCUCCGGUGAACCUGUUUCUAGAAAGACCCAGAUACGAAAUAAAUGGGAAAUUCGCAAAAUUGGAGAGACAAGGAGGAAAUUGUUCAAAAAGAUGAUUAAUUUGAGUAAAACCCAACCAGGACAUAUUUCAGGCCGGAUAACGGCCAUAUUCAAUACGUAUGAGCUGUGUAAAACCCAAAUAUCCAACUCUAAAUUACUACAUUGUAGCUUGUUUCUUUUUUCUUUUAUUCCGGGAAAAAAAGAAUAAAUCUCCGUUGUUUCGAAUUCGACAAGGUCAAAGGAACAACUCAAAUUUUCCAUUGAAUUUCAAUUUUCUUCCGAACCAAUGAGCCCUUCACCACUAAAAAAAUCAAACACAUAAUAGCAAAGAUCCAUUACAGGCCCACCAAAAAUUUGAAAACAAUAAAAAAAAAUAAAAUUAAACAGUUCUAAAUCUAAAGACUAGAUGCUAGAUGCUAGAAACAAAGAAGAACAACAGAGGAAGAAACCAUGAAGCCAUAAAUGAAGAUCAAGAAACCAAAAUGCAGAGCCCAAUUCCUCUUGAACUUACCGAAAUAGUUCUCAGGUGGCUCCUGAUAAUGUAUCUCCAACUCAUCACCCAUCUCAUCCACAACGCCGCCGCUGCUCAGCCGCAUCUUGAGAUGCCUCAGCCGCUCCGUCGCCAUCCCUAGGGUCAACUUGUGGCAGCGGCGCUGAUACUUGAAGCCGUUGAUGCAGCGGAGGGUCUGGGCCACAGAAACGUAGAAGAUGAGGUGGGCCAUGGACAGAAGCCCAAUGGGCAUCCAGCAAUGGCGGCACUGCAGCCGAGUUGACUGGGCCUGACCUAAAAACACCAAGGCCAAGAACAGGAAGAAGAGAUGGAAGAGUUUCCAUAGCUCCUUUUUCUGGAGGUCAACAGCUCGUUUUUUCUCCAGGGUUUUCUCGAAGUGGAGCUGGAUUAUUGUGUUCAGUGCUUGCAGGGCUGCAUCUUUUGGGAUCAUGUUGUGGUUGUGGUGGUGGUGGUGGCUGCUGUUGGUGGCGGGGCGGUCGUACUCCGCCAUUGGAGGCUACUGCGAACUGUGGAGAUGGUGAUAGUGCUACUAUUCUAGAGAGAGAGAGAGACUGAUAAGUGAUGACUGAUGAGGGGGUUUUAAAUGGGGUGGUACUUUUUUCCAAUUAAAUAUCGAUUUUUAACGUUUUCUUUCUUGGAUACCGAGUACAACACAAAUGUAUUUAAUUCCAAACCCCAUAUAUUUGGGUUAAUUAUAGAUUGCACCCUAUACUGAAUAGAUCAUGCAACAAUUGCCCUUUAAAUACUUAUCGUAAUACAUGGGGUUAUUUACAACAAUGGCGCAACACUGAAAAUCAAUUACAAGAAGGCUCCGGCUAUAUGCAAGACUAAUUCCACUUGUGCAAGACCAAAUUAAAAUUUUCAAUGUAUAAAUACUAUAAUAUCCUUAUUUAUUAAAAAAAUAAAAAAUUCCAAAUAUGCAAGACCAAAAAUUCAAAAACAUAAAAACACAAAAAACACUAUCACAAGACCAACUCUCAUCUUCUCCAUCUUCCAAAACCCACAAGACCUUUCUCCUUCCUCCUCCAUUAACCCACAAAACCUAGAAAUUCAAAAUCAUCAAAACUCAACAAAUCUUACAAAGAUGGCAAGUAUGGAGUCAGAAGACAUCAAAAUAGAAGAUUCUAUGAUGGAAUAACCCAAUAAUGUAUGCAUUUAUGGGUUUUUAGCUAGAAUAUCGAUUUUCCAAGAAAAAUCCCGCGCAAACGAAUUCGACAUGUACAGGUCGAAUUUUACAGGUAAAAAUCGACAUUUAGAUGUCGAUUUUGAUGUAUAAAAUUCGACAUUUGAAUUUGUGCUAUAAAUUCGACAUGUCAAUGUCGAUUUUUACCUAUGAAAUUCGACGCUUAAGUGUCGAUUUGUAGCAUAGUUUUUCGACAUCUUGGUGUCGAUUUUUAUUUUUUUUCUCAUUAUUUGUAUUUGGUCUUUGUUGGGUGCUAAAUACCAACACGCAAGUGUACGUAUCGCAAACAAGUAGUAAAGUAGACUCGUGAGAGUCGGAUGUCGAUCCCACAGGGAAUACGUAAAUUAUUUAAUCCUAAGUACCAAAUCCUAACAAUUGUGAUUUUUAUCCAGCCUACGCAGGGUUGUCAAAUUAAUUAACUAAAUAAAUUAAACUAAUUAAGAAAGCAAGUAAUCACGAGAAAAUAUCAAUAUAAAACGGAUCUAGGAUUUUAUCUUCCCCCUAUGCGAUAAUUCUUUACCCGAUUAAUCUCCUAUCAUGCAAGUUACGAUUCCCGAUUAUUAACCCAAGACACGAAAUUAUUCAUAACCAGCUGUCGCUGCGCUAUAAACCUAUUAUUCAUAAAAGAUUCACUAUAUGUCUAUGCAAACCUAGUAUAAAUAAAGCAUUAAAUAUCAAGUCUCGCAAACAGCUACCUAAGGUAUUAUCUGUAUGUCUACGAUAAUACAUGCAAUCAACACACGCAUUCGGUGAAAAACUACUCGAAGGCUCUCAUAUCCUUGUUCUAAUUAUUAAAACGAUCUGUCAAUCAAUUCUAACAAUAAUAAAUAGCAACAUAAGUUAGCUACGCUCAUGCACUAAAUAAAAUCAAGAUAGAAGAAAUAAUCGAAGAAUUAAACUUGCAUAAAAGUAGAAAAAUAGGUUCGAAUUACCACAUAGGGUUCCAAUAAAAUCCUAGAAUAAAAACUUAGCUACUCAUGUUCGUUACGGAAAACAUAAUAAAAAUACGAAAAAUCAUAAAAACAAUAAAAGAGGAGAACUACGAUGAAGAGUCGUCAAGUCUUCGUCUUCGUUCUUGCUCCUUGAUUGCGUGUCGAAAGAUAAAAACUAAAAACUAAUAAUAACGAUAAAAGGUAAAAGAUUAAAGAUAGGUCUAAUUGUGUGCUUGUGGCCUUUAAAUAGGGUGCAAAAAUAUAAUAGGGCGGGUUUCCUUGUGUAAUUAAACUUCCUUCACUGCGCCCCUACGUCCAUCCGGACGGCCGUGUGAGAUUUUUAACUAAAAUCCGCACGGUCGUGCGGUCUUUUAAUUCUCCAGAAUUCUGCUUUUUUCACUUUUGGCCCACUUUUUCUCUGAAUUUGCAGUUUUCACCCCAAAAGUUGUUAAUUCUCCAAUUUGCACCUAAAAUACAAAUAAUAGCCAUUUUAAGCACCAAUUAUCAUUAAAACACACCAAAAGCUCCAAUUAAAAGGUACAAUUAAGUGUAUAAAUAUACACUUAACACACCCCCAAACUUGAACUUUUGCUUGUCCUCAAGUAAAAUCAAAUAAAAUAGCACAAAACAAAACCAUACAUCUCAUUACAUAGAUCGAUGGGUCAACUUCGCGUUUUCAGAACUUGCAAUUAUGAUGACAAUUCAUAGGUAUUCGCAAGCUUAACAUUCAACGGCACUUAGUCACUCAUUAUUACCAAAAACCACAAAUCAUACAAUUGCUUCAAGUAUCCAAUAUUUGCAAGUUAAAGAAAGAAAGAAUUUAUACUUACAUGCAUAUAUUUGACUCCAAAUACUCACCAAAUUAUUCUACUCAACUAAUAUUGAACAAUAAGCUCUUGGGAUCAUUGGGACUUUGUGGCUUUCAAUUGUUAGGCUCUUUGGUCCAAGGUAGGUAAUAUGAGAAUGCGUGGCUAAUUUUCUUGAAUUGAGGUGAUUACGCCAAAAUUUGAAAGAUCGGUGUUUGAAACAAUGAAUUCACCUCUAGGGACUUUAAUAAACUCGAUUCUCCAAAAUUCACAUGUCAACACUUUUACCUUGAGGCAAUGGAUCGAGUUUUCAACACAAUUCAUCCACUAGUCCUUAUUUCUCCCUUCUAAUCUAUUCUUCUUCUUCUUUCCUUUUUUUUUUUUUUUUUUUUUUUUUUUUUUUUUUUUUUUUUUUUUUUUUCGAAGAAGAAGAAAGAUCUUAUAAAACAUUUCGACCGAAAUCCAAGGGAUAAUUAUUCAAAAAUCUCCACUUUUCUACCUUCUACAAAUUGGCUAAAAGAAAGAACACCUUUUCUCUCCGAGGCUCAAAUCAUGGUUCUAAGGAUAAAAAUUUAAAGGUAGGCUUGAAAGGCUCAAACGGUUCAAAGAAGACCCAAAUCAUAUCCCAAAUCACUUACUAUCAACACUUCGUAUCAUAAAUGUCAUAAGGUGAGAUUUAAAACCGAACAAAGCAUGAUUGAGCACAAAUAAAUUCCAAAUUUAAAAUGCAAAACAUUCAACCAAAGCAAUGCACAAGGUGUGAUUCCUAGCAAUAAUUCACUUCUACGUUCCGUUGAAUCGAAAGUUAAACAAAUACAUACUCCUUAUCAACAUAAAACAAGUAGUUUCAUCAUCAAACAUUGACCAUCCACCAUCAUCGUAAUUCAUCAAUGCAUUGAACAUUUUUUUUAUUUUUUUAUUUUUUUUUUUAUAUAAAAACGAAAAUAAUAAAACGGCAAUUAAAACAAAAACUAAAGCAUGCAAAAUAAAAAAAAAAAAAAAAAACACACAUAAAGCGCACAUAAACGAAAACAAGUAAUUAACCACCCCCAAACUUAAAAUUCACAUUGCCCUCAAUGUGAUUUGCCCGGAGUUUAAGGAUAGAAAACACCUGUUUACGCGUCGGGACCAUCGUUGGGCUGCUCGUCAACUCCGCCUUGCGCAUGAGCAUUACCAUCUCCGUCAUCAUCCGAAAGCUCGGGUACCAACUCAAGAAUCGGUGCGGGCAACGGAGCCGGUUCUUCGCACUCGGGAUUGCCACAUGCCAAAUGGCGUACAAUGGCUUGAAGCAUCUUUCCCGACCACCGUUGGAGGGAUUCGAUAGUGCUCACCUUGUGCUCCACCGUUGCAAGCCGAUUUCUCGUGAUUACCAACUCUCGCUCCAUUCUUCGUUGAAAUCGUCGGUCCGAACUUGUGCUUGGACCCUCGGGUGGAGCUAUUGGUUUGUUCUCAACGGGUUGCUCGCCAUCUUGGAUGGGUGCCUUGUAUUGCCGGGCCGCAAGGUCGUUCAUCGGAUUUCGAAUUGAUGUGAAAAUGUCUGUCGGUUUGGUUGGGACCUUCGCCUUUUUGCAUAAGCCGGUAAUGAGGCAAGGGAAAUAAAAUCCCUUGGAGUUGUUGACCAUGGAGGUCCAAAAUCGGCCGGAUAUGAUUGCGCCAAUGUUGAUCGGGGUGCCCUUGAGGAUGUAGUAUGCCAAAGCGCACCGUUCGGGGUCCACGCGAGUCCACGAGCGGGUGGGAAUGAGGUUGGCACAAAUGAACGUAAGGCACGCCUUGCCUACUUGGUUGAUGCAUUCCCACUCUAACUCGUACUUUUCUUCGGUUGAUAGUUCGGACCAAAUGGGGGGUCCAUCGCACAACACCUCGGCGAUUUGAUCUCGUGUGACCGCAAGUUGCAUUUGCCCCCAAUUGAAUGGUGUCCUGUGUCGGAGGUGAUAGAAAGAAUUGAUUGCUUAGGCAUUCCACUCGACCCUCUUGCCUCGAACCGUGCUCACGUUCCGCUCCUCUGUGAGGUGUAUAUGGUUGUUGGCGUAGAACUCGCGGACCAAUGAUAGGUUGAUCGAACCCUCCGGUUCCAAUAGUGCUUGCCACCCUCGUCGUAGGAAUUCUUGAUGUAACGGGGCAAAUUGUGGAAGGGUGAUCUCGUAGGCACGCUCCGUUACUAGUUUCUUCCCCUUUUGCUUCUCGAAACGAGCACUAGCGCCUUCGACACAAAAAGCGUCAUCGUCGGGUGUCGGAAUUUGGUCGGUUUUCUUGCCCUUCCCCUUGCCUUCUGAAGUUCCCUCGCCUUGUGAAGUGCCCUCCCCGUCACGUCCUCGUUUCCCCAUGACUUGAGAAUGUGUGUAGAAGGGAUUAGGAGUGGAUUGCUUUGCAAAAUUUCCCCCAAACUUGAGUCGGACAAUUCGUCGAACACCUUGUGGGCGUUCUUGGUGGAAUGGAUUUUUGGAGAAAUUUGCACUUUUCUUGAACCCCCUGCACAAAUUAGCAACAAACAACUAAGUUUACGUAUUAUGUGUGUGCAAUUGGUGAAUUUCUGGUGAAAUUUGUCAAGAAAAUCGAAAAAUUUAAAAAUAGGGGGGAGAGUUCGAAGUGGAGAGAAAGAGGGUUUGGAAUUUGUGAAAAUUGGGGUUUUGAAAACCCUUAUUUAAAAUGCCCCGUUUUUCCCUUCGGACGGCCGUGCGGGAUUUUGGCCUAAAAUCCGAACGGCCGUGCCAAACUGUCAAUUUGUACAGUGGCCCCUUUGAAUCUCGGACGGCCGUGCGAGAUUUUGGCCUAAAAUCCGCACGGCCGUGUGAAAUGCUGAUUUUGGGCAGUAGCAUCGUCCGCUUCUCGGACGGCCGUGCGAGAUUCCAAGUCUUUUUCCGCACGGCCGUUUGACAAGUUUCAAUAAUUGCAUUUAAGGCCCUGAAAAAUAAAAACUUCUUAUUAGUGCCCCUGAAACUUUUUUUUUUUUUUUUUUUUUUUUUUUUUUUUUUUUUUUAUAAAAUAAACUAAAAGCAAAACUAAAAAAAUUUAAAGUGACAUAAAAUAAAAUAAUAAAAAAAAACGAAAGCUCGGGUUGCCUCCCGAGAAGCGCUAAGUUUACAGUCUUCAGCCGGACUUUGUCUGCUUCUUUGUUCAAGCUAACGUGACCGAAGUCACUUGGCAAUUGCAUCCCUCUCCCCAAUAAUGCUCGUUUGGUUCGUUAGGUGGCCACAUCCACCUUGCUCGUUCAUCAUUGUCAUCAUCCCAACUCUUUUGACUGUCCCUCGGCGGAGUUGAAAUUGAGCUCGCACAAUAAACUUGCUCCGUCCGACUAUCUUUUCCGCCACCAUCUCCUGCACUCAAAGAUCCUUUCCCAUGGUCUAAGAUCAAAAAGUCAAAAUCGUCAUGAUUUGAAAAAUCCACAAGAUCAAUAGCAUAACAAUCAUUAUCAUCACAUGGAUUUUUCUUAGUGCUAAAAACGUUAAAUUUGACCGUUUGAUCAUGCACCGUCAUUGAAAGAUCACCACUAGCACAAUCAAUUAGAGUUUUCGACGUGGCUAAAAAUGGUCUUCCUAGAAUAAGAGGUAUCUCCCUAUCUUCAUCUAUAUCAAGUAUAACGAAAUCCACAGGGAAAAUAAAUUUAUUCACUUUCACUAGCACGUUCUCUAAAAUACCUUUUGGGUAAACUAAAGACCUAUCGGCUAAUUGAAGGGUUAUAGCCGUUGGUUCAAUCUCACCUAACCCAAGAUUUUUGUAAAUGGAAUAAGGCAUAAGAUUAAUGCUAGCACCUAAAUCAAGGAGUGACCUAAAAUUUCUUCCUCCAAUAGUGCAAGGGAUAGUGAACUUACCUGGAUCGCCGAGUUUUUGUGGAAGGGGUCGUACAAGGAUUUCACUGCAUUGCUCCGUGAGUUGGAUGAUCUCGUUCCCUUGCAAUUUAUUCCUCUUUGUUACGAGCUCCUUGAGGAAUUUCACCCACUUUGGCAUCUUUUGAAUGGCUUCGAUAAACGAAAUGUUGAUGUGGAUUUCCUUCAGCUUGUCCAAGAAUCCUUGGUGCUCCGCAUCGAGCUUCUUCUUUUUAAGCUUUUGGGGAUAUGGGACUUGAGGGACUCGCGGGAUCACUGUGGGUGAUGGUGGUUCUUUGCGAGUUGCUUCUUUUUCCUCAAUCUCAAUCGGCUCCUCGAUUACCGUAUUUUGCUUCUCCUUUCGUGGGACCUCUUCUAAUUGUCUCCCGUUCCUUAAACUCACGGCGUUGCAUUGCUCGACGUUGUUCUUCCGAGGAUCUUCUGUAUUUGACGGCAGUGCUCCCGAUGGCCUCGCUGUUAGUUGGGUUGCAAGUUGACCCAUCUGUGUUUCCAAAUUUCGGAUGGAGGCUUGAGUGGUUGUCAUGAACUGCGCCAAGAUAUUUGUGAGAUCUCCACCUUGAGGUUGGGCUUGAGGCGGAUUUUGGAAUCCGGGAGCUGGUCGUGAAUAGUUAGGCGGUUGACCUUGCGGCGGUGCUUGCCUUUGCCCUUGCUGAUUUCCUCCCCACCCAAAGUUAGGGUGAUCCUUCCAUCCUGGAUUAUACGUGUUGGAGUACGGGUUCCUCUGUUGUCGGUUGGCGUCAUGCACAUAAUUUAUCGACUCCGUUUCGCCUACGCCUUGAUCGGGAGCUUGGACUGCAUGGACUUGCUGCGUCUGCAAAGCUGCUACUUGCUUCGAUAGCUUCUCCAAUUGGGCCGUGAUUGCCGUGACUCCGUCUAGCUCCAAAAUUCCUCCCGUCUUGACUGUUCCGCUAUUCGACCGGUCCGAUGCUCGCAUGUAUUUAUUUCUGGCGAUUCGUUCCAAGAGCUCGUAUGCUUCGUCAUAGGUCAGACUCAUGAACAUACCUCCAGCUGCAGAGUCGAGCACUGUCCUCGAGUUGUCUUGCAGUCCAUCGUAAAAUAUUUGCAGUUGGCGCCACUCUUGUAGUCCGUGAUUCGGGCACCUCCUUACUAGCUGUUUGAACCGCUCCCACGUCUCGAAUAAUGCUUCACCGGCUUCUUGUAUGAAGUUUUGAAUUUCUCGCCGGAUUCUCUCAGUUUUUGUUGGGGAGUUGUAUGUGUUCAUAAAGAGUUGCGCUAGCUGGGCCCACGACGAGAUGGAGUGCGGUGCACGAGUUUGCAACCAUUCUCGGGCUGCUCCUUGUAGGGAGUGCUUGAACAGGCGGAGUUGCAGUGCUUCGGGUGUUACUCCGUUCAUCUUGUGCGAAUCACACGUCUCGAGAAAAUUCACCAAGUGGAGAUGUGGAUCUUCAUUAGCUAGGCCGCUGAAUAAUCCAUUGUUUUGGAGCAUAGUGAGGAGUCCCGCUCGAAUUUCAAAAUUGUUGGCUUCAAUGGGGGGCUGCUGGAUGCUUGAUUGAAACCCAUUGAGCGUUGGAACGGUAUACUCAUGCAGUGCUCGUUGACGAGGUGGUGGAUUAAUUAGCAGGCGUUGGUUUUGCUCGUUGAUGAUUUCUCCUGCCGCGUUCGGUGGACGCCUUUGGUCACCCUCCCCACGAUUAAUCUCUUCUUCCAUCGUUGCGGGAGUGUUUUGAGCUAACCGUUGAUUUCUCCUAGCUUGUCUGAACGUUCGCUCAAUUUCAGGAUCUAGAGGUAGCAAGCUCGUAUCGUGUCCUCUUCGCAUAAAAAGUACCUAAAAAAAAUAAAAAUAAAAAUAAUUAAAAAAAAUAAAAAAAAAUGGCUGAAGUAAGAAAAAUUGCUCAAAUUUAAUUUUAGGAUAAAUAAAUAAUUUAGCCGUAUUCCCCGGCAACGGCGCCAAAAACUUGUUGGGUGCUAAAUACCAACACGCAAGUGUACGUAUCGCAAACAAGUAGUAAAGUAGACUCGUGAGAGUCGGAUGUCGAUCCCACAGGGAAUACGUAAAUUAUUUAAUCCUAAGUACCAAAUCCUAACAAUUGUGAUUUUUAUCCAGCCUACGCAGGGUUGUCAAAUUAAUUAACUAAAUAAAUUAAACUAAUUAAGAAAACAAGUAAUCACGAGAAAAUAUCAAUAUAAAACGGAUCUAGGAUUUUAUCUUCCCCCUAUGCGAUAAUUCUUUACCCGAUUAAUCUCCUAUCAUGCAAGUUACGAUUCCCGAUUAUUAACCCAAGACACGAAAUUAUUCAUAACCAGCUGUCGCUGCGCUAUAAACCUAUUAUUCAUAAAAGAUUCACUAUAUGUCUAUGCAAACCUAGUAUAAAUAAAGCAUUAAAUAUCAAGUCUCGCAAACAGCUACCUAAGGUAUUAUCUGUAUGUCUACGAUAAUACAUGCAAUCAACACACGCAUUCGGUGAAAAACUACUCGAAGGCUCUCCUAUCCCUGUUCUAAUUAUUAAAACGAUCUGUCAAUCAAUUCUAACAAUAACAAAUAGCAACAUAAGUUAGCUACGCUCAUGCACUAAAUAAAAUCAAGAUAGAAGAAAUAAUCGAAGAAUUAAACUUGCAUAAAAGUAGAAAAAUAGGUUCGAAUUACCACAUAGGGUUCCAAUAAAAUCCUAGAAUAAAAACUUAGCUACUCAUCUUCGUUACGGAAAACAUAAUAAAAAUACGAAAAAUCAUAAAAACAAUAAAAGAGGAGAACUAUGAUGAAGAGUCGUCAAGUCUUCGUCUUCGUUCUUGCUCCUUGAUUGCGUGUCGAAAGAUAAAAACUAAAAACUAAUAAUAACGAUAAAAGGUAAAAGAUUAAAGAUAGGUCUAAUUGUGUGCUUGUGGCCUUUAAAUAUGGUGCAAAAAUAUAAUAGGGCGGGUUUCCUUGUGUAAUUAAACUUCCUUCACUGCGCCCCUACGUCCAUCCGGACGGCCGUGUGAGAUUUUUAACUAAAAUCCGCACGGCCGUGCGGUCUUUUAAUUCUCCAGAAUUCUGCUUUUUUCACUUUUGGCCCACUUUUUCUCUGAAUUUGCAGUUUUCACCCCAAAAGUUGUCAAUUCUCCAAUUUGCACCUAAAAUACAAAUAAUAGCCAUUUUAAGCACCAAUUAUCAUUAAAACACACCAAAAGCUCCAAUUAAAAGGUACAAUUAAGUGUAUAAAUAUACACUUAACAGUCUUACAUGAGAAGAAAAAAAAGUCAAUUUAAUUUAUGGACAUACUUGUCAUUCCAUCUUAAUAAAAUAGAAUAUUUUAGAAUAUUUCUUUAAUUUGGUCUUGCACAAGUGGAAUGAGUAUUGCAUAUAGGUGCAGCCUUACAAGAAUUGUGUGGUUUUAUUUUGAUUUACAGAAGUAGUGUAAAUCACCACUCAUACAGUGAAGAAAUCGCCUCUGCGACAUGUGAUUUCUAUUUUCUUUUUUUUCUAAAUGAGUUAAUUAUAUAUAUAUAUAUAUAUAUAUAUAUUUAUUUAUUUUUCUUUUUUUUCUAAAUGAAGAUUAUUUAACAUUUAAAGUUGUAAUUAAAUAAAUAUCACAUAAAUGUAAGAAUAAAUAUAUAUCAAAUACAUAAAUGUCAAAUACACAAAUGUCAAAUACUACAAACCAUGUAAAACACAUAAAUGCAAAAUACUUAAAAAUAAAUGCAUCAAUGACGUCCAAGAUGUCCACUGGUCCCACAUCUAGGCGGACGCCUGUUUCUACGCACUCUACCCACUGGUUCUUGCGGAAUAUCCUCUUCAAUACCAUUGGCAACAUAGUUCUCGCUAGAAUGACUUUGAGGCGAUGGGAUGUGAUAGGGAACGGGAGAAACAUUAAAAUGCAUGUGUAGACUCGUCACCUUGUAAAUAUCCUAAAUUGAGAUCCAAGAAUUCAGUCCCUGAAUACAUGUUCAUAUCGGACUGGUAUGGAGUUGCUGGUGUAUCCAUUUAAAAUGUGGUUGGAGUAUAAACAUCAUCAGUAGAAUUGGGAUAAGUACCAGGCUCAUUUCGAAGUGUGGAAGGACCGGCCUCAUUUCGAUAUGUGGAAGGACAGGCAUAAUCUCGGUACGUGGAAGGAUGUGCCACAUCUUAAUCUCGGUAAGGGAAAUCGGUCAUUUCUCUUGUAGACCUUUGAGUCAGUUGUGAGCCCUCCUUCUUCCUCCAUCAUGGACACUCGUAAAAGGCAUCUCGAUCAUGUUGAGCAUAUUAAUCAUAGGCUGCAUUUCUGGUACAUUGGUGCUCAUGGAGGCUAGUCAAAUAGCUUGAAAUAAAUUAUAAAAUAAGUUAUAGAAAUCGAGUAAUUGUAUGUAAUUGCAUGAAUGAAAUAAAAGAUUACGUACCACCAAAUUCAUAAUCGUCCGAUCUCCAGUCUGAAAAUCAGUGCUCGUCAAAUUGUCAAUCGGUGAUAUAAAAGGACGAGUGUGCUAUACGAUGCUUCAUGACCAUCCUAUUAUCUGGUCCAUUGAUCGGUUGAAAUGGUCCGACAGUCUGAAAUCUUUUGCCAUUUACCAACAUAUGUACUCAAAUACUCGCUCUAGUCCAGACCCGAUUGGCCUUGACGAGUCAAAUCAUGUAAUUGGUUGGAAAUAGAAACAUCUAUAUGAAGUGAUGGAAUUGGUUGGACCAUUCCGAACUGUCGUAAUUCUCUUUCCGGACGAUGCAUCUCCACUCAUGAAUAAAAAAUAAGUGGACAACUGGACACCAAAGUAAUGGUGAAACAAUUGUUGAAUCCGAAGCCAAUUAUUGGUACUCAAUAUCAUUGGUGUUACAUGGAAUCCAAAUGAACUGUAAAAAAAUAUUAUGAAAUUUACGAAUAUUAUCAACAACAUUAUCAACAAUAUUAUCAACAAUAUGGUACACAAAUAUUAUCAACAAUAUUAGCAAAUUUACGAACCUGGUUUGCCAAUAUUUGGUCAAGCAUUGUCCUAUAUAUGCGAACUGAAUGACUAGUAGUGUGAACAUAACUCAAAGGAUGCAACCAACUGCAAUGUGUUACGAAAAGUACGUGUAUUUAAACAAUGCAUAUAUUAAGUGGAGAUUUAAUUGCAAGAUUUGAAAUUAUAUUGAAUUGGUUAUGGUUAGAGUAUUAUCGUCAUAUUGUGCACCAUAUGGAGGCACUAGAAAUACAUCACCCGCGUUUAGUUGAAACACCGUAAUUGGAUCGUAAUCUUUUAAGUGGUUGUGGUAUAGGUGCUAUAUGGCGAAUUCUCGUCCAUGCCCACAACUGUAGUAGCUUCAUCUGACCUCCAACGACAUCCCUACGGUCUCUUCAUACUGUCGGCUUGCAUAGCUCAUGAUACAGUACCGUCAAUGUGGCACUACCCCAACUAUAAGAACGAACUGCAUCGAGGUACUCAAAAUGUUGCAUUGAGGUCCUCAAAAUGCUUCAGAUACAUCAAAGGUAUAGCAUUGUCAGUACUAACCGGAAUCAUAAUCCCACCAAGUAGCAUAAAUGCCAAUGCUCGAGUAAACUGAGCAACAUGUACAUUUGAACUAUGAUCACUGACAAAAUUGUCAAGCAAAUAGUCUCUAAGGGCCAAAACCUUUAACUUCUCUCCCCUAAGAUCAUUAGGUUAAGGAAGAAAACCUAAUAAGGCCCCACAAUAGUCGAUCCAAGCAGUUGUAGAAUAUAUAUAAUUUGUACCGACACGAAAAUGAAAGGUGUGCGUCUCUUCUCGCCAUCUCUCGAUCAAAUGAGUUAUAAGGUGAAAAUCAACAUUCAUGCGUCUACACCGAUAUACGCCAUAAAAUUCCAUUGUAUAUAUCAAUUUCAUUACUCAUGGAUGAGGAUGCACACCCGUCGGGAAUAAGGUCCAAAGGCCGUUAUCGGCACGUCUAACACGCACAACAUCGUCCAUAUUUUUCUCGUCAAGAUCACUUGAUUUAUACCGGCCUUGUAGACGUAACAAUGAUUGCGAGGGCCAUAUGCCUCCUUCACCAGUGCAUCCAUCUAACAAAAUAAUUAUAAAAAUAUAUUAGACAUACAAUAAACAUAUAUUAUAAAAACAUAUUAGACAUAAGUAUAUUAGGCUUAAUAGACACACAAUCUAUUACAGUAAUCAAACAUACGCUAAAUGCGCGCACAAAGUUUCACAAAUAGUUAAACAUAACCUUAAUGAACUCACAAAGUUUACCAAAUAAUUAAACAUAGGCACAAUCACUACACAAUCUAUUACAAUAAUUAAACAUACGAUUACGACCAACUCAAAGAAAUGCCUAAACAUUUUCGUUUCGACUUGCUUGUUGUCUAGCAUGUGUUUGCGGUAUAUCCAUUUCAUUUGUAUAACGAGUAGAACGUCUUCUGCCAGCUCGUGUCGCGUGACGCAAUGUCGUAUCGUGGAAUAGUUGACAAUCUGCAUCCUCCCAAUAAGCUUCACUUACAAAAGGCCGAAACACUCCAUUGUAUGUAGAUGAAUAGUGAGAAACACUAUAAUACUUCUCCACAAAAGCCGAAGCAUCCAAAUGAUAAUCACGACACACGCGUUGGACAUGAGAGCACGGGAUCCCAAAUCACGCCACUUUCCACACGUGCAUUCCCUUCUUAUGCUUACUGAAUGUGUGUUGUUUCCACUUCCUAUCAUACAAGCCCUUAGUAUUACCUUAGCCGAUUGGAGUUGUUGAUUAAACAUCCAGGUAACAUGCUUCACUGAUUCCCUUUUUCACUUUGUGAACUUAUUAUGAGUACAAUUUGAUCAUCGUUGUCCUUUACUUCGCAUAAGUAGAUGUUUCGCAACAUGUAUAUGAAACAUCUCAACAGCAUGGUGAAAACAAUAAUUAGCUAUAACUGUUGGGGGCAUCUUGCGAGCACCUUUCAAAACUCCGUUAAUUACUUUUGAGAUAUUUGUUUUAUUCUGACCGCAUCCGUCGUGAACUAAAUUCCAUUUCUCUGUGUCAAUACCAAUCAAGUAGUUGUAUGCUUCAAUAUUUUCAGAUCUGAUCACAUCCAUGACUCGAUCAAAUUUAGUGGUUACAUGUACUGAUCCGGCCUUUCAACAUACUUUCAACCUGACACUUCUGAAAUGGGAGUUCAAAUUUGAACAAAUAUAUCGGAGACAAAAACGAUGGACAAACCGGGUAGGCAAUGUCUCAACAACAGCAAGAAUUUUCAGGUGCACGAUGAGAGAUUAAACAUAUCGUAGUAGUCUCCGCGAUAAUCGAAAAUAGAUGUUGGUUUAGCAUCGCGAAAAACCUGCUCCAUGCACUCGUCUUUUCUUCAUCCACCAUAGCAAAUCCAUGUGACAACACUUGUUGAUUGGCAUCCAAAUACGUAGCAAUCAACAACUUGUGUUUGUACUUUGUGUACAGAUGAGUUCCAUCCAUACUAAUUACUCUGCAACAGAAGUUGAAUCCAUCUAGACAUGGCUUGAAAGCCCAAAAGACAUACUUGAUCACUUUCUGGCUUGGAUAAUUCAUCGUCUUACUCUGCCACUCCACAAUCGUUCCGAGAUCGAUCAUUUGCAAUACUUUCAUAUACUUGGGCAACUUCGCGACUAAGUUCUUCCAAGUACCAUAUAUGUUAUCUCUGCAACGUGUUAAACUGUACCACGCCUUCUGGUAUGAGAUAUCAAAUCAUAAUUCAGUAUACAUAAGUUGUUUGGCUCGAAACUUGACAAUAUGGUUUUUCACGAACUGUUUUAACCAAUGUCGCAGAAAUAUAAUUCAUGUCCAAAUUACGAUGGUUAGUAAACAUUCUGCCCAUAACACAAGUGUGAUCUCCACCAUACUUCGUGAUCUCCGACCCUCGCAACCCCCAACCGCAAGGUGUUCUUUCACUGUUAUGUUUGCAUUUCACCUUCCAAUACAUUGGUUUACUUUCAAAGAACUAGAGAGAAUAUCGGAGGAUUCCGUAUGUUCACCUGACUUAUCAAUCGAUCUUCCACAAUCGAUUUUUCGAGCUCUACAAGCUUUUUUUGAGCAAGUUCCGAAAGCUCGCGAGUCGAUUCGACUCAUUUACACCCCUAAGUGGAAUGGUGCAAUUAAUUUGACCAAAUAAUAAUAUUUAUUGCGGGUUUUAAGUGUAAUAACGUGUUUGACUAAAAACGAAUAUUAUCAGUCAAUCAUCUUACCGGCCACUAAUAUUUAACUAACAGAGUUCAAUAGCAUUAAGCAAACGAGCCCUAAGAAUGUGACGAGUGUGUGUGUGUGUUUGUGGUCUUGCAAUUAGAAUGUUUGUAUAUUGUCUCUAUCAAUGCUAUUAUCAAAUUUAAUUUAUAAUUGAAGGGUAUAACAGUCUUUACACCUAGGGGUAAUUGGAAAACAUUACGCUGGAGUUGGAUUAUAACCGUAGUUUGUUAGAUUUGUUUGGGCGGGAUAUUAAACUUCAAAUAUUAUAUAUAUAUAUAUAUAUAUAUGAAAAUACAUAUAUAUAUAUAUAUAUAUAUAUAUAUAUAUAUAUAUAUAUAUAUAUAUAUAUAUAUAUAUUCAAUUUCUAUAUUCAACUGUUCACAAAACGUCAUUUCACACAGAAACACCUAGAACGCGUGAAAAUGGCGGAGGAAAACCCCGCGAAAGAGAGCUGCAUCCGAAUUGCAGAAGAGCUGCCGGUGACCGCCGUAGACUACAUCAACCAGGAGAGUUGGGACAGUUUCUUCACCUCAAAAGGCACCGACGAUUUCUGCGAGUGGUACGCCGACUGGCCCCAAUUCCGGACCUCACUCAAAAACCUUCUCUCGUUUCAGCUGGCGGAGGAGCUAAACCAUUUCUCAUUUCCGCUGUUGCAGCCGCCGCCGGAGGAGGUGAGUAUUUUGGUGCCGGCGUGCGGGGCCUCGAGGCUGUCGGAGCAUCUCUACGAUGAAGGGUUUACGGAUAUAACGAAUGUGGAUUUCUCGAAGGUGGUGAUUGAGGCCAUGAUGAAGAGGAAUAUCAGAGUACGGCCGGAGAUGAAGUGGCGCGUGAUGGAUAUUACUAAUAUUCCGGUAAUUUUUCCCUUUUCUUCAUAUUCAGUACCCUAGGCCAUGUGGUUUUUAAGGCUUAUACACAAAUUCACUAGUUUCUAACCCUUGCAAUUGCACCGAAUGAUUUACUUCAUAAUAAUCAAAUUAAUUGUAAAAAUUGUCAGUUGAUUGUAAUUAGGAAAUCGCCGAUAUGUAUAAUAAAAAGUGGGCUGGUGUAUUUGUUCAAUUAUGGAAACUGAGAUUAUGGUUUUAUGAUGUGGGAAUUCAAUUUUGGGUCAGAGAAUGACAGAUUUGAAGGAGCAAGAAAAUAUGGUUAUUAGGAUAUCAGUGCCGUUUUUUGGAUUUAGUUCAUCUCCAAAGUGCCUGUUUCAAAUGAUUAAUCAAAUCAUUUUUAGUCAAUUAGCCUGUAAUUUCCCGCACUCUACUCUUUUGGCAUGGUUAUGUCAAUUACUAAAAUCAAGAACGGGAAUACAUUAUGAAGAAAUUGCCACCUUGUUCAUCAACCACUAAAGAAUAGAUUCUGAAGAAAUUGCCACCUUGUUCAUCAACCACUAAAUUAGUUCUGCUAUCACUUGUUUUAUUAAUUUCAUGAAUUAUUUGCUAGUCGUUAACAAUUACUCUUAGCAUCAUGAACUCAUUUCUUAUCCUAUUUUUUGGAACUCUUUUCUCUAUCUAUUUCCUUUUUCUAAUGAUUUGUAAUUGAUUCAGUUUCCAAGUGGGAUCUUUGAUGCCAUCGUCGAUAAGGGAGGAUUGGAUAUUCUGAUGGAUUCCGAGCAUGGCUCCAGAUCAGGACCAUUAUCUUAUAUAUCCGAGGUUUAUGAUAGUCUUGUUUGAUAAUGACACAAUUUCGAUAUCGUUACUUGUUAUGGUCCAAAAGUUUGACUUGUCAACAGGUUAAAAGACUGUUAAAAGCUGGAGGCCGAUAUAUUUGUCUCACCUUGGCAGAACCUCUUGUGCUAGGUACUGUUUCACGUUAUUAAUUAUUAUGGUGAACGUGAAGAUAGGAGUAGUUGGAUUUUUAUUCAGUAUAUCGUUUCUCUCUGCACUAAAUUAUUUCAAUCAUAUGACUCUCUCAGAUCUACUUUUUUCAAAGUUCCGAUUUGGGUGGAAGAUCAAUCUUUAUACCAUUUCUGACGAAGCAUCUCCUGGAACCACCACACAACAGACUUUUAUGUUGGUCGCAGAGAAAUCUUAUUUAACUGUUGUGUCUAGGAUAGUACCAUUCAUGGAUGUAUCUUUUGUAGAAACUCAGGGUAUUCAGGUGAGAGCAGUCGACCGUUUUCUUUUGACCUUUAAGACCAUGCACUUUGGUCAAGAUUCCGAACAAUCUGAUACCAGUACUGUUUCCUAGCUCAUUUGAACAUUUAUUUGGAUUACUACGGAUCUUGAGAAAUACAUUUACUUUUUGAGACGUUAUAGGUUGAUGAGCUACUUGAAGCACUUAACAGAGAAAAUACCAUCCGCGAAGAGUACUCCAAGAGCACAGAUAAAUGGUACUCACUUGAAGAGCUGAAGCAAGGGGUCAAUGGAAACAUUGGAGUGAUUGAAUCUGGUCGUGUUAUAAAGCUUUUUUUAGGUGAAACUGGAACAUCGCGUUUCUUCUAUACUUGUGUCCUUCUUGAUGCUCCUCCAGAGACUGGACCUUUCUCAAAACAAUUUCUCGUAUUAUACUUGCAGAAAGUUAGUUCUUUUUUCUCCCCUUAGCCCUUCACUUGUCGUUUUAGUUACAGUUUAAGAUUCUAUUGCUCUUCCGUUCAGGAAAAUCUGAAAAUAGAUAUACUUUAAUUGCUUAAAAAGUUGUGCAUAACGAGUAUAUUAAUCUAAUAUGAGAUUAUGGUGUUUAUUUGCUACAUAACCAAGCUCUAUCUCCUUCUUAUUUAUUGCUAAGUUAGUCUAUCGUAGAUCGUGUUCUUCCUGUCAGUUACUUUUCUGUUUAAACUUUUGCCAACCUGGACAGCAUUGAGUCUGUCUCUUUAUACCUUAUUUUCAAAAUUAACCAGCUUCAACUUCCAUGACUUUUUAAUAAUCUGUUGCCUUUCUAUUUAUUAGUUUUUACAUUUAGUUUUCAAUAUAGGGUCAGGCAUGUGUGCUAUAUAUGUUCGAGUUACUGAACAUUAAAUAACUCAUGUCUCUAAAGUUUAAGCUUUUGCAUGAGAUGUUCAUUUGAAUCUCACCAUCGUCCAUUUAUGAGAAAGUCCACAGACAAAACUUUACUAAGAAGUAGUCUAUACCAGAUGAAGUGUGUUAGAGUUACUGCUUCUUAAAUUAUUACAUCUGUUAGAGAUUAAAAUUAAAUAUGAGAUAAUCAUUCACCAUGUGGUGCACUUGCUAUUGGCAUACUUCACUACUUAUUUUGUUUCCAGUCCAACUGUUAUGUGACUGAGGUUUUCAAUUCAGUCUCAAGCUUCCCAGAAGAUCCUCGCAUCAGAAUUCCAACAACGGCUAGUUCUUCAAAGCUUCAAAGCUGCUCGACUGUUGAUUGUAAAUAUUUCCAGUCAUUUAUAAAUUUGGUGUACUUUCUUCCUGUACCUGCCUCUUCAUAUUUCAUUUUUCACUCACAUCAUUUUAUUGAUUGGUUUUAGAUUGUACUGGAUUCCAGUUUUUAUGGUAUUUCCUCUGACGAUAUAAGGGUAACAUUGAAAUUUAUUUUCAAUAUGUAAUCCAAAUUGUGAGCUGUAUACUUGAUGUAUACUUAAAUUUUUUAUUUUUUCCUUUUUCAGGAGGAUACCGGCUAUUUUGUCGCUGAACUGCGCCAAGUGGGAGAUGAUGACACUGAUGCUGAGUAAGUAUCCCAUCAGCAUCGCUUGUCCAAUACAGAACUCAUUUGAUAAUGAUUUUAGCUCUUGAUUUCAUAUUAGCCAUGCUACUUUUGUAGUAUAUUUUGUUUAGAUACUAUAUUUCAUCAGCUCGCCAAUUGCCCCCUUCCUUAUUUGCAAAGUUUAAAUCUUUCGUGGUCUUAGUUUAAGUGUUUUAUGCACAAGGUUUUGUUUCUUCAAUGGUAUAACAUGUUUAUGGGUUGUUCAGUAUACCAAGGUAUGCACCCUGUUUUGGGAACACUUGUGAAACGUUUUGGAUAAAUGGGUUUUGAGAUUGCAAGUAAGAUGGCCUCUUCGAGAAAAUUAUGUUACUAUAUUCUUUCUAAGAAUUGCAUGAGAAAUGCCAUUUUUCCCAGUCUUGUGUGAGAACAGACGAGGAAUCGUUUAAAACCUAGGACUAGGAGGGAAAACAAUUGAUGGUUCACGUACUAAUGGCAUUUUUGUUUAGAUUGAGUGAUAUUCUGCUAGUUACAAGAGAAAUAUGCAGUACUUCUAAGAGUAGGUGUUCCUUCAUACUGAUACUUCAUGCUUUGGAUAGUGAGAGAAGUCAUAUUCAUUUUCAUUGAAAUAGAACUUACCCUAUGGUGCACCAAGAAAUUGAUGGAAUGAGAGAGCAUUAAAGUUGUUGCAAUGGUUUCAGUGCAUUGUAGCUUUUCCUUGCUAUAAUAUUGCCAGAAUGAUUUUACACGUAUUCGUAUAAUUGGUAAGGCUUAAUAGAGUUUAUCAAAUGGAGCUCUUGCAGAUUUACGGCUGAUGAUGGUAGGAUUGAGGGGAUUAAGCAGAAUACAAUUGUGCAUCAGGUUGAAGAACUACUAUUUCUUGCCUCAUCUUAUGAGAUCUAUAGGAGUUGUAUUAAUUGUCUUUUUCAUGUGUAGAGUAAGUUUGUUCCAGAAUAUGGAUACAGCUUUUAAAUUGAUGUGCUAAUACUUUGGUGUUCACUGAUAAUUAUUACUACGUCUAAAGGAUAUUUUGACAUGCUAUUUUUUUUCAAUUCUCAACAUUGAUUAUUUGCUCUCUUAGCACACUUUCAUGGUUCUAUAUUCAGUGGCAUGUUUCUAAUGCAAGUUUCUAGGAAUAGAUAUUUCAUACCUACUGCUCUUUAUGUAUUUCCGUCUCUCAUUUUCCUCUCUCUACUUUGGUUCAUCCAGGUUUCAUCUGUCUCGACUGGUCAAAUCUCUGUCGAAGACGUGAGAUAUAACCAAUCUCAGGUGAUCACAUUCCGCCGCCUUUAUUUUGAAAGAGCUGAGAGUUUGAUGCAUUCUGAAGCUCCAUUAUCCACAGAAGCUUUCAGACAGAAGAAAGGAAAACCAAAAAAGAUUGAUUCUCACGGUGAAUUUCUGAUAUCUAUCAGCUUUUUUUUUUUUUUUUUCUUCUUAUGCACUUUAGUUACCACAUUUGGGUUUUGUAGACAUUUUAAAUUAUGACUUUUUGCUGCAUACAUUCAAUAAUUUUUUCCUUAAUGUAGCUGAUAUACAUGUACAAGAUAUUAGCCAUGUUCCAAUUCUAAGAAUUCAUCCAGAGCUAAUAGAAUUGGGAAAUAAAAUAACCGCAGGAGACUAUCUUCAUUGAGAAAAUUCAAACUCUGUUCACCACAGUGUGUCAUGUUCUCAUCUGCAUAUUAUACUAAGAUGAAAGAAAAUUCAAAUUUUGUCCUCCGAUUCUUUAUUUGCGCACACACAGUUAUAAUACUUUCUAGGAUUGGUAGACUUCAGGUUCUUUUGCUAGAACGUGGUCUGUCAAUUUAUAUUUAGGUUCCAGUGGCAAUAAUUGUAGGACAUGUACCUAAGGCUCAGUGAAACUAUCUUCAUUGCGAAAAUUGACACGCAAGCAGCUUUUACUAGCCACCUCUAAGUCAAUCUCUUUUUUUCCCAAGCUACCUUAAAAGCCUUUUAAACUUACUGUUAUCUACCGCUGAGGAAUACAAGUAGCAAUAUUUAUUCACCUUCGUUAAUCGUCUUUUUAAUCCGGGGCAGCAUCAAGUGGUGUUAAAGUUGAACACAAAAUUUUGACAACUGGAUUCCACAAGGGGGUUAUUGCUGGACUACUGUUGUUUUCUACACAUUCAAAAAGAACUACCAAAGCUGGUGGUUUGGUGAGCCAUCUACGAAUUACUUCCUCAUCUCUUUUUUGCUUAAAUGAUUCUCCAAAUAGAGGCAAAAAACCUGCAUAAGUGACUUAAGUUGCUAUUAACAUUGAUGACUAAUUUAUUUACUAAUUAAUAUAGUAUCUACAUAUUACUAUAUUAUUAUUCACUGUUCAUACAGCUGGUCGUGUAAUGGAAAUGAACUAAAAUAUUCCCACUUUUUUCAGGUCAAAACAGUGAUCAUUGGUCUUGGACCAGGAAUACUUCCUAUGUUUAUGAGAAAUCGCCUACCUUCUCUAAAGAUUGAGGUAUAACGAAAAUUCUGGCUGUGCUAAUUUACCAUUUUUUCAAUCCUUAUGUAUAUUCUUCUUAAUUUGCAAGGUCGUCGAGUUAGAUCCUGCGGUUCUGAAUGUUGCUAGAAAUUAUUUUGGUUUUACAGAAGAUGAAAGGUUGAAGGUGGUAUUCUAUUUUCUAACGUUUUCUUGUUUAAGGUUGUGAAAGGCUGUUGGUUCUAGCAUCCACAUUUCAUUUAGCUGUAACAUACAAAUGUUCGAAGAUGCUUACAUUAAUUCUGACUUAAACUGCCAAAAAUUGCUCAUACUUUUGCUACUCUCCUUCUCAUGUUCAGGUACAUAUUACUGAUGCAAUUAAGUUUGUCAGAGAGAGAGCAAAUUCUGAGGCAGGUAGGUAUAAAGUAGCAACAACUAGUUGUGUAUUGUAGUAAUAUAAAAAGGUUAAAACAGCAUGCUUAGCAGCAAGUACUUAACCGUAGUUCAUGCAGAUGGAAGCAAAGUUGAUUUACUCAUAAUCGAUGUGGAUUCAUCAGACUCGAGGUAACGUAGCUUUUAAUAAAAAAAAAAAAAAUCAUUUUUAUUUAUUUAUUUUGGUAUCAUUUUUUUUUCACCUGCUAGGUACUAUUUUUUUUUUGUUUUUUUUAAAUUGUGCAGUUCGGGUUUAAUCAGUCCAGAGGCAGACUUUGUUGAGGAAUCUUUUCUAUUGACCGUAAAAGACUCACUUUCCGACAAAGGUUUAUUCAUCUUUAAGUUGAUCCCGAAGCACUACUUUACUAGUAUGAGGGCACCGGUGUAUUCAAAAUUGAAAAGGGUGAGAAAAACUCGUGAAGUAACAUUUUGUUUCGGGUUAUUUUUUUUCCUUCUCUUUGCAUUAUGUUUUGAUGAUAGUUGGUGGAUAUUUGACAGGUAUUUAGCAACUUGUAUCACAUGUACGUGGAUGAUGGCUUCGUCGAAAUAAUAUUUGCAGUGAAGAAGGAAGCUCCGGUUGAACUUGAAGAAGCUUGUGAAGCACUUGAAAGAUCGUUACGGGAUAAUUACAACAUGCGUCCUUUGAUCAAUAAUGUGUUACAUGACUCAAAAUUGAUCAAACCAUUCUACUACCCUCCUGAUAAUGGUUUUAUUGUAAUUAGUGACUGACUGGUUUGUGCUUCUUUUUGUAUAGCUAUUAAAUAGUGUUACUAUACUACGAAUGUAAGCAGAUAUUGUAAAUAUCUGGUGAUCUGAUGAGAGGCAUUACUGUUGAUAUAAUAAAUUUGCACAUAUUAGUAUUACCUUUAUUGCUGUAGUUUCUUGAAUUUUGACACUAUACUUUUUUCUUUUAAAAAAAUUAAAUUGAAAAAGAAAAAAAAAAUCAUGAUUCUACUUCAAUCAAUUGCUAUCACUCCUCUUCCCAGAUAUUUGGAGAGAAAUCCCUCUCUCUCUCUCUCUCUCUCUCUCUCUCUCUUCUCUCUCUCUCUCUCUCUCUUUGUGAGUGUGUGUGUGUGUGUGAUGAACAUCCAUCACACUAUUUCUUCUUCUGCCCAUCACUCAAACACUUACAGCCCACUAAAACAACCAUGGCAAAGAUUUCAUCAGCACCACCAAAAUUGUCUGAAAUCCAGGAUGUGAGAUUUUAUUACCUAUUAAUUUAAUUUCUUGUUUUUCUAAGACUAUAAAAAUAUUGUAACUUCAAUAUCAUUUGUGUGUAUCUAAACUAAAUCAUUGUUUACAUCAACAGUGCUCAAUUUGGGUGUGGAUCAUUCAGCUUCCCUCAACAAAAAUCAAACAUUUGGAAAUUAUCAGAAACAAAGAAGAACAGUCGAGAUGGAGGCAGAAAAGUCACGAGUAUCAGCACUCCUUGGAGAGGCGAUUUCUGCUUUAGAAAUCACCUCUGUCAGAGAUGAUUUCUGAGCAUUGGUGGGGGCCAGCUGGGCGACUUUAUUUGGGCAUGUGGGGAGGUUGGGGUUGAUGUAAAUAAAAUACUUCCAACUUCUUCUCCCAUUUUUUCACACUCCUUCCAAAAUUAAUAGGUUUCUCUCCAUUUUUUUUAUGUUCUUAGCAUAAUUUUUUUUGGGUAAAUUCCACAUUCUCCCCUUAUACUUUGGCUCGAUAUCACUUUACCCCAUUCUACUCUCGAUUGCAUUGAUUUGCCCUCCUAUACUUGAAAAAUUCUCAAUGCGGCCCUCGUUGUUAGUUGUCAUAUAUUUGACCUUAACAUCGUUUGGUCUAAGCUCGGAAAUUACAAAAACACUACCUCUCCCAGUUUAAAUACUAAUUAAAAAAAAACGAAAUAAAAAAACCAAAAAAAAAUUAAAAAACAAUUCAAGACAACGAGAAAACAUAGUCCACCACGGCAGCCACAAUUUAUUUUAUAUAUAUAUAUAUAUUUUUUAAUAAUUAUUUAAAGUGGGAGGGGUGAUUUUUUUUUUUUUGUAAUUUCCGGACUUAGAUCAAAUGGUGUUAAGGUUAUGUCUAAUAAUUAACGGCGAUGGCCACAUUGAGAAAAUUUUCAAGUACAGGGGGCAAAUCAAUGCAAUUGAGAGUAGAAGGGAGUAAAGUGAUAUCGAACCAAAGUACAAAGGGAGAAAGUGGAAUUUACUCUUUUUUUUUUUAAUAACUAUGUUUAAUUUUUUAAACAUUGUGGUUGUUGUUAUAUUAAAUUAAUCUAUUUAGUUAUAUAUUUAGAAUAACAAAAUCAUAAAUUACAGGUAUUUUUAAUUAGUUUUUUCAUUUUCGUUUUUUUUAAUUUUUUUUUUGAAAUAUUUUACUAAUUUUAGUAUGCAUUAUUUUAAAUUGUUUUUUUUUUUUGCAGAUUUAAAAUGCAAAAGUAAAAGGUCAAUCCAUUAUAUUGUUAACGGUGUUAGUAAGUUAAUAUGAUUUUCCAUUAAUGCCUUUAAUCACGUUCGUAACAAUCUCAAGAAAAAGAAAAGCACAUUGAUAACAAAAUAACUAUUUUCCUAAAUUCCCUCAAAAAACAAAAACUACACUUCUAAAUUAAAAAAAAAAAAAAAGUCGUAAUUUAUCUGUCUAGAAUGUCAAAAUAAUUAUACAAUUGAAAACCUGAAUAUGUUCCGAGAUAUUUUAACCUAAUAUUUUAAUUUCUCAUUUCAUUUAAUUAUGAAAAAUGAAAAUACAGUAUAUAAUAGCUAAGAAAUAAAAGAGUUCAUAAGAUUAACAUGUAAUCAAAGAUAGAAAAAAGUAAACUUCGAACAACUUCUAAAUAGCACAUGAAAAAAAUAAAAUAAAGUAACUUGCAUAAAUACAAUCAGGUUUACAAAAUUACCCAAAAAACAGAACCAGUACCAUCAAAAUGAAAUCACUUGCGUAUUCAUUAAGAUAUAAUCCAAAAAAUCAAGCAUCAAUAUUUAACUCCUAAUAAGAUAUGCAAAAUUAAAAGAUCUUGCUUCAACUUUCUACACAUCUCCAGAGUCUCCAUAAUCAGGAAUCACUAAGUAGUUAUGUGAGGGUGCUUGGGUGGUAGAAAAACACGGCAUCACCAAAUCUCGUUUUCUUCCUUUUGUAUCUACAAAAGCAUAGUUGUAUAUAAAUAUACUAUCAAAAACUAUUUUUCUAAUUUAUAGAAUUGAAGAUCUCACCUCUAACACCUGCAGCAGAUUGAUUUUUUUUACUUUGGGAUGCCGUAAAAGAUUGUGAAACUUGUGACGAUUUGUCAUACGAUGGUUGUUGCAAGAAAAUAAAGUCACUAGCACGUGAUGUAAAAUAAAAUUAAUCAAACAUAAUAAAUCAAUGAUGAAUCCUAGAGAAUUUUAGUAGCACGUAUUGCAUUAGCAUCAACAACUUUUGUAUUUGUGACCUGGAAAUUAUAUAGACCGUCGUUAAGGUAUUUAUAUUUGUAAACUAUUAAUACAAAAAUGUAAAAAAUAGUUUUACCUCGGCAGAAGGGAUGAACUGGUGCAUGUUUGACAUGUCAAUGCCAUUCCAAUUCCCAAUACCACAUAAAGGCCCAUUGUUCCACCUCCCUCUUCCUCUUUCAGUUCUUGCUUGAGUUCCUCUAGGUCUUCCUCUUCCUCUUGGAGCACUUGAACCACUAGACAUUGUUGGGUUUCGGGCACGCGUACGCAGCGGAAAACAAAAAUUUAAUGUGAUUUAAACGACUUUAAAGCACACAAGAACAUGCCCGACAAAUUAAAUCAAUUAAUUGCGUACCUUUGCGCUUCCAGCGAAAUUAAAACAACAACAUGCUUAAUUACUUAAUCGAAAUUAAAUCAAUUAGCAUGCUCGCUUUUAAAUCAAAUAAUCAUGCUCGCAAUAAUAAAACCAAUUUCAUGUAGUCACAUAAAAUCAUACAAGUUUCUUAUUAAAACGAACAUGCAUAUAUUAAUUUAAACGUAGCCGAAUCGAAUGACAAUAGAUUCGAAACAUUACCUCUUGAAGCGUGAGGUAGGCGCACUAAGCAAAGCUAGAUUUCCACGGAAACCAAUCCGUGCAAUCCGGGGCAGCAACUGCGAUGAGAAGAUGGCUAGCUGCUCUUCCCACUCCUAUUGAUCCAACCUGUUUGCUGAUCUGAAAUUACAGCCUUGCUCCGACUUCAGUAUCUCCAUGCGUAUUUACUGGAUGAACAAUUCCUUCUGGAAGAUGGUAGAUUUAUGAGUCGUGAAGCUGCUGUCAAAAUUUCACGUCCAUCGGAUGACCGGUUGAUUUAUGGCGAAAUUUCUCGCUGGGCAGCGCAGAAAAUCCGAGAGCAGUUUUUCGGAAUUGCCUUCUCGCAUCUUCGAUUCUUCGAUCUUCGUCCUCUUGGAUUUCACCUCGUAUACUUCGAUCUACUAAACACGUGGCACUAGACACGUAAUAGUCAGAAUAACGGAAGAAAAGAAAGAAGGAAAGGAAUACCGAAAGAGAUCGGCCAACGGGUGGCCGAUUCCGGCGAAUUUCCGGCGACGGCGCGGUGGUGGUGGCCGUGGGAGAGGGUGGCUGAUCGAGAGAGGCAACGGCUAGGGUUAUGAACGUGUGUUCUCUUAGUUAUGUGUGUGCAAGACCUAUAAAUCAAGUAUUUAUAUGUCUUGCAUAAAACCCUAACGGGCUUAAGUUGGACAGGGCCCAACAACUUAAGUUCGUUAGUUCUUUUACUUGCUCGUCUCUCUCAAUUCAAUGAUCGGAAAAUUGUAACGAUUACAUUUUCGGAAUCAUUAUAAUGUCCUCGUCAUUACGAGUGCCAACUCUCGAUUUCCAACUUUCCAAAAGUGGAAACCCUAAUUCAGUGCACUUUCUAAAUUUGGAAACUUCCCGAUUUAGAAAGUCCACUAAUACAUUUGCCUAUUCUUUUCCUUUUCUUAUUCUCAUUCAUAAUUCCAAAUUACGAAUGUUGGACCCAAUCAUAUUGACUUCCAAUCAUGCAAAGAUAAACCAUUUUAUCUCUGACCGUUUAUUCAAAGAUCUCAUGUGCACGAGCAGUGUGACCCUCGAUGGUUCAGGUGUAAGCUAGCCGUGGGCCCACAACCCUUUGUGGUCAAAACUCGUCCCCUUAGAGUUACGAUUAAGAUGAAACUCGUUUCACCUUAAUCACCCAACGAAUCAAGAUUGGCGUCUAGCAACUACGCGUCAUGAUUCCCUAGAUACAAAUGAAGUGCCUGCAAGAACCUUCAGAUAUAGUUAACGUACAGUACGGUCCCUUCGAUUCAUAUGUCCCGAUCGAACUAGAGGCAUUGGUUCAUCGAGACCUCUUUAUAUGUUCGAUGACGGUGCGAUCGUUCUAAGUGUUGUAAUCCUUACGUGCAUGACUUAGAGAAUCGAAUUCUCUAAUCAUCACUUAGUCAGCUCUGGCCAGAGACUUAGAAUGAUUACAAACUUUCAGAACACACAGGACAUCCAAGACUAUUCUAGCGAUCGAAUCCCCGACUACAAUGCACAGACCUCCCACUAGAUUUCGGACUGCACGAACACUGGCCCUUGGAAUGGUCCUCGGUGGAACUCAGGGACAGGUCACGAUACAGCUGGUCCUCUAGUGAAGUCACGGUGAUGUCUAGGUCAUAAGGACUAAUGGUGUACAACUAUAUCAUAGACAUCUCUACUCGAUUAUUGGGAACCACUUAGAGAUUUCUAGGGUGAGGGAGUUCAGUGAACUCGUCAACUUACGAGCACCCACUUAUGCAUGCCGAUAUCACAAUACCGUUUACUGAUGAGAUGCAGUACACAUACACUAAGUGCUAGUCUUAAUGGGAAAGGCCGAUAUCCUCAUUAGUGGCGUAACCCUUCGACUAGGAACAUGUUUAACAGUUAUAAUACUUAAGUAAAUAUCUCACGAUCCUAACGAUCAAUUACUAGUACUUGUAAUAACUGUAAGGACUAUAUCUAUGCUUGUGACAAAGGGACAAAGAUAUAGAAUGCCAAGGUGUUUUAUCAUUAAUACGAAUAAAAGUUCGUUUAUUACCAUAAUAAAUACGAAAGACCACAGCCAAAAGUUGGCUUGUUGGUCACCUACUCUAACAAUCUCCCACUUGACCUAAAGCCAACUACCCAUGAAUCGCAAUCCCAUCGACUCUCGAUGUUUCUCAUGGACCGAUCUCGGUAAAGGCUUCGUAAAGGGGUCUGCAACGUUCUCUUCCGAGGUGACUCGUUCUACUUUAACUUCACCUCUACCAAUGAUCUCUCGGAUCACAUGAUACUUUCUCAGAAUAUGCUUCGACUUCUGAUGAGAUCUCGGCUCCCUAGCUUGCGCCAAGGCUCCGGUGUUAUCACAGUACAACGGUACUGGAUCACUAGCACAAGGAACGACACCCAACUCUUGGAUGAACUUCCUUAUCCAAGUCCCAUCUUUUGCAGUUUCGGACGCUGCAAUGUAUUCCGAUUCGGUAGUGGAAUCAGCCGUUGUGCUUUGCUUGGAACUCUUCCAACACACGGCACCACCAUUAAGCGUGAAUAUAAAUCCAGAAUUCGACUUUGAGUCGUCCACAUCCGAUUGAAAACUAGAGUCAGUGAAACCCUCUAAUUUCAACUCGGCACCCCCAUAGACCAAAAAUAUAUCCUUAGUUCUUCGCAAGUACUUGAGGAUAUCUUUCACGGCUUUCCAGUGAGCCGGGCCGGGGUUAGACUGAUAUCUGCUUGUGACACUCACAGCAUACGCAAUAUCGGGUCUAGUACAUAGCAUGCCAUACAUUAUGCUUCCUAUGGCAGAAGCAUAGGGCGUUCUUUUCAUCUCCUCGAUUUCACUAGGUGUUUGGGGACACAUAGAUUUCGAGAGACGAACCCCAUGGGACAUUGGCAAGAAUCCCUUCUUGGAUUCUUCCAUGCUAAACCGUUUCAUAACGGUGUCUAUGUACAGGCUUUAGGAUAAGCCAAGCAUCUUUCUUGCUCUAUCUCUAUAGAUGCGUAUUCCCAAUACGUAAGAUGCUUCUCCCAAAUCCUUCAUUGAGAAACGUGUGGACAACCAUGCUUUCGUUUGCUGUAACAUUCCUACGUCAUUCCCAAUGAGUAGAAUGUCAUCAACGUAAAGCACUAGAAAUAUUACUGCCCUCCCACUAACCUUCUUGUAUACACAAGGUUCCUCCGGAUUCUUCUCAAAAUCAAACUCUUUGAUAGUUGAGUCGAACCUAAUGUUCCAACUACGGGAUGCUUGUUUCAAUCCAUAAAUGGAUCGCUGGAGCUUGCAAACCUUUUGCUCACUUCCAGAAGAUAUGAAGCCUUCCGGCUGCGCCAUGUAAAUUUCUUCCUCAAUGUCUCCAUUAAGGAAGGCGGUCUUCACAUCCAUUUGCCAUAUCUCGUAGUCGUACCACGCAGCUAUGGCCAGCAAAAUCCUAAUGGACUUCAGCAUCGCGACUGGCGAAAAGGUUUCCUCAUAGUCAACGCCUUGCCUUUGAGUGUAUCCUUUUGCUACCAAUCUAGCUUUAUAGGUCGAUACCUUUCCAUCAACUCCAAUUUUCUUCUUAUAGAUCCACUUGCAGCCUAUAGGAAUAAUUCCUUUGGGUGGAUCUACCAAGGUCCAUACCUUGUUGGAGUACAUGGAGUCCAUUUCGGAUUUCAUGGCAGUUAGCCAAUGUCCCAUGUCCGCAUCCGAUACGGCCUCAUUGUAUGUUCUUGGAUCUCGUCCAAGAUCAACAUGAUCUUCAUCAUUUUCGAGGAGGAAUAACCUAUCCGGCAUUUUCCGAACUCUUUCGGAUCUACGUACCGUAGGUUCAGGAGGUAUAUUAGUGGUUUGUUGUAUUGGUUCGAUUGCUUGUUCUUGUGUUUGAACUUCACUUUGUGGUUCUUGAACUACUUCAAGUUCUAUCAUGCUGCCCUUUCUAUCGGAUAGAAACUCCCUUUCCAAAAAGGUGGCAUUUCUCGAAACAAACGUCUUUGCUUCUUUGACAUAGUAGAACUCGUAUCCCAUUGAGUCUUCGGGAUACCCCACAAAAUAGCACAAGUCGGAUUUACUAUCCAACUUAUCUCCCACUAAUCGCUUCACAUAAGCGGGACAACCCCAUAUCCUAAUAUGUUUGUAAUUGGGUUUCCGGGAAUGCCAAAGUUCAUAAGGUGUGGAUUUAACUGCUUUGGUGUUAACUCUAUUCAGCAAAUACGCGGCAGUACGAAGUGCAUGACCCCACAAGUAUGCCGGUAAGUUUGUGAACCCCAUCAUUGAUCGAACCAUAUCUAAUAAAGUUCGAUUCCGACGUUCGGAUACUCCAUUAAGUUGAGGAGUUCCCGGUGGAGUCCAUUGGGACUGUAUCCCAUUUUCUUUUAGAUAGUCAAUGAACUCGAUGCUCAAGUAUUCUCCACCACGAUCGGAUCGCAGCUUCUUAAUACUUCGUCCGAGUUGCUUUUCUACUUCAUGUCUAAAAUCUUUGAACUUUUCAAAUGUUUCAGACUUGUACUUCAUCAAGUACACAUACCCAUACCUAGAAUAAUCGUCGGUAAAGGUGGCGAAGUAGUUGUAUCCACCCUUCGCACUAACACUUAGUGGACCACAUACGUCUGUAUGGAUCAAAUCCAAAAGACCCUCGGCUCGUUCCAUUUUCCCUUUGUAGGGUGACUUGGUCAUUUUCCCUUUAAGGCAAGAUUCACAAGUUUGUAGUGAUUUCACGUCCUCCAAAGAGAACAAUCCUUCACUAACAAAAUCGUUCAUCCUUCUUAAAGAGACAUGACCUAAUCUAGCGUGCCAAAGUUGUGCGGGGUUUUGAUCUAUCUCCUUACGUUUUGCUGAUAUAACAUUAAUAGGUAUUUCAUUUGGAUUUAGUUCAUACAAGUUGUUUAAUAGUCGUCCUUUGCAAAUUAAAUUCUCAUUCUUUUGUAUAAUGCAAAUCGAAUUUCCAAAAACAAAAGUAAAACCUUCAAUAUCUAAUACAGGAAUAGAAAUAAGGUUUCUAAUGAGCGACGGAACAAAUAAACAAUCGUUCAAAACAAUAGGAAAACUAGAAUCCAAAACAUUUAAGUAAAUAGUGCCAACGGCUUCAGCAGCAACUCUUGCUCCAUUCCCCAUCCUUAGGUAGGUCUCACCCGCUCUAAGUCUUCGACUUCUUGUCAUUAGCUGCAAAUCAUUGCACAAAUGUGAGCCACAGCCCGUAUCCAAUACCCAAGAAGAAGAGUUGACAGACAAAUUUACGUCAAUGAAAUACGUACCCUUUUCAGAACCUUUCUGCUUCAGGUAAGCCUUGCAGUUGCGGCGCCAAUGUCCUUUCUUUCCACAGUGAUGGCAAGCAUCAUCAACUUGUUUGCUAACCUUUGCUUUGGGGCCCCCACUACCUUCACCCACUUCGAACUUGCUGUUAGGGAAAAGAACUCUUUCCUUUCUCUUCUUUUGGAAAGAACUCUUCUUUCCAGAAGUAGCAGCAAUGAGAACAGACUUCUCUUUCUUAAUGGUGGACUCGAAGCUGACCAACAUGUUCAUUAACUCAUCCAAGGGAGGAUCUAGUUUGUUCAUGUUGAAGUUCACUAUGAACGAUUCAUAGGAACUAGGAAGAGACAACAGGAUCAAAUCCAACGAGAGCUCGGCCGGGAGGGUGACAUCAAGAUUCACUAGCUUUUCAAGGAGAGUGAUCAUUUUGAGACAGUGCUCGUGGACCGAAACCCCUUCGCGCAAUCUCGCUGUGAUCAACUCCUUUGUAGCAGCGUAUCUCGAUGCCCUAAUAUUCACACUAUACAUGCUAUCGAGAUGAGCCUUUAUAUCGAAAGCAUGCAAGUGAGACUCAUAUUUCCUCGCAAGCGCGGGCUCCAUGGCGGCUAUCAUAUAGCACCUAGCAUGAGUGUCAUCUUUCUUCCAAACUUCAUAAGUUUCCUUUUCAGCAUCAGUUGCUGUGGCAGGUAAAGUGGCGGGAAGCCUCUCGUUCAAAACGUAGAGACGCCCCUCAACAGUUAGCACAAGCUUAAGACUACGCAACCAAUCUAGGUAAUUAGGGCCAUUGAGUUUAUUGUCGAGGAUUGACAUUAUGGGAUUCUUAGACAUGAUUAUCUGAGACAUAUAGAGAAGAGGAUUAUUAGAGAUUCGCGUUAAAUGAUUGUUACAAUUAAAUGUUUGGACUUAUGUUAUUUAAUUGUUCUCCCACUAAUUUUAUCGAAUUCCACUUCCCUCUAGUAGACAAACGAGAAAACUGAUUUUUCUUAAUGGGCUUUAGGUCCAAUAGACAAAUAUAACCCGUAGUUAAUCUAGCCCGAUUAUAUUUGCCCAAAGGUAGAUCACAAUCAAUCAUAUCCACAAUAUGACCCUAAAUUAAUUUUCCUCACACUUGAUAAUGACCUAAGUUAAUCUCGCGAAUAUCAAAAUCGUCGUGUGUCAAGUCUAACCUACCAAUCAAAGAUGCUCAUAGAACUCGAUUAUGCCAAACUAAUGCAGUCCCUAGUUAAUCUAGCCGACCACGUUAAUUCAACAUAACCCUUUUCUAUGGCUACCUUCAUCGUUAUGUCAAUUGAAUUACAGCUUACUCUACCAUAGCACUCCCCGCUAACACGGCUUACUGCACUAUAGUAAAGGGCUACACAUAAUCCAACCGUUGGCAGAAGGAAAGAAAUAACUCAACAGAUUGGGUUUUUCUUUAUAGCUUGAAAUGAUUCUUAAUUAAAAGAAUGAGGGAUUUUAAUUAAAGUGUUUUAUCUCAUCAGAAGGUUUUGGAUUGGUCUAUGUGAUUCCUACAUCUAUGUUCUCUAAAGGUAUAUGGAAGCGCAUAUUGUCCUAAGAGGAACAUACGACCUAACUACAUAAUUAAUUACAUUAAUUAAUUAUCGGAUUUCCAAAAUAAUUAUAGAACCUCAACUAGCAUAAAUCAUUCAAAUAAUGUUGAGGUACUAUUAAUUAAGUUGAAGUAUAAUCAACAUUAUACGUGUGUUCUAUUAAUUGAAAUCAAUCUAACAAUUUAAAUUAAUUAAUUAAUCUAACACCUAUUUACUAAAAUAGAUGAUUGUCGAUCCAAUUAUCUAAUUGGGAUUAAUCGAAAAUAAUUUUCCAAAAAUUAAAAUCAAUUUGUUUUAAGUUUAAUUUUAGAAAUCUGAAAUAAAUUUUUUUUUUUUUUUUUUUUUUCAGUGGACCGGUUCGGCCCAACCGGUCUGACCGGUUCGGACCGAAGCGGUCCGGUUCUGCCCGGUCCAGCUGACCCAAAUCAGUGGGCCGGGUCAGUCGGACCGAGAACCGGUCUGACCGACCUGAAUCCACGUGGAUUCGGUCAACUAGAUCGCACACAACCAUCGAACCGGCCGGUUCGACCGGUUCGAUCCGAACAUUUAAAAACCGACAUUUUAAAAACAAUUUCAGAUCCGAUUUUCCAAUUUUAAACAAUUUUAAAGCUGGAAAAACUCUAAACAAUAUUUCAAAAAUAUUUUAAACUUACGAAAACUCCCAAUUACAUAAUACGACAAUCGCUACUUUAAUAAAUCGAACAUGCAUAAAAUCAUAGCAUAUUAUACAACGCAAUUAAUUACGCAACGAGCUCUGAUACCACUGUUGGGUUUCGGGCACGCGUACGCAGCGGAAAACAAAAAUUUAAUGUGAUUUAAACGACUUUAAAGCACACAAGAACAUGCCCGACAAAUUAAAUCAAUUAAUUGCGUACCUUUGCGCUUCCAGCGAAAUUAAAACAACAACAUGCUUAAUUACUUAAUCGAAAUUAAAUCAAUUAGCAUGCUCGCUUUUAAAUCAAAUAAUCAUGCUCGCAAUAAUAAAACCAAUUUCAUGUAGUCACAUAAAAUCAUACAAGUUUCUUAUUAAAACGAACAUGCAUAUAUUAAUUUAAACGUAGCCGAAUCGAAUGACAAUAGAUUCGAAACAUUACCUCUUGAAGCGUGAGGUAGGCGCACUAAGCAAAGCUAGAUUGCCACGGAAACCAAUCCGUGCAAUCCGGGGCAGCAACUGCGAUGAGAAGAUGGCUAGCUGCUCUUCCCACUCCUAUUGAUCCAACCUGUUUGCUGAUCUGAAAUUACAGCCUUGCUCCGACUUCAGUAUCUCCAUGCGUAUUUACUGGAUGAACAAUUCCUUCAGGAAGAUGGUAGAUUUAUGAGUCGUGAAGCUGCUGUCAAAAUUUCACGUCCAUCGGAUGACCGGUUGAUUUAUGGAGAAUUUUCUCGCUGGGCAGCGCAGAAAAUCCGAGAGCAGUUUUUCGGAAUUGCCUUCUCGCAUCUUCGAUUCUUCGAUCUUCGUCCUCUUGGAUUUCACCUCGUAUACUUCGAUCUACUAAACACGUGGCACUAGACACGUAAUAGUCAGAAUAACGGAAGAAAAGAAAGAAGGAAAGGAAUACCGAAAGAGAUCGGCCAACGGGUGGCCGAUUCCGGCGAAUUUCCGGCGACGGCGCGGUGGUGGUGGCCGUGGGAGAGGGUGGCUGAUCGAGAGAGGCAACGGCUAGGGUUAUGAACGUGUGUUCUCUUAGUUAUGUGUGUGCAAGACCUAUAAAUCAAGUAUUUAUAUGUCUUGCAUAAAACCCUAACGGGCUUAAGUUGGACAGGGCCCAACAACUUAAGUUCGUUAGUUCUUUUACUUGCUCGUCUCUCUCAAUUCAAUGAUCGGAAAAUUGUAACGAUUACAUUUUCGGAAUCAUUAUAAUGUCCUCGUCAUUACGAGUGCCAACUCUCGAUUUCCAACUUUCCAAAAGUGGAAACCCUAAUUCAGUGCACUUUCUAAAUUUGGAAACAUCCCGAUUUAGAAAGUCCACUAAUACAUUUGCCUAUUCUUUUCCUUUUCUUAUUCUCAUUCAUAAUUCCAAAUUACGAAUGUUGGACCCAAUCAUAUUGACUUCCAAUCAUGCAAAGAUAAACCAUUUUAUCUCUGACCGUUUAUUCAAAGAUCUCAUGUGCACGAGCAGUGUGACCCUCGAUGGUUCAGGUGUAAGCUAGCCGUGGGCCCACAACCCUUUGUGGUCAAAACUCGUCCCCUUAGAGUUACGAUUAAGAUGAAACUCGUUUCACCUUAAUCACCCAACGAAUCAAGAUUGGCGUCUAGCAACUAUGCGUCAUGAUUCCCUAGAUACAAAUGAAGUGCCUGCAAGAACCUUCAGAUAUAGUUAACGUACAGUACGGUCCCUUCGAUUCAUAUGUCCCGAUCGAACUAGAGGCAUUGGUUCAUCGAGACCUCUUUAUAUGUUCGAUGACGGUGCGAUCGUUCCAAGUGUUGUAAUCGUCACGUGCAUGACUUAGAGAAUCGAAUUCUCUAAUCAUCACUUAGUCAGCUCUGGCCAGAGACUUAGAAUGAUUACAAACUUUCAGAACACACAGGACAUCCAAGACUAUUCUAGCGAUCGAAUCCCCGACUACAAUGCACAGACCUCCCACUAGAUUUCAGACUGCACGAACACUGGCCCUUGGAAUGGUCCUCGGUGGAACUCAGGGACAGGUCACGAUACAGCUGGUCCUCUAGUGAAGUCACGGUGAUGUCUAGGUCAUAAGGACUAAUGGUGUACAACUAUAUCAUAGACAUCUCUACUCGAUUAUUGGGAACCACUUAGAGAUUUCUAGGGUGAGGGAGUUCAGUGAACUCGUCAACUUACGAGCACCCACUUAUGCAUGCCGAUAUCACAAUACCGUUUACUGAUGAGAUGCAGUACACAUACACUAAGUGCUAGUCUUAAUGGGAAAGGCCGAUAUCCUCAUUAGUGGCGUAACCCUUCGACUAGGAACAUGUUUAACAGUUAUAAUACUUAAGUAAAUAUCUCACGAUCCUAACGAUCAAUUACUAGUACUUGUAAUAACUGUAAGGACUAUAUCUAUGCUUGUGACAAAGGGACAAAGAUAUAGAAUGCCAAGGUGUUUUAUCAUUAAUACGAAUAAAAGUUCGUUUAUUACCAUAAUAAAUACGAAAGACCACAGCCAAAAGUUGGCUUGUUGGUCACCUACUCUAACAGACAUUCCCCUAACACUGCCUCGUUCCAUACUCCUUCCCCCUCGUCCCCUACCAGUUUGAGAAUUAUCUUCUCCUUCCAUAUCUCUAUUUCCCGUGGUGUUACUUUGUGCACUCACUCGAGAUAUUCUGGUUAAUGUCUGUGUUGUAACCUGUGUAAAUCAUUGUAUUUUUUGAUUGAAUUGUAUAAUAAUAACUAAGUAUAUAAGCAUAUUUAAGUCGGUAAGUUACUUGCACUGUUUUGAUUCACUUGAUUAAAUCCUGGAGGAUAAUUGCAUUUUCUCUUAUUAUGUGUGGUUGCUGCACAGUUUGAGCAAGAAAUGUUGCCACCUUUUCUAGUAACUCUCUUUCCAUCUGAUAUUUCAUCAGCACUUUUAUUUCUUGCUUUUUUGGGUCUGCGAGGCUGUCUUCUCACAUUUGGGGGAAUUAUGGGAUCAUUAUCGGCAGGUGGCCAUUGACUUUUGUCUGGUACAAUGUGUAUAGCCAAGUUAUAUGCUUGUUUGUACUUUGACACCAAGAAGUAAUGACUCACAAAGUCUUCGAGAUGUCGAUGCUCUUGCAGAAUAGCCCAUGUAGAAUGUUCACGUGGUAUUUCUGUUAAGUCCCAAACUCUGCAGGUGCAUGUAUGAUGCUCCAAGUCCACUACAUAAGCUUGAGAUCCACUAAAUAUUUUCCAUUUUCGGAGUCGUUCAUCACUAUAAAAUAAAAACGUAAAUUAACUGCUUUAUUUCGCCCAAUUCUCGACGUGUCAACUGUGACUCAGAAAUCGCAUGUAGGAGUAAUGAUUUGCACCACUUCUGCAAAUCCAAAUAAAACUACACCAUUCUUGUAACUGAUUUUCACUGUUGCACCAGUAUUGUAAAUAACCCGUAAUACAUGACUAGGGGUGGUUUACGUAAGGUUACAUGAUAUUAUUGAGUCAGUCUCACUAAUUAAAUGCUUGAUCAUCAUUUGUUUAGCCUGUAAAAUUCCUUCAUUGAAAGCCUAUAAUUAAGCUUUAUUAUUAGUAGUGACUUCGUUUUUUCAGCUAAGUCCAUCAUAAAUUGUGCACUCGAGUUUAUUUGUUUUUUGGCUGCUCCAUCUAUAUUGUGCUUGAACGAGUUAACAUGAGGUGUUAGCCAUAUUAUUUUAUUAAACAAGCAUAUAUUUAUUAGCAACAACUAGGGGUGCAAGUUGGAACGGAAAUUCCAAUUUAUACCGGUUUUCAUUCGAAAACUUCCAAUUUUUAACAACUUUUUUCAUUCGUGACUUUCAAAAUUCUAAUUUCCGAUUUUUUCGAUUUUUUGGAUUGGAAUUGAAAUUAUAUAUAAAAAAAUUUGGAAUUUCCAAUUUUCGAUAUCGGAUCUGAUUUAAUUUCCGAAAUUAAUUCCGAAAAAUUCAGAUUGUUUUCUGAAAAAUACACCUAUAAAUAAUAUAUAUUUUUAAUACUUAUUUUAAGAUAUUUUUUUUGUUUUCUGAAAUAGUAAUUUGAUUUAAGUUUUGUUUUAAGAUUUUGACAUAUUGAAUUGUUGUUAGAAGUUUUACUGGAUAUUAUGAUGUAGUUUAUUUAUUUAUUUAUUAGUUCUAUUUUUUCCAUGACAAUCAAAAAGUUAACGUCAAACUCUCUCACACGUUGGACUAUACCUUCCAAAGCCCCGUUUUCGGUCAAUUUACAAUCAACAAAAGUUAAGGCCAAACUCUCUCACACGUUCCUACAUUUAAUUGUAUGUAGCGUUAUCUCGAGGGAAGAGUAGAUCCGGAAUAAUGAUUUUCAUCAAGGGAGAAUCCGGUGAGUUGUCCAACUAGCAACGUCAUGUACAAAGUAGUAUUCCAAAGAAUACGAAGGUACACAUUAACAAACAUCAUUUAUCGAUAACAUGUUGAUAUUUCUUUGUUAUUUCAACGUGUACAUAGACAUAGUUCAGUUUUAUUUCCAGCGAGUAAUAUAUUUCCAAAUGGAGAGUCAAUUAUUCUUUCUUUUUCCAUGUGCUCACAUUCUUCAUUUGUUGUUUAUAUAUAUUUGUUUUUAUCUACGUAUAGGAAAUGAUGAAAAAUAACAAGUUAUUUAUCCUCUGGUCGUAGAAAUUUCCGUAGUUUUGUGGUUAUGUCCGUAGUUUCGUGGUCUUCUACAACAACAUCCAGAUUAAUAUACAAAACUGGUGCAUUGCUUUGAUUGCAAUCUUGGAGUUAUUUGCUAUAUUUCAACAUGGAUGAUGUUUAGAACACUGUCAGUUUAUUUUUAUGUAAACUUUUUAUUGAUAAAUUAAAAUACAAAUUUAUUAUUUUUUGUUCGAUCGUAUUCGGUUUACAUUCUCGACAUAUAUUCCUUCGUUGGUUUUCUACAUUAACUCAUUUUCAUUUUUUAAGUAAUCCCCGUGGAUUGCAUGGUAAGUUAUUCGUAAAUAAUAAUAAUAAUAAUAAUAAUAAUAAUAAUAAUAAUAAUAAUAAUAAUAAUAAUAAUAAUAAUAAUAAUAAUAAUAAUAAUAAUAAUAAUAAUAAUAAUAAUAAUAAUAAUAAUAAUAAUAAUAAUAAUAAUAAUAAUAAAAAUAAAUUUCCAUUACUUUGUUGUGUCAUUAAGACGAUGUUCUCAUAUGAAAUAUUUGUCUAUGUCUACGUGAUACAUUAAUGGAUCUUCAACUUCAAUAAUCCAAAGCUCGUAGUUACGUUUGUUCUUGAGCUAUCAAAAUAAUUUCAAAUUGUGUGAUAUGUCUCUUAUCAUUGAAUCACAAAGGAAUAGUCUUUUCGAGUACAAUGUAUUACUCGAAUAUCAAGGUUUGAGUUUUAUACCUUGAAUUUAUGUACUCGAUUUAGGCCUCAAGCCUUUAUAAUUGGUACUUAAUCAUGAAACAAAUAGUACCACAUAUAAAUCGGAAUAGUUGUUUAAUAUACUACGCAAAUCUUCGAGUCAGUUCAUUGCACGUGCUCGAUUUGAGCCUCAAGCCUCCAUAAAAAAAUGUUAUAGUACUUACUCGUGAAAUAAUAGUACUGUAAAUGGGAAAUACCCACGAACUCAAAAUUUCAAAUUUGGGUAUUAUCACGUAGACUUGGAGACUAACAUAUUCAAUCGAAACUGUUGAUCUCCUCAUCUAGGCUGCAACCAAGCCUUUUUCGAGGACUUUAUAGGUUCUUGUAGUAAAGAAAUACAGUCAGAAUCGCAUAAUAUUGAACUGUAAUAAUAAUGUUCAAAAUAUGUACAAUCUGAGAUUCUAUUACUUCAAUUCCGAAAUAUAUACUUAAUUAUAUGUAAUAUGAUGGGAAUGUAAUCUUAUACCUUGCGAAUUAUGUCCAUCGCAUAUAAAUGCAAAAAGUCGGCAUAGUCGAAUUUAUCGAUCAAUAUUAUGCAACCAAUCAGUAUAUAUAUAGAAGCAGCAGAAGGACUUCACCAAUUAUCAAAUACGUACAUUAUCAACUCAGCAUGAGAGAAGAUAUGAUCACACAAACAUAAAGGAACAAUUUCAUUUAACACUUAAAAUAGGUUAAUGGUAACAUAUAUAUGUUCAAACAUGCCCUCGUAUAUGGAUGGAAAUAUGCAUAUAAAUACAAGAUAACACCUUUGCCGGAAUCACAAAUCUGUAGGGACAUGUUCAAUUAUAUAUUUGAGAUAAUAUAAUUAUGUGCAUAGCCAGAUAUCAUUAGACAAAAUGAAAAAUUUGGUGACAAAUAAAUAUUUAAAAAUAAACAAGAUCUAAAGAUCACAAUACUCAAAAUGAUCUAAAUUUUUCAUUUUUUCAAGAAAUCAAAACUAAGUGCAAAUUCUGUAGGAAAAAGAAAUGUGAUAGCAAAAUAAUCACCAAUGAGUAAAAUUAUCAAACAAGUCACUGAGAACGACAGGUAAUGAAAAUGAAAUAAAUAGUGCAUAAUGACUAUACCGUCUAAAUGUAUUCUCGAAACUAAUCAACUGAUAUGUUUGAUAGAAAUAAUAUUUUACCUUUCUAUAAUCUAACUUUCUUUCUAUUAAUUAGAAUAGAAAGUAGAGCAAAUUCGUUCUGAUAACGUAUUAUAAAACAAGGGAAAAACAAGAAGAGAGCAAUUGUGUGCAGUGGCGAAUCCAGGAUUUUUGUCAAGAAUGUUCGAAAUUAAAAAUAUUUUUAAAAAUAUAUAAUGGUUGAGUAAAGUUUACGGGGGUUCGGGGGCAGCGCCCCCGAUUUUUUUUUUAAUACUAUAUACAUGAAACAAUAAAAAUAUGCAAUAACUUCAAAUUGAAAAAAGAUUAUUUGCAAAUUUUGGGAUAAUUUAGGAAAUAUUUAAACAUAAAAUUGAUGAAAAUAUUAAAGGAGCAGGAAAUAAAUUAAAGUUGUAAAGCAAAACAAGUAUUUUAUUAACGGAUUUUGAUUUUUUGAAAUAAAAAAAUACCCACAUAGUUGGAAAUUUAGAAAAUAGUUAAGAUGAAGAAUUUUGGAAUAAUUAAGAAAAUGUUUAGAGAGAAAAAUUUGCGAAAAUGAUGAAGGAGGGAUAAAAAGAAUUAAAGUUGCAAAGAGCAAAAUAUAUAUUUCAUUAGAAAAUUUUGAAAAUGUAGAAAACAACUGAAAUAUUUAUAUGUAAUAGGAUAAAAGUCAAUUUCGAAAGUCAAACUCUAGUUAAUACAUAUAUAAAGAGAAAUUAAAAAUUAAAAGGCAUAGGCAGGAUAGUUAAAACUUAAAAAUUAAUCUGAUUAAUACAAUUAAAAAGGCAUAGGGAGGUAGCGCAGGGUGUCGAACUCGGCACCUCUACAAAAUGGGGGAACCACUCCACCAGUUCAACUACAGCAUCACAUUUACCAUUUUUACAUUUAAAGUUAUAUAAUAUUUAAGUAUAUAGGAAUUUUUUUUUUUUUUUAAAUCAAGGGUGUGCAGCUGCACACCCUUGCACCAUACUAGAUACGCCACUGAUUGUGUGUAUAUAUUGUAUUCUUAUUCAAGUGUAUCUCAACUCCAUACAAUGAUGUCCCUUUUAUAGUACAAGAAGACCAUUCAAAAGGUCAUGAGUUACAAGGGAAUGAAAAGCCUUAACAUCCACCAUUAUCACCUCUAAUUACACACACUAAUGAUUUUGUAACCCCUGUAGACAUCCACCAUAGGUUACAUAACGAUAAUAUCCACAACCAUCAUCAACCAUUAUAUUCUACUUUUGCACGUACUUUCGUAGAGAAAACUCACCACAACAAAAAAUAUUCUCUUUUCUACACCUAUAUAAAACUAAAAAUAUCACUUCAUCCAAACAUAUUCUCAUUUUCUACACAAAAACCAAUACAUCAACUUUUUCCAUCAGAAAUUUUGAAAACUAGAAAAUCACAUUAGAAACAUAACUAAACAUCCGCUAUGUGUUCCGAAAUCCCGAAAUUUCCGGGCCUUUUAAAAUUGGAAUGAGUUUUUAGAUUUCGCAAAUUUUGAGAUUGGAAUUGUAAUUAAUUUUAUAUUCUCGAAAUUGUUAAAUUUUUUUCAAAAAAACUAUUUCCGGUCCGAUCUAUCCGACUUGACAACAACCUUAUAUAUUCUCUAGGUUACACAUAUCCCCUACUAAUUAUGAUAAGGGGAAUGGUUUUACAAAUGUUUUUCCAUAUAAUAACUAUUAUAGGAUUUAGCCUUAUCAAUUUCCAAAAGAAUAUUAUGAGGGAAAUAUUUAUUUGUAAUGAAUGAAUCCAAAGGGAGUCAGAUUCCUUUAGCAAUCUCCAUCCCCAUGUUGAUAUAGUUUACAAUUUACAUAUGGUAUGCCCGUUUUAUAAGACUUUUCAUGUGACUAGAAAAAAUAUAUUGGAAAAUUAAAAAGAAACAAAGAAACAAAUAAUUGAAGAAUUUAAUCGAUCGCUAGCAGGUACACUUGAUAAGUUAUUACCGGUGGAGGGUGUGGAGUACAAUGGGUUCAGGUUCAAGGUCAUGAAGAUCUCUAGCAGUCGAGAAUGAAUUUGAUUUAAUUAUGACCGAAGAACAUGAAGAUCACAUAUAUAAGAAGAUGAGGUCUUGGGUAACAAAUAAUAUAAUCAACAUAUUGAUAAAAAUUUGAAUGCCGAUGAUCAAGAUAACGAUUUUCGUGAAAAUUGUGAAACGGGCCUAAAACAUUUAUGAUCCCAAAUAUUGGGAUACCAAUGAUCACAACUUGAGAAAAAAAAAUUGGUCGAAAGAGGACCAAUAAGAAUAAUUGAUAAUGAUGUCGUUUUUUUCCAAAAGAUGACAGCGGUUUCUCGUUUAUUUUAUGUUGUUGUAACAAUUUGCGUAAAAGAACGAAAAUACUUACAUGUUUGUCGAAAAAAUGAAUUGUGAAAAAUACAAAGAACGAUCGAGACUUGCCAAAGCAAUUCCAUUCAGACAAUAUUCCAUGGUUGUCGAUGGUGCACAAUCACUUCCCGGUAGUCUCCCAAGGUACAACGAUCGGAUGUCUGAAUCUUGCACGAGAAUCAAACCCACGGCGAACUUGAACAACAUAAAGGAAUUUGAACAAAAGAGAAUAACAUAAAGAACUAUAAACUCAACUAUCGAUUGAAAAUUCAGUGAAUAUUUGGCCAGAUUCUUACUUUGUUUAUAAGCGGUUGAGUUUGAGGCAACGAUUGUCGAAGGAAAAGACACAAGUAUAUAUGUUUGGAACAACGUCUCUCAUACGCGUUUCUUUGGUUCAAAAGAAUGGCUAGGAAUUAGGAUAAUUAGUUAUUUUGAUUAAAUUAGAUUUAAUAGUUUCAAUUAAUUUGGUUGGGCCUAAUUUUUUUUAUUAAUUAAUUGUAACACCCCACAUUUUCUGUAGAAUAUUAGUAUUUUAUUUUACCACCUAUAUGUGUAAUUUUAUUAAAUUAAAAUUUAGAAUAAUUCUUGCAUGAUUAAUAAUUACGUGAAUUAUAUAAUUAUGUGAAAUAUGUGAUUAUGUGAAUUAUAAGAUUACGUGAAUUAUGUGCUUAGCAAAUUUUUAGAGAUAUUAUGUCGAAAUAAAUAUUUAUCGAAUUUGUAAAAUAAAUUACUUUCAUGGACCAAUGUUUUUUUUUCUUGCAUGAUUAAUUUAAAUGAGCAUUUUAUCAUAUUUAUGCAUGCACUAAAUUUUAGAAAAUAAAAUGAACCCGUGCAUUUUAUGAUUAUUAAUUAGUGGAAAAAAUUAGAAAAUCCUUCACUUAUUUUCUUGAAAGUUUAGGCCACUAAUUAAUACACACACAUACAAUGAUUUAAAAACUGCAUGUUAAUUAGGAGAAUACUAGCAUUAUAAGGCUUGUACUUUGAGCAUUAAAAUAAAUACAUAAGUUUAGCUUUUUCUAAUCAUUAGUUAGGGACACUUAACUACUCCCACACUCCAUCUUGAGCAAUGCAAGAGUCACUCUUCUUCUUCCUCUCCCCCCCUCAUUUUGUCAGCCCCAAACCAUCACCGUGGCCACCAUUUUCUCAAGCUUAAGCCACCCAAGAACCACCACCACACCUCUUUCAAAAUAUUGCAAAAUCACCCCCACAAAAACAUGUAUUUCCCUUUCUUCUCCAUAGGCUUUGAUGUCUCCAAAAACUCUAUAAAUACAUCCAAUGUGUUGGGAAUCGGACACGUGUACGCAGCGGAAAAUAAAAAUUUUAUGCGAAUUAAACGAAUUUAAAACACAUAAACACAUGCCCGAUAAUUGAAAACAAUUAAUUGCGUACCUUUGCGCUUCCAGCGAAAUUAAAAACAACAUACAUGCUUAAUUACUUCAUCGAAAUUAAACCAACUAGCAUGCUCGCAUUUAAAUCAAAUAAUCAUGCUCGCAGUAAAUAAACAAUUUCAUGUAGUCACAUAAAAUCAUACAAUUAUCUUACUUAAACGAACAUGCAGAUUAUAAUUUAAACGUAACCGAAUCUAACGACAAUGGAUUCAAAACUUUAUCUCUUGAAGCGUGAGGUAGGCGCACUAAGCAAAACUAGAUUGCUACGAACACCAAUCCGUGCAACCCGGGGCAGCAGCGGCGAAACGGCAGCAGCGGCUAGGCGAGCUACGACGGCGCGUGUGGCUCAAGCGCUGUCUUCGAGCGGCGCGUCGGAUUGCGUGCGACGUCGGCUCGUGUGCUGCUCCUCGAUUCUUCGAUCUUCGAUCUUCGAUCUUCCUCCUCUCGGAUUUCACCUCGUAUACUUCGAUCUACUAGAACGUGGCACUAGACACAAAGUAGUUAGAAUAAACCGGAAAGAAACGAAAAGAGAAAAGAGCUACCAAAAGGAUCGGCCAACGGAUGGCCGAUUCCAGCAAGAUGGUGGCGACGGCGGCGGUGGUGGCCGCGGGUUGAGAUCGGCCGAGAGAGGUGAGAGCGGCUAGGGUUUAGUUUGUCUGUUAUCUUUUGUGCAAGACCUAUAAAUCAAGUAUUUAUAGUGUCUUGCAUAAAACUCUAACGGGCUUAAGUUGGACCGGGCCCAACAACUUAAGUUCGUUAGUUCUUUUAUUUGCUCGUCUCUCUCAAUUCGAUGAUCGGAAAAUUGUAACAAUUACAUUUUCGGAAUCAUUAUAAUGUCCUCGUCAUUAGGAGUGCCAAUUCUCAAUUUCCAACUUUCUAAAAGUGGAAACCCUAAUUCAGUGCACUUUCUAAAUUUGGAAACUUCCCGAUUUAGAAAGUCCACUAAGAUGUUCGCCUAUUCUUUUCCUUUUCUUAUUCUCAUUCAUAAUUACAAAUUACGAAUGUUGGACCCAAUCAUAUUGACUUCCAAUCAUGCAAAGAUAAACCAUUUUUACCUUUGACCGUUUAUUCAAAGAUCUCAUGUGCACGAGCAGUGUGACCCUCGAUGGUUCAGGUGUAAGCUAGCCAUGGGCCCACAACCCUUUGUGGUCAAAAUUCGUCCCUUAGAGUUACGAUUAAGAUGAAGCUCGUUUCACCUUAAUCACCCAACGAAUCAAGAUUGCCGUCUAGCAACUACGCGUCAUGAUUCCCUAGAUACAAAUGAAGUGUCUGCAAGAACCUUUUGAUAUAGUUAGCGUACAGUACGAUCCCUUCGAUUCAUAUGUCCUGAUUGAACUAGAGGAAUUGGUUCAUCGAGACCUCCUUAGUAGUUCAAUGACUGUGCGAUCGUUCUAAGUAUUGUAAUCGUUACAUGCAUGACUUAGAGAAUCGAAUUCUCUAAUCAUCACUUAGUCAGCUCUGGCCAGAGACUUAGAGAGAUUACGAACUAUAAGAACACACAGGACAUCCAAGACUAUUCUAGCGAUCGAAUCCCCGAGUACAAUGCACAGACCUCCCACUAGAUUUCGGACUGCACGAACACUGGCCCUUGGGGCGGUCCUCGGUGGAAGUCAGGGACAGGUCACAAUACAGCUGGUCCUCUAGUUAAGUCACGGUGAUGUCUAGGUCAUAAGGACUAAUGGUGUACAACUAUACCACAUAUAUCUCUACUCGAUUAUUAGGAACCACUUAGAGAUUUCUAGGGUGAGGGAGUUACGUGAACUCGUCAACGUACGAGCACCCACUUAUGCAUGCCAAUAUUACAAUACCGUUUACUGAUGAGAUGCAGUACACAUACACUCAGUGCUAGUCUCUUAAUGGGAAAGGCCGAUAUCCUCAUUGGUGGCGUAACCCUUCGACUAGGAACACGUUUAACAGUUAUAAUACUUAAGUAAAUAUCUCAUGAUCCUAACGAUCAAUUAAUAGUACUUGUAAUAACUAUAAGGACUAUAUCUAUGCUUGUGACAAAGGGACAAAGAUAUAGAAUGCCAAGGUGUUUUAUUAUUAAUACGAAAAAGGUUCGUUUAUUACCAUAAUAAAUGUGAAAGACCACAACCACAAGUUGGCUUGUUGGUCACCUACUCUAACACAAUGUCCAAGAUCAAAAUACACUCUCAAACUCCACUCUCACCAUCUAGAAGUUCAAAGUCUCUUAUUUCAACAAGAGGAGAAUUUUCGUCAAGGCUAAGUAAGCUCCUUCUUCCUCUUCUUUUCUUCAUUUCUUUUCGAAAGAGCUAAGCUCUUCCUCUUUCAAGUUCUUUUUCUUCUGAAAAUUUUAAUCCAACCCUUUAUCUCUUAUGGUAUUAGAGAGUAAAGAGCUAACAAAUCCUUCCCUUAAUGAGUAGAGGUGAGAAUUCUUGAAUUCUUGCUCAAACAUGCAACACCACUAUAUUUUCGGUUUUUAUUUAAUUUCUUGGUUGAUUCUUGCAUGUUAUGUGGUUAUAUUUCUUAGAUGAUGAUUGUAUGUUAGUGUUUUAAAAAGAUAAGUUUUUUUCUUGAAGUUCUAUGUUUUUCGAAAAUUUUGGGAAAAUUACUUAAGUUGCUUAUUUGGUUUAGUUAGUAGCGUGCAUGUGUUAUCUAGUGAUUGAUUGUUGAUUUGUGAAAAUAAAUUGAAUUUUUGGAUUAACUAUGAAACUUUCAAAAAAAUUCUUCUUUGGCUAAGGAAAUGGAAAAUUAAUGAAAUAAGAGAAGAGUAGUACAUAUGGAUGUAUGUUGAUGCAUGUGGGAUUUGUGCAGAGAAGAAAUUAUUAUUUGUGUGUGAUGUUACAAAUUUGGGAUAAAAAUGCAUAAGUUGCUUAUUUGGCUUAAUUAGUGUCUUGCAUGUGUUGAUCUAGUGUUUUCUAUGAAGACUGAUAAAAGAAUUAAGAAGUUGUAGUAAACUUGAUUAAAAGACUCUUGCAUGUGAAGAUCUAGUGGAAAGACUUGAAUAAAAUGUAAAGAUGAAAGUCUUGAACUUUCUUCUUGCAAAAUGUUAGAAUUAAUGAACUGUUGAUUAUGGAUUGUCUUUGCAUAUUAAGAUUUUGGUUAUUGCUUGUAUUUGGUUAUGGUUCAUAUUUUUAUGCCUAAUGACUAUGUGAAUAAAUGACUGUAUGGAACUUUCUUUGUGUUUUGCUAUGUGAUCUUCCUUUGGCUUGUUUAUGUAUUGAUCAUUGGGUGUGGGAAUGAGAAAAGGGUAAGUAGAUGGAUAUGCAUGUGUGGGUGCAUAAGUGUCAUGAUUUUUAAAAGGUAAAAAUAUGUUGGAAACUCUUUCGAGGUUACGGUAAAUAACCGGGGUACGACGAGUUGGUACCGUAAGGCUUAGGGGUGGUUUGAUUCCACGUAGAUAGACGGAUUCGUAAAAUAUGAGGUUAUUUAUCGGGAACUUAGAUUGAUUCUUCCAAAGAUAUUCCCGAUGAUUUUUCAUGUCAUGCAUGUCUCAUUAUGGUACUGAAGAUAUAGGGUCAUAAAAGUGAGAAAAUCUCACUCUAUGGUCUUGGGAUCGUAGGGUUAUAAAUGUGGGAUAUUCUCACUCUAUAAUCUUCAAUACGUGUCAAGGCAUAGGGUUAUAAAGGUGGGAUAUUCUCACUCCAUGGUCUCCGAUCAUAGGGUUAUAAAAGUGGAAAUUUAUCUCACUCUAUGCGCUUGAAAAAGGAACAUCGACGAAGAACUCCGACGAAAAGGGAAGUAUAUGAUUGCUUUAAUUUAUGUUGUAUGUAUAUGUAUAAUAAAAAUAUAUGUAUAUGUAUGCUCUAUGUGUUAUAUGUAUUCGAUAAUACUUCAAGUUUCUCAUUGAGUUCUCAAAAGCUCAUGUAGGUGUUGUAUGUUUGUAGGUAUACUCGAUUUAGAGCCCGAGGAGUGAAGUUGGGAAUCGAACUUGAGAAUCGGGAAGAGAUCAUAUGGAGGGGAUGUGGAUUGUGUUGGCUCUCAACCUAGCUAUGUGGUUUUAUUUGUAUAAUAUGCUUGUAAAAACAUUUGAUACGGUUUUAGGUAUUUACUACCGAUCGCUUCCUCCGAUCGGUGGAAAUUAUUAAAAGACAAUAUGUGUAAUAGUAAUUUGGAUUACCCUCUUUUUGAAUAUUUAAUCGGUAGUCCGUAAUAUUUUGUAAACGAAAGCGAAUUUUACCAACUAUAUGAACAUACGCUUUUCGGCUAGUAAUUUCUCCGUAUCUCGAUAUUUGUAAAUUAUUUUUAUAUAUGUGCUUUGCUUAGAAAAUCAUGAAAUUUUGUGAUUCUUUGCAUCUGUUCUCAUCACUUUGAUAGGUCUUAUGCAUAAAUUCGAUAAGUAUUUAAUUAGUUGUAAAUUAUUUCUCACUACUGCACUAAAAUAGGGUCAGUCUAGUGUUUUAUGUUAUAUAACUGAUGUUUUACUCACUCAAAUGUCUUGCUUCUACUUGGAAAAUGUUAUAUACUUAUUUUUCUGUCUUGGGAUAAAAUAUGGUAGUUUUUGGGAAAAUUGGGAGUUUAUUAGGAAAUUUCAAAACUCCCUCCCCUGUUCCGAUUUUAAAUUGAGUGUCCGUGCCAUUUCAUUUAUUUCUCCCAAAUGGUUAAGUAUCUUUCAAAACUGUUUUAGCUGAGUGAUUUAGGCUCAUGGUAGAAGGUAUGGUAUUAUUGGAGUCAUUGUGAUGAUUAUUUUAAGACGAAAUAAUUUUUGAAGUUGCUCCACUGAAUCUGUCCGAAAUUUUAUUAGGUUCAUCAUACCAAGUUAUUUUCUAGUCUUGCAUGUAGUAUGUAUUUGUGUUAAUUGAUUGAUUAUGAUUUAUAUAGUGUGAUCUCUCUCCCUCUUAUUUGAAAUAAAAAUUUUGACGUAAAUUUAUAUGCACAAUAAUCAUUUUUUCUAAAAGUCUUUUGCUGAGAUUACAUAUAAUAAGAGUAAUCGUGAGAGGGGUGUCACAUUAAUAAAAUAUCUCAAUCCCAAAUCAAAUAAUUGAAACUUAUACCCAAGCUCAAGCUCGACCGAAUUACCGAUCGAUGAACGUCUCCACGCGAGCAUUUAUUUUCGACCUUGACCAUCUAGGUCAUCUCCCUUCCUCCAAAUUUAGAGACAAUUUUUAUUCAACUUACUUUAUGAUUUUGAGUUAGCAAAUAAUUAAAUUAAUUUCCACAUAAUUGAAAUAAUAUUAGUCAAUAUUAAUUAUCGAAAAUCAUGAAAGUUCCAACAUUUUAUGUCCUGGACCUAUUAAACUGUGAGAAAGAGAAUUGUAAAUGUAUAGGACAUAAUAUUUUAAUUUUGUUGUAAAUUGUUCAAACAAGAUAAAGCCAACUCUUAUCAUCUUAUGUAACUAACGAAGGAUAUAAAAGUUGGAGCAACAUUGGCGGAGACUUAAAAAUCAUGAAACCAACAGGGCGCACUUCACUUGCAUGAGAAAAUGGAUUGAUUUGCAUAUAAAAUUGAAAAAACACGAUGCGAUAUAUAAGAGUUUUCAAGAAUACGAGAUCGAAACACAAAAGCAUCGUUGUUUUAGGUGUUUAAACUGUAAAUGUACCUAUUGCUCUAACUAAUUGUCCAUCAUUUCUAAGUGUGAUAAACUCUUAUCACUGACAAUUCAAUUUACUAUUUUGAGUUCUAAAUAUAUUGAUUCAAAUGUCGUUUUUCUACAAUUUAUUACAUUUUAUAUGGUAUUUACGAUUUUAUCGGCUUUUCAAGAUCAAAACUCAUCUUAUAUUUUAUAUUAGAAAUAUUUUGACAUUCUUUUGAAAUAAAAUUAAACAACGACAAAAAUCUCAAAUUUAAAUUAAAUAAAAAAAAUUACAAUAGAGACAUAAAUUUCUAUUAACAAAAUUCAAAUAGUAUUUCUAUAAAACUACAAUUUAAGCAUUACAUAGUAUUUGUUCAUUAAAAAACAUCAAAACAUCUCGUAUCAUCUAACUAUUGUUUUUUUUUUUUUUAUGUAUUUUGUUGUUUAUAGGAUUGAGAACAGAAGGCAAGGCAGUAAUUCGAAUUAUGGGACGCAUAAAUUCAAUGCAGCGACACAAUAUUAAGGAGACAUAUCAGCAGGUCUACAACAAGUCCCUCAUUUCUGGUAUCUAGCUUCAAAUUAAUGAUGUUAAAUGAGGAUUUAACUGUCUUGUCGAAAUGGUAAAUUUCACCUUAAUUAGUACUUCCACGAAAUACUAACCUACAUACAGAUAAUUAUGUCUCCUAAUCUUUGAUCUUCUAUCUAAAUACAGAUCUAAUUUCAUUGUAUUAUACGAAUGGGAGUACAUAUGUUGUGGAGUACUUUGGUGAUAGAAUACACAGUUUUGGCGUUUACCGCUUCGCCAAUGAUCAUUAUCACGAAGGAUGUUGGCACAACAGCCGUAAACAAGGCUACGGCAUGUAUACUUUCCAAAAUGGUGUUUGCAGAUGUGGUGUAUGGGAGGAUGACAUUAUCAAGACUCGCCUCCUCUUUGACUGAUGUAGAUUUUAGAGCAGUAGAUGUGACUAGUUUUAUGUCGCGAUCAAUAUUGCAUAAGACUUUCUUUCCAUUAAAACCUUAAACUUAGUCAAUAUCUUUAAUCUUGUCUUUUUCUAAAGUUGUAACAUUUUUGCAGGUUACUAGGAAAACUUGGGAGUCUUCUUCUUCUUCGGUUGUAGAACGGUAAUAAAUGUAAUGUUUCUACUUCAUAGGAUUUCUCAUUUUGUUCAGGUUGGUGCAAUGAAUAAAAUUUCUUGGUUUCUUUUAUUUCUUUCUAUUUAUUUAUUUUUUUUCCAAAUUCUGGUGCGAAUUUGACAAAUGUGAAUCAAUAUGAACUGUUGUUAAAUUGUCUUCAUUUUGUAUUAAUGACAUAUUUUGUGGAGAAGGAAGUUCAACUAUUUAUUCUAAUUUCUUUCGAAAUGCAUUUGUAUCUCAACUUUGUGUAAUCUUUUCACAUUUCGUACAUGUUAGAUGAACCAUGAUGUAAUGACAAAGAUUAGACUACAUUCCAAAUAUUUUCUAUGUCAUUAGUUUUCUUAUGUUUCGGAAUUUCGAUUACAUUCGGGACCACGGGUGCGAUGGACAUUUAGUAUGAUUGGCUACCGAUGGGGGUUGUCUUGGCCAACUGGUUGCCAUCCGCACAAAAGGCCCAAUUUAGUCUAACCGAACCCACGACCACAUACUCGGUCGCGGUAAGCGAGAUAGACCUGAUUAUAUGCGGUCCAAAAAGAGGCCCAACGAGGCUGUUCACCAUAGUCAGCCAAAUAAGGUCUCAUUGUAGAAAGCCCAAUCAGAAGUCCAACAAGGCCCCCUCGUCGGGGUCAAUGGAGUAGCCCGUUCAAAACCCACGAGAUGUGAGACGAGCGGGGUAAGUGGUGAAAGUCGUGAUCAGUGUAUCAAUGGCAUAAAUAGAUAGUAUGCAAUAUGUAACGUGAGAUCAAUUAGGAGAUAAUGAUGGAUCUUAAUUGAUACCCAAACGAGGGUCCUCUCUUUUUUAUAUAAGAGAAAUAAUAAAACCCUAUUAGGGUUACGUUUUGAAUGAGAAUCAGUAAUAUUUAGAUACUCUCUCUCUCUCUCUCUCUCUCUCUCUCUCUCUCUCUAUAAAUCUAUACUCUCUGAUUGUCGAAUUCAUCUUCUCAGACGAAAGACUGGUGUUAGGUGGGAAAGACUGGUGUUAGGUGGGUUUCCCGGUGUUCGAGGGAGUUGGGCUUGGAAUGAGGUCUUGAGGGUGUAGAUCCUACACCAUCAACUACCUUAAGGUCCUCUUUGAUUGGAAUGUCUGGAUAGAUAAGUUGGGAUGUGAUACAUAAUAUUCUGAUUAAAAGCAUAAUGACUCAUAUUAUUCAUAUUAUUUGGUUUGUGGUAUUACCUCAUCACUAAUAAUCUUUUGACGAAUAUUGUGCCGUUUUAUUUGCAUGAUAUGAAGUUAUUAGCUGUGAUUUGUUACAAUUUUUUGUAAGUGCCCUUAAGUGAUACUAUUAUAAUGUACCCAAUUCAUAUUCUUUACAAUUAAGAAUGGAAACCCCCAUCCCAACCAAAUCGCGUCGUAACCCUAAUUUGGAAUUCUUUCAAAUCAAAAUCACCGAUUGUUGAUUUGAAGUGUUAAGUUCUUUUGCAGAAUAAAUAGUAUUGGCAUUAGUUUCUCAAGAACGAGUACAAGUAACAACAGAUAUGGCGCAAACGACAUACAUAGCAAUCAACCAUUUUUUUGUGACUGCAGACUGAAGCUAGUUCUGCAAACUUCAUGGACGCUGGCGAAUCAAGGGCAAUAGUUUCUAUCAUGUCCACAAUGGGGGUAAUUAUGUAUCCAUAGUUUCAAGUGGUUUGUUGUUACUUUAUGGUGUAUUUUAUCAAUAUGUUUUUCCUUUAACGAAUAUGAUAAUUAUCGUCUGUGAUUGGAAAGUGAAAUUGUGAAACUUAGUUGAAAAUAAGGAAUGGGGCUAUUUUUUAUAUACUCGACUAUUUCUACAUCAACAACGAUUUUUUCGGAAAAAUAUGAGCCGUCAAAUUCAAUGGAACCUAUUCAAACAUAUUACCAUGACUCUACCGUGCGUAUCAUUUUGUUAUAGCGUCAAAUUGAUCAUUAUCACGUUAAUGCUUGUCCUAUUUUUUACUGGUGUGAUUCUGAAAUGUGUCAAAGAUUGAAACAUGUAAUCCCCGGUUUGAUGAAGAGAAUAAAUACUUUGGAAUCACAAGUUCCAUUGCAGAUUCUAGUUUUGUUGAAGAAAAUAACAGAUUUGGAAUCCCAAUUAAAGCUAAAGAAUGAGGAGAACGAGGUGACUAACUCGUACGAUUGGUUAAUAGCUUGUGCGGUUGCAGUAGUUGUUAGUCGGUUUUUUUUCUUUGUUUCGUAGUAAGUAUUACUUAAUUGUCUUUUGCAAAGAAGUGACGAACGGAUGCUUCUUAUGUCCGUCACAUGUGAUUGUUUUUUUGGCUGUCCUCUUCAACUACGAGGUUUAUUUUAGUAAUUGUUCUCAAGUAUUGUAAUUGUUAUCCUUUUGAUCUUGUUGUAAAUUGUAAACUGACCUAACAAUGCUUUGGCUUUUGUACUGUUAUUAAGUAGUACAACUUUUUCAAUUGUAUGAUUUGAAUGUUUACUACUUUCUACGAAUAUGAACUUAUAGCGAUUUUGAAUGAAAUAAAUUACAUGUACUUACCAAAUUGUUUGGCUAUAUAUGUUUCAUUGAAACGGCCAAGCAGUUUUAAUAAAUAUAUAUUUUUUCAAUUAGCUAUAUCCGAAUGAAAGUACAGGAAAUACAUAAGCAACCAUUCAUAUUUGAUUGACAAUCGGGAAUUUAGUCCUAUUCAACAACUUACCGUACCAAAUACCCUCCGUAGGUGUUUGAAAAUUUGAGAACGUAGUCCCUUACAAAAGAAACAAACUUAACAUUACUUAAGCAGACAACAUCACAUAUGCAUUUACGAAACAAGUGUAACUACUGACUACACAACAAAGGCGUUAAUCGGCAAUUACCGAUCCAUUGACAUCGGAAUCGUCAUUUGAAUCACUGUGACCUUUGAAGCUCAGAGUUGGUUCAUCAUCUCCCUUAGGGACUCCAUGGCUCCCAUUCUCAUUGUUUCCAUUUUCCCGCAACUUCGGGAUUCGGGACUGGAACCCGUUCGACAUCUUCCGGAUCGUCACAUUCAUCUUCAUCGUCAGUCACCAAUGGGUUGUCGGGACUAAAUCCCCUAAGGCCUUGAAAGUUGACUACAUGUGCUUGUUUGUCUUCAAAUACACAUUUGCAAUCAUCGAACAAUGGAAAACCGUUGAUCUUAAACGACAUCUCUUCCUUUGUCUCUUAAUAUUAGAUUCAAGUUAAAUUAAAUUAUGUUGUACCAAAAUUUUUGAACAUGUAGAAUACUUAAUAGUUUCAACAUUUAUCAAAACAUACUAGUUGAUUCCAUGGCCAAAAACUCCUAUCCAAUGUGAUAUUUUUCUUAGCCCAGUUGUACAUCCCACCAUUUCCCACAAUAUAACUCUUAAACCAUAAAACAGUUUUGAAAUAAUUUCAUUCUACUCUUGAUCCCAACAUCAAUGGAUUUUCUUGAGAACCGAAAAUUUAUUAACAUAUUAACUUCAAAGAGGAUAUCUUCAUACACUUCAUAGUUACGCAAAGAUUUAACGGAUCGGGAAAAUAUUGCAGCGGAUUCCAUUAAAUAUUGAUCGUAUUGAACGGGCCAGUUGGGAGUAUUCAUCCUUGCCAACAUCCUCUGAUUACGGGUUCUUGGCGUCGACAUGGUACCUACAAACAUUCAAGAUGACAUCAUUGAAAGAAUACUAAAUUUUCCAACAUUAAAACUGCACAAUAAACAUGGUGUUGCAAAGAUGGGUACACCAUAACCUUAGUGAUGCCGGCAGUUUUCUUUUAGGGUUAGGAAGAUGAAAAUGCAGGUUAAAAAUAAAUUGUAAUAACUACCACACUACCCUGCAUUUAUAAUUAGAGUAAUGUUGAUUUGAUAGAGGCUGUCCAAUAGCCUCUUUUACCACCAAUCUAUGUCUAAAUGCAAUAAAUUUCAUCACCUUGUUUUUUAUGUCAUUUCAUGUAGCAUGCCAUGAUUCCGACUUUCGAAAACUUACCCACCCCGACUGUCUUUAACACACAGAUACAUAUCGACCCCUCCACUUGUAUGUUCCAUUUUUUUGUCUGAUUACUAAUAUUUUCAAUUGGCAUUUAAUUUCAAAUGGUACCAUUACAUAUUCCAUUCUUUAACAUUUAAAUGAAAUCCUAGUCACAACUAAAUGACAUGGUUCAAAAAUCAAUAUUAAUUACACCACACAAUCUAAUUACCACUAAUAUACUCUGGCAUAUCUUUGUGACAUGAUUUAAAGCUUGUAUUGUCAAUCCCAAAAUUCAAUGGUCUAUCCAAAUGGUUGUGGCUCAUAAAUGUGUAAAUAUCUUAACCCUCCUUACCUAACUUAAUUUAUUAGGGUUUCAUUGGCGUAUAAAUCACGAAUAUGUAGUUGCCAACUGUAAGAAAUCAUUUAGAAAUUUAUAAAAAAAAAACAAUAUUUCGACAAGAAGAUUUUUGUAUGAGUUAGAAUGGAGUAAAAGGAUCGAUGAUUAUUUCUUCGAGUUAUUAUGUUUGGAAUCAUGCAUUGGCAAUUUCGAACGUGAAUAUAAGAAUACACUUGCACUCUUCCGUUGUCAAGAUGCUAUCUAGAAUAAGUUCACCACGUUCUUUUGAUACAAACAUCUCACCAAGAAGAUGACUUUGUUAUGCAAACGAUUUAAGAUGUUCCAUUGGAUUCUUGCACAAGAAGGGGUUGUUUAUAAUUCAUCUACGAACAUCAUUUCUGCAUCAUAUGCUAUAUGGGAUCAUAUUUUGAAGGUAGUAAUUUCCGUCUAAUAUGUCAUACAAUAUAUAUCUAUAUAUAUAUAUAUAUAUAUAUAUAUAUAUAUAUAUAUAUAUAUAUAUAUAUAUAUAUAUAUAUAUAUAUAUAUAUAUAAUUAGAAAUUUGGGAUUAAAUUAUACCGAACGGAAUUUGACCCAUUCCCGAAUCCCGUCCCAUUUUUCAUCCGAAUCCCGAUCCCGAAUCCCAUAAUCCCGAAAUCCCAAAUUUCUACUCCCAAAUAGCCAAAUGUCGAUCGGGACGGGACGGGAUCCCGAAUCCCAAUCCUGAAUUUCCAGUCCUAAUGGUGAUGUUAUGUUAUCACUAUUAUCAAACGCUACCAUUUGUGAUGCUUAUGUUUUGAUAGUGAUUGUUUCGCUAUUGUAAAAUACCAAUUGUGAUUGAAAAACUCUCUGAAUUUUGUUUACAUUGGUUAAAGCUAAUCAAUUUAAUUUAUAAUUUGGGUUUUGAAAGCUAGCAACAAAGGUGAUAAUACAUAUCAAAAAAAAAAAUCCAAUCAAAGUAUUUAAUUUAAUCAAAACAAGGGCCCCAAAUGGUGUUGUUCACCUUCAAAACAUAAAACACAAAAUAUUUGAUAGUAGUUCAUNNNNNNNNNNNNNNNNNNNNNNNNNNNNNNNNNNNNNNNNNNNNNNNNNNNNNNNNNNNNNNNNNNNNNNNNNNNNNNNNNNNNNNNNNNNNNNNNNNNNAUUUGAAAAUGGUGUCAAAUAAGAAUUUGAGACUUUCUGCCCUUAUUCCCAAAAUACGGUAAUUAACAUUUCAUCGGGUACGUCGGGCAAUGUCGAUUUUGACAUGAUGAAUUACUUUCACUAUGUGUCCGAUUCUGAGGGUUCAAGGGACACGAUGGAACUAAGCACUGCAAACUCACAAUUCGUGGAUGAAUCAUUGGAGAAAGGGAACUCUAUUUUUUCAUUUAUGGGCGGAAAUCAUAAAAAAAUUCAACCCAUUUGGUACUCCAAAGAGCUCCACAUCUUCUAACAAGACACAAUUCGUUGGGUUUUCUACCCUGGGAUAAAUUAAAAUUGCGUGGUUUUGAUGUUUGUGUUUUUCAUGUAAAAUAAUGAUUGUGGUACUUUGAAAAAUGGUUUUUUUUUUUUUUUUUUUUUUUUUUUUUUUUUUUUUGUGUGUGCAUAUAAGAUAGAUCACGUGCUUGGGAUGAAAAUAUAGUUGUUUUUCCCUAACAUGCAUGUAAUGUCGUGCAUUUGGGCUUUUGUUUUGUGGUUUUUCUAUUUUUAUAAUGGUGAUUAGGGGUGAGUUCGGGACGGGAUUUCGGUAUUUCGGGAUCAGGAUUUUGGGAUUUGGGAUAGGAAUUUUAAAUCUCAAUCCCGUCCCAAACUUUUUAAUUCCGAGUGUAUCGGGAUCCCUAAAUAUUUCGAGAAUUCAGGAUUGGGACUGGGAAAUCCCAAAUUUUGUCUAAAAAAUAGUGUUUUUUAUUUUUCCAUUCUCAAAAAUAAAAAUAGAUGGAAACCUGUAAUACUGUUGAAGCAAUAAUAAAGUCAUUCACCAUUAACAAAAAGAUAAAAUAUGUUUGCACAUGUCAAAUAUAAACACCACAAACACCACAGCAAACUCUAUGGAUGCAAAAUGCAAAUCAGUUGCAAAACUAACAAAAUAACUCCAAAUGGACCAAAUAACUAAGCCAAAAGUUUAUCAAUCGAGAACGGACGAAUCAGCUCCAAGUGCUACCAACUCUAUAAGAAUAAAUAAAAUCAUAAGUGUAAGUACGAUAAUAUCGUUUAAAAAGUAUGGAUGGAAAUUAAUGAGAAAAAUUAAAAAAAAUUAAUUUACCUUUAUCAAGUCUAUCUAGCUCGUAUAAGUCCACUUCCACAAAUACUGUCUUUGAAUCCGAUAGGAACCAAUCAUGAGUACAAAGAAGAGCUUGAGCUAUUCUAGGAGAUAAAGAGCUCCUAAAAUCAUCAAGAAUCCGUCCUCCCGUGCUAAAUGCAGACUCUGAAGCAACGGUAGAGAUUGGAACUACUAGAAUGUCAAGAGCCAUCUUAGAAAGAAUUGGAAACCUAUGAGCUUCUACUUUCCACCACUUAAAGAUGUCAAAGUCUGGCCCACCGUGUUCAUAAUCCUCAUUCAAGUACUUAGCUAACUCUUACCUUUCUUUUUUAUCUUUUCCUUUCUUGGACAUCUCAAACUCAUCAUCCAGGUCACAUAAACCAUCCCGACUCGAGCUCUGAAGUGAACUCUCAUUGAUUGCUAUUUGACCGGAACUUGAUCGGACCGCACCACCAUGAAUUCGAACAUACCUGUCAAACAACUGUUUAAAAUCUUGAAGAACUGCUUGCUUCAUUUCGUCACGCAAUGGAUUUACAACCUGACCCAUCGGCGUCGAUAGAGAAGGGUACAUCUUGUCAAAUGAAAACUCCAUAUAAGCUCAUUUACGACGUGGAUCAAGAAUCACCGCAUAAUAUAUAACCAUGUUCCCCCAAUACAAGUCGUACUUCUCAUUCAUUUGUUUUGCCAUCUCACUUAGUUCAAAAUCAUCACUAUUCAACCACGUAGUAAGCAACAUAGAUAUUGCACCAAUUUCUUUGAAAACAAGAUUGGUUGUCACAUAUAAAGAGCCUGAAAUUUUGAGAAUUAGAUUAUAGAAAUGACUCAAAAACUUCAACAAUAGAGUAGCUCUAUCCCAGUCAUGCCGAUUAGGCACCCAUCAUCAAGUUCGGAUCUAAAAGAGUUUUCUUCAUUUUCAUAUGCUUGAAAGACUUUCUUAAGGGAUGUAGCAGCUUCCAACAUCAAGUAUGUCGAGUUCCACCUAAUUGGCACGUCAAGACACAACAUUUUAUUUGACUCAAGAUUUUCGAGUUGUGCACAAUUGGUGAACUUUUGGAACCUAGCUGGAGAACUCCGUAUAAACUACUUAUACGAGUUACAACCAUACUCUCCCUUUUAGCUUUCAAACCAUCUUGCACAACCAAGUUAAGUAUAUGUGCAAUACACCUCAUAUGCAAAUACUUCCCACCUAAAAUGCUAACAUUCUCAUUAUCGUCAAAUCUUUCUUACAAGUACUUGAGAGCAACUUUAUUUGAAGAAGCAUUGUCAACAGUUACAGUGAAAACUUUUUUAUCAAUCCCCCAAUCUUUUAAACAUUUGAAAAUAUCCUCGCCCAAUUCUACGCCCUUGUGACUUUGUUUAGCACUCAUCAUCAAUAAAAUGCACAGUAAUAGACAUGUAGUUGAUUUUUUGAAUCGAGGUCCAUGUAUCUGUAGUGACAGAAACUCUUUGAGAAUGAUUUUGCAAAAAAGUCUUCAGCAAACGUUUUUCAUUAAAAUACAUCACGAAAAUAUCUUUGGUUAUAGUUUUUCGAGAUGGAAUCACAAACAUAGGACAAAUCACCGAUAUAAAUACCGAAAUCCCAGUUUCUCCACCAACCUAAAUGGCAACUCAUCCAUAAUUAUGAAACAACAUAGUGCUUUUAUAGCUUUUAGUUGGUCGAAUUGCCAAUUAGAAAGAAUACAUUUUUGCCCUGGCCCAAGUGGUUGAUAUUGCAAACGAUUUUGAUUUGUUGCAACUUCAUGGGGUUUUUUUCUUGCAAGAUUUAUAGUGUGCUACGAGACCAGUGGUACCAUUAGUAGCAUUGUCGGCUCUAAUAAUCUUACCAAUAUAAAUACACUUAGCCUUCCAUCUUUUAUCAAAGUCGUGAACAAAAUCUUCAAAGUGUUGCCAAUAGACUGACCUCUUUUCCAUUUUCUUUCUUUUUAUAGGUUUUGAUGCAUCCUUAAUCUCAUCAUUGACGACGUCGUCAAUAAUGUCUGCAUUUUUAUCUGUCAGUUGAGGAGUUUGAGAGUCCAUUGAAAAAGAUGAGACCCGAAUCAAAAUCUGAGAUACAAAUGCAUGAAUUAUUCAAUUAGUGACAAUUUUACAUUUAAUUCAAAAUUAAAAUACCCAACAAAAAAUUAAGCCACGAUGUAUUAGGGAAUCAAAAUAGAUUCAUUAUUCAAUCAAACUUUUUGUCUUCACUUAUUUAUUUUAUUGGUUUACUGUUUGUUGAAUUCAUUGAAGAACUACUCUUUUGAGAAAUGAACCUGUUAGUGAUGAUGUCGAAAGUGAGAUGCCAACUUGUGAGCGGCUGACGAAGAAAAGCGGCAAAUAGCGGUGGGCGGCGAAGAGAAGCAACUAAGAGCAGUGGGCGGGAAAGAGCGGCGGCUGGGUGGUCAACUGGUGGUGGAGUAAGUGGUGAUGGUAAAUUGGGGCGACUUGUGAGCGGCUGGCGAAAAGAAGCGUCUGCCGGUGGUGAACUGGUGAGUGGUGAUGUCAAAUUGGGGUGGGACUUCAGACUUGGGCUGCCCUAAUAUAUAUAUAUAUAUAUAUAUAUAUAUAUAUAUAUAUAUAUAUAUAUAUAUAUAUAUAUAUAUAAUUAGAAAUUUGGGAUUAAAUUAUACCGAACGGAAUUUGACCCAUUCCCGAAUCCCGUCCCAUUUUUCAUCCGAAUCCCGAUCCCGAAUCCCAUAAUCCCGAAAUCCCAAAUUUCUACUCCCAAAUAGCCAAAUGUCGAUCGGGACGGGACGGGAUCCCGAAUCCCAAUCCUGAAUUUCCAGUCCUAAUGGUGAUGUUAUGUUAUCACUAUUAUCAAACGCUACCAUUUGUGAUGCUUAUGUUUUGAUAGUGAUUGUUUCGCUAUUGUAAAAUACCAAUUGUGAUUGAAAAACUCUCUGAAUUUUGUUUACAUUGGUUAAAGCUAAUCAAUUUAAUUUAUAAUUUGGGUUUUGAAAGCUAGCAACAAAGGUGAUAAUACAUAUCAAAAAAAAAAAUCCAAUCAAAGUAUUUAAUUUAAUCAAAACAAGGGCACCAAAUGGUGUUGUUCACCUUCAAAACAUAAAACACAAAAUAUUUGAUAGUAGUUCAUAACAUAAUGAAAUAAUAGUUGCACAUACAACUUAAAACACAUCAUCCAAAACAAGCAUUGUAAAAUUUUAGUUAAUAACGAACUUCUAGGAUCAUUUUCACCAUAUUUUCCUUGGGCUCAUCACUCAAACAAAAGAAAAUGUCGAGCUCUUUGAAAUUAUCGCAGAUUCUAGAAGUUACAUUUAGUCUUUGCUCGAAUGUAAUAUUCUCCAAGUUUUGUAGGGCAUCAAACCCUUGUUUUCUAAUUGUCGACACAUCCUUCUUGAAACCCAUUCGACUCACCAAUUCACCCAUUUGUACUUCCAUUUUCUCGAAGAAAUUUGCCGCCAUCUCAACGUAGCCACCGUCAACGGGACCACUAUGUGAGCGCUUCUUGGAUUUUGGUUUAGGUUUUUGAUGAAGUGGCUUCAUCAGCACGACUGAAAGAUAUAUGUUGAGAAUAGUUAUCCACAUUUGAAGGCUCUAUCCGUGAAAUGUACUCAUCCUCGUUAGAUAUAUGUUCUUUCUUUUUGUUAUUCGCCACCAAAGUAUUGACCUAUUCGAUAAAUGCCGACAUGUUCACAAGUAGCAGUGUCUUUUCCAAAGAUUUGACAUCAAUCUUUGUAAAUGGCCACGAUUUGUAUCUCAUACCACGAGAAUUUGCAACCGUCUACAUCAAAACAUGCAAGAAAAUUUCAAUUGUAAUCUCUUCCAUACGAUUAUUAACUACAAAAAUAUUAAUGCAUUACAAAAUGUGCAUCACAUUAUAUACAUUUCUUUAUAUAAUCUUGCCAUACUUGGUCGUCAACGACCUCGAUGGGAUUGUUUGUGUAAUUCCAACUGAAUUCCGACCUUGAUAACAUUGUCCUUAAUGAUCCAUAAUAUUUUUGCCACACGUGUAUUUUUGAAUGGAUAUGAUCGAGGCGAGGCUUUAAGGUCGGUACCGGAAAAUUUUGGAACCAUAUAUUGUUCAAGAUCGAGUUCCUAACAACCUAGUUUUAAAUUUGUUUUCGCAUUUCCACCCCCUAGACACAAUGGGGAUGUUUGGUUAUGUUUCUAAUGAGAUUUUCCAGUUUUCAUAAUUUUUAAUGGGAAACGGUAGAUGUAUUGGUUUUUGUGCAGAAAAUGAGAAUAUGAUUGGAUGGAGUAAAAUUUUUAGUUUUGUAUAGGGGAAAAUNNNNNNNNNNNNNNNNNNNNNNNNNNNNNNNNNNNNNNNNNNNNNNNNNNNNNNNNNNNNNNNNNNNNNNNNNNNNNNNNNNNNNNNNNNNNNNNNNNNNNNNNNNNNNNNNNNNNNNNNNNNNNNNNNNNNNNNNNNNNNNNNNNNNNNNNNNNNNNNNNNNNNNNNNNNNNNNNNNNNNNNNNNNNNNNNNNNNNNNNNNNNNNNNNNNNNNNNNNNNNNNNNNNNNNNNNNNNNNNNNNNNNNNNNNNNNNNNNNNNNNNNNNNNNNNNNNNNNNNNNNNNNNNNNNNNNNNNNNNNNNNNNNNNNNNNNNNNNNNNNNNNNNNNNNNNNNNNNNNNNNNNNNNNNNNNNNNNNNNNNNNNNNNNNNNNNNNNNNNNNNNNNNNNNNNNNNNNNNNNNNNNNNNNNNNNNNNNNNNNNNNNNNNNNNNNNNNNNNNNNNNNNNNNNNNNNNNNNNNNNNNNNNNNNNNNNNNNNNNNNNNNNNNNNNNNNNNNNNNNNNNNNNNNNNNNNNNNNNNNNNNNNNNNNNNNNNNNNNNNNNNNNNNNNNNNNNNNNNNNNNNNNNNNNNNNNNNNNNNNNNNNNNNNNNNNNNNNNNNNNNNNNNNNNNNNNNNNNNNNNNNNNNNNNNNNNNNNNNNNNNNNNNNNNNNNNNNNNNNNNNNNNNNNNNNNNNNNNNNNNNNNNNNNNNNNNNNNNNNNNNNNNNNNNNNNNNNNNNNNNNNNNNNNNNNNNNNNNNNNNNNNNNNNNNNNNNNNNNNNNNNNNNNNNNNNNNNNNNNNNNNNNNNNNNNNNNNNNNNNNNNNNNNNNNNNNNNNNNNNNNNNNNNNNNNNNNNNNNNNNNNNNNNNNNNNNNNNNNNNNNNNNNNNNNNNNNNNNNNNNNNNNNNNNNNNNNNNNNNNNNNNNNNNNNNNNNNNNNNNNNNNNNNNNNAUUAUUAUUAUUAUUAUUAUUAUUAUUAUUAUUAUUAUUAUUAUUAUUAUUACCAAUGUAUUGAAAACCGGACCGGACCGGCCGGUUUGACCGGUUCAACCGCGAACCGGCGCCUUGUCCGGUCCGGUUAGAGGUGAAAACCCAAAAAAGCCAAAAACCCGGGUCAACUAGUCCAAACCCGGUUCGACCGGUAAGAACCGGGAAACCCGGGAACCAGUCAAGAACCGGUUUUUUGCUCAAAAGCAUGUUUCAUGGCCGAAUCUGGUUCGAAAUUGCUCGUGGGUGACUGAAUCUUGUCGGAGAAGGUUGUGGGUGAUUAGAUAUAGGCAGAUUUGGGUCGUCUUUUGCUCAAUCGAAGCGGUGGCUACCAUAUCUAUUGAUUGAAGAAAAGAAGAAGAAUACGGUGAAAAAGAAAAUAAAGAGAAAAAUGAAAAAAAUUAAAGUGGAGAAAACAAAUUAUAUGUAUGGAAAUGGAGAGAAGAAAUAAUAAACAGAGGGAGAAGAAAGAAAGAAAAAGAAAAGAAGGGGAGAAGAGCAGGGGGUGGGAGGCUUGUGCGUGAAUGAUGAGGAAGAAGAAAGAAGAUAGAGAGAGGAGAGAGAAGAGAGGAGUAAAAAAUAUUAUAAAUUCCUUUUUUUUUUUUUAAAUGAAGUAAUACUGAAAAUGAAUAUAAAAAAUAUUACAUUUAAGGUAAAUAAAUAAAUAAUUAUAUAUAUAAAAAAAGUAAAAAACCCGGUCGAACCCCGGUUGAACCGGUCGAACCGUGACCCGGUGGUGCGUCCGGUUCGAUGUCCGGUCCGGUUUUCAAAACAUUGGUUAUUACUAUUAUUAUUACUAUUACUAUUGUCACUAUUAUUAUUACUAUUACUAUUAUUAUUAUUAUUAUUAUUAUUAUUAUUAUUAUUACUAUUAUUAUUAUUUUAUUUUAUUAAUAAAAGUAAGAAUUCGCCUAAUAAAGUCUAUGAGAUUUUUCCUGCUCAUUUGAUAGUUAUAAUUAUCGUUUAUCUCACAAAAAAAUGUUUGUUAUGGCUGAUAAAGAAGAAGAUUCCCAAACUUCUACGUUAACUGAGAUAAGAUAAAUAUACAACCAUAUUAAAUAAAAAAAGUUAAAUUAAUCAAUAUGGCACGACAAGUUCUUAUGAACAAAUAAAAGUAAGGUUGCUCUUAAUAAAUCCUACGAGAUUUUUCCCGCUCAUUUGAUAGUUAUAAUUGUCAUAUAUUUAUUUUAUUAUUAUAUUUCAUUUAAUAUAAUAAUUUUAAUAAAUCCAUUAAGUAUCCAGCUUUUUUUUUACAACGAAUUCAUGUAUCUUAUUAAUAAAAGUAAGGUGGCUAUUGGUAAAACCUAGGAAAAUUUUCCUGCUCAUUUAAUAGUUUAAUAUAUCUACAUAAUACGUAUUUUCCCACAAAAAAAAUAUCUGUUAUGGGUGAUAAAGAAGAAGAUUCACCAAACUUCUAUGUUAACUGUUAAGUGAGAUAAGAUAAAUAUACAACCAUAUUACAUAAAAAGCAUAAAAUUAAAUUAAUAAAUAUGGCAAGAAAAAUUUAUGGAUGGGAAAUUAUCAUCACUACAUAUAGCAAAGCAUUAAAAUGUCUUGAAACUUCAAUUUUGUCGUUUAAAUUGAACUUUACUUUGUAUUAAUUUUACUUCAAUCUUGUGCAUCACACGUGCAAAAAAUUUAGUAAUUAUUAGAAGAGAGUGGGAGUUGAGAUAUUAAUGAGGAGGGAGAAAUUUGAGGAAAGAGAGUGUAGAUUUUAAUGAUGAGAGAGAAAUGAGAAGAGGGAGAGCGUGAAUAUUAAUGAUGAGAGAUGAAUAGAAGGAGAGAAAAAUGGGUUGGUGGAAUAAAAUAUUGGGGUAAUAUGCUAUGGAGGCGGUGGCAUGGGGGGGCGGAUGGCGGCGGCGGCGGCUGCUCUGGGGGAGGCGCUCAUGGUGACCCGGUGUUGGUCAUGAGGAUGGGGUCGUUGGGCGGCAGCUCUCCGGCUGGGGGAUCGUGUCGGUGGCGCUCGACGUUGGGGGUGGGGAUGGGGGCCAAUAGCAGCGUGGGUGGGGUUUGUGGCAUCUUUAGCGGCGUGGUGAUGUUGGCGUCGCAGAUCUAGGGUUUGAUGGGGGAGAUCUAUGGUUUGGUCGGGCGGAUCUAAGAUUUUCCAAUUUCAUGUCUAUAGAUGUCUAUGAUUGUAUGUGGGUGUCUAUGAUGCCUGGCGGCUAGGGUUCAAAAGAUAGGGUUUUAAGAAUAUGUGACUACGGAUUACUAUAGGUUUCUUAUGGGUUUCUAUAGUGUCUAUACAUGACUAUGGAUUACUACGCUUUCCUAUGGGUUUUUGUAGAAGACUAAGGCCGAAAAAUAUUAAAAAAUCAUAAUUUUCAAUAUUAUAUAGAAAAAAAGGAAAAAAAAUGCGAAAAUGCAAAAAAAAAUAGAAAAAUUGUUCUACGAAAAAAAAUAAUAACCAAAAUGCUAGAUGCGAAAAUAAAAAUGUUAAAUGUAGAAUGAAAAAAUGAUAAAUACAUUUUAAAUAUUACUUGGUGCAGAUUUCAUUUUUUGUAUGUGGGGGCAUUUUUUGAAUGAAAUUUAUAAAGGAUGUGAAGCAAAUGUUUAGUUAGACUUGUCAUUUAGUUCUAAUAUGUUUUGUCACCAGAGACCUAUAUUAAGCCCCCUAAAUUAUAUAGGUUAGUAGUAGGUUUGAAAAUUGAAAACAAAUAUGAAUAAUGUGUUUUCAAUAGAAAUUUUGAUAAGAAAAGAUAGGAAUUUCUGGAUAAAACUAUCUAACAAACAUGAUCUCGGUUUUAUGAAUAGUAUAAAACUGGAAGUUAAGUUUUGAAAACAAAAACAAACAUCCCCAAUAUCUUUCAAGCCUAAUAUUAAAGUUUGUACGUCAAGGACCGUCCAACUACACUUAUUAUUGUUCACACCACUCUUAGUAGCUGUACCUUUUUUGAAUCCCGCAUUGUUGUCGAUAAUCCCUGUAUUUUUGGACAUUACCCAAUUUAGUGUAAAAUGCCAAAAAUAAUAGGAGAACCCAAAAAACAAACCCUGGAAAUACAUUGCAAUGAACAGAUUACACAAUACCAACAAUCCACACUUGCAUUAAAAAUGAAAAGAUUAAAAAUUCCAAAUAACAAAUUAAAUAGUUGAAAAAUAAAAUCAACAAGCCACACUAGGAUUACAACCAACGAUAGUAUGUUAGUUUAGAGAGAUAGUAGCCACUCUUUAUACAUGUUCAACGCAGUGGUAUACUACCAAUCGGUCCAUUCUUGUGAUUUUCAACAAUAUUUAUAUAAUUUUCACCACUAAUCACACCUGGAUCAAAACCCUUUUCAUGUAGUUUUAGCAAGGCCAAAAGGAUCAGGUUAACAUGCUUGCUUACUGCGUAACCUAGUCUUUUGAAAUGACUUCACACGACAACAUUCUUCGUUUGGUGUGCCAAAAUAUGAAGAAACAUUGACUUACUCGGGAAUGGUAACAUUCCUAUUCGAUCUCAGACCACGUUAUGUUUUCUAAAACGUAACACUAGCGAUAGAAGGUUUGUUUGUCCAUUCUAAGAUUAUCACGAUAUGUAACAUCAUCCAAUCCAUCUAUUGAAUGCAAAUAGUCGAGCUGAGAAAAUGCUCUUCCUAUCAAACUUGUAAGUUUGGGGGUCAUGUUGCGAUUAACUCAAACGACGACGGUUAAAUUGGGAAAGUAUGCGCAUGGAUAUUAAGAAAAAUAGUCUCAAAUUAAACAUAAGUUGAUGCAACACAAAUAUAACAUCUUCCUUUCGUUUUGACAAAAGACAAGAUCGAAACAUCCAAAAAACAAGGAAUUAAAGGGGUGGAACCGCGACUCCUUGCUUAUAAAGAAGCAAGAACCUUGGUAUGUGAAAACGCUACAAUCAAUUGUGAAAGAUUGAUUGAUAAGUCGGGGUGAACUCAUAGAAUCCUCCGAAAUGUUCAAAAAUGCUUAAAGAACCAAAAGAAUAAUCUCAAUUUAUUAAUCAAAAUGUUUUCAUUAAAAUAAGCCAAAUCGGCAUCAUAUUCAUAAGGCCUAAAAAGACUCAUUUUUCACAAGAAAAAUUACUCAUACCUAAACUACAAUAAAGAAACGUCUAACUAAGUUGAUUCUAACCAUAAUAUAACUCUAAAAUAAUAAAACAUAAUAUAUAUGUUGAAAUAAAAACGUCCAUAACUAAAUUAAAUAACUUGAACGUCAAAUCGACAAUACGAGCACUCUUUAAAACUCGAGUAGACAUUUGGAUGUGCAUGUGCAGCAACUUCAAGUUCUACUUCUGCCAUCUUCCACACCAAACCUCUCUCCGAUCGAAACAGAAAAGUUGUAGAUCUUUAAGUUGGUGUGCCACGGCAUUUUGAAUUCAAAGCAGUCAGACAACCAAUAAGAGACUUAUGACCCGAACGGUAAAAGUAUCACAGAGAGCCAGGAAAUUCGGAUGCAUGAAAUUCGGCUAGUCCAAUGAAUUAUCUCUUUCUUUUCUUCCAAUUCCACACACAAAAAACCCAUCAUAUUACAUUCACAAUAUCAUGUUCAGAAUACACAACAAUUGGAAAAACCCAUCCAAAUUUCGUCCAAUAUAUUGCCAAGAAGAAGAGAUAUUUUCAUGUUGCUCAAAUUCUAGGGUUUAAAUGAUGAAUUUUGAAUUAUUAUUUUGAACAUCCCGAAAUUUCAAAAUUUUAAUUGCAUUAUUUUAUUUUGGAUGAUGCAGGUAGCAUACUGAGUGUUGGUGGAAGUGGACCGUUCGAGAAUGCAGAGUCUGCAGAUUGGGCGGCCAUGGUGGAAUGAAAUGGGUUAGGGAUAAUAAGGGUGGUUUGAGAAUUAUUAAAUAAUAUUUGGGUAGGAUAUUAGGUAAGUGGGUUUUCUCUAAUUAUUUUUGGGAGGGAGGGUUUUCUUAACUCAUUUACCUAGAUGAGGGGGUAUUGCUAAUUAUCCCAUAAAUUAAUUCAUCAAGAUACAUGAAAAUCAUUAAAUAUAGAAUAUAUCAUUCCAUAUAUUUUGAUAUCAUAUUAAUUUGCAUUUAUCCUUAUACAUAUAGUAUAUAUAAUUAUAGAAUAAGAUGUUUGAAAAUUCGAAUUAAAAUUAAUCUAUAAAUUUUUAAAAUAUUAUGAAUUUAUAUUUUUUAUUAUUAAAAUAAAAAAUAAAAAAUGUGUGUAUAUUCAAUAUAUUUUGAACAUUUUAUAAAAUAAGAAUAUGCAUUUAAUUUUAUUAUUGACUUUCUAUAUUUUAAUCUGAUUUGUUUUACUCUUUUAAAAAAUUUGGAUUUUUUGUCAUACAAAUUUUGGGAUUAAUAUAAAUUAAUUUGAAUAUAAUAAUGUGGGAAAAUUAUUAAUAUUGUAAUUUUUCUUUUCUUUUGAACACUUUGAAUAAAUUAUAUUUGAAAUUUUUUCUAAUAUUUAUAUUUUUAUGUAUAAGUUACAAUAAAAAAUAUAGUUUUCUUUUAUUUAUUAAUAUAAGAAUAAUGUUUUUAAAAAUCUUUAAUAAUUCAAAUGAAUCUAUCAAUAAAUUAAUUCAUCAACACAUAUGGAAAUCUUUAAAUAUAGAAUAUAUCAUUCAUAUGAAUAAAUUAAUUCCAUAUGUUUUGAUAUAUUAAUUUGCAUUUAUCCUUGAAAAUAUAAUAUAAUUAUAGAAUUAAAUUUUUAAAAAUUCGAUUUAAAAAUUAAUAUAUAAAUUUUAAAAUAUUAUGAAAUUAUAUUUUUUAUUAUUAAAAUAAAAAAUAAAAAUGUGUGUUUAUUUAAUAUAUUUUUAACAUUUUAUUAAAUACGAAUAUGAAUUUAAUUUUAUUAUUGACUUUCGAUAUUUUAAUCUGAUUUUUUAUUUACUCUUUAAUGAUGUGGAAAAAAUAUUAAUAUUGCAUUUACACCUCAAUGUUUCUUUUUUCCAAUUAUUGAUUAUAAAUAGGAAACUAAUCAACCAAUAAAAAGACAUUAAUUUGACAUGUAGGAGAGAUAAAACUUAAAAUCAAUAAAUUAAAAUUUAUUCAUUAAUAAUAUGGAUAAUUAUGGUAAGUGGAAUUUUUUUGCAAUUAAUAAAACAUUGCGGACUCAAUAUCCUCAAUUAGAUAAAUUUAAUUGUGUAUCUACUAUAAUUAAUUGAUUUGGAAAAUUGUAGUCAAGUCAAUCCAUAUUAUUAUAAUCAUGUAUGAUGGUAAUUCACUAAUUUUUAAUUACUAAUUUAUUUCAAGUAUAACUAUAGUCUAUACAUAUAAUAUCAUUAAAUAAAAUAAUUAAUAUAUGUGUAUACUUUUUGUGCACAUAUACAUAAAAUAAAAUAAUACCAUAUUAAAUAUGUGCACAACAUGAAAAGACGAAUAAUAAAAACAAAAUGAUGAAUUUAUUCGUGAAAAAUAUUAACAAAAAUAAUAAUAUUUUUGUAAUUACUCUAUUCAUGUAAUUGAAUUUAAUGGCUUCAAACGAUUGACCUCAAUUACAUUAUCCCAUUCGUUAAACAAAGAAUAAUACUUGUUGCCGCACACCAUGUUGUUUGAUCUACAAAAAUCACUAUAACCUCAUGUCAAUUAAAAACUUAGUUUUCCAUGAUUUAUUCGCAAACGCAGAACAACUUUAACAGGAGGACUACUCUUGUAAUGAAUGUUGAUUGUACACAAUCAAUCCAUAAGUUUUAAAGAAAGAAUUACUCAAAUGUUACAAAUACAAUUGAAGAAAGAAAUUACAUUAAAAAAGAAAAAAAUCGGAAAUUUUAAAAUACAUUAGAAAAAUGGCAACGAUGUAUCAACCAUUGAAGGCAUGUGAUGAUAAUACAAUUCUUUUUCAAAUCUCUUCGCCAUAUCUGAAAAAAAAAAUGAAAGAAUAAAACAUUAAUAAAUAAGUAAUAAAACUAAUUAAGACAAAAGUGUACGAAAAAAUAAGUCAAAAUGAAAUAAAAAAUAAAUUAUUUAUAAUUGCAUUAAGUUGCAAUGAGUGUAAAAAAAAAGGGAGUUCUUGUGUGGGCAAGAUGAAGUAUUUGAAUGACCAUUUUAUAGGUGAUUUGAAGAAUAUAAUAAAGGAAACAAAUCAAUUAAUGCCAUAAUAUUAUAAUUGAAUACCAAAUCAAUUUAAUGAUUUGAAUUUCCAUAUUUGUUCCUAAAUUAAUGAAAUUAAGAGACUUAAUUUUCGAAAUUAACUUACAAACAUAUAAGAAUUAUAUAAAUUUUAACAUUAAUGAUAUGUGUCCACAUGGAUCAAAAUGAACCAAUGAAAAUGAAUAUUUCAUCCAUGUAUGCAAUUGAAACUAAAAUAAAAUUAAUCAACCAAUCAAAAUAAACGAUUUUGACACAUAGGCAAGAGAAAAUUUGAAAUUGAAUAUAAGGAAAGUAAUUAAAUUCGGAAAUGGUAAUAAACUUAAGAAUAAGAGUGUUUAUGGUAAGUGGGGAGUUUUUGCAGUUAAUAUAUAAUUAUUGGACUCAAUGUCCUCAAUUAGAAAACUUUGAUUGUGUAUCUUAGUUUUAUAUAUAAUAUAGAUUCUUUAAUUUAUAAUUGCAACAUGAAUAACAAUCAUAAUUUAAACAUGAGUAAAAAGCAGUUUGCCCCCUAAAUUAAUGCCCGUUUUGCACAUUGCCCCUCAAACAAUUUUUUUUUUUGCACGUUUUUAUCUAAACUCGUUUUUUUUUGUUGCAAGUUGCCAAAAAGUGGUAUUUUCAGACGUAAUCCACCGGAAGUGUAAACAUGCAGGGGAAAAAAUGUCUUUUCACCCUUUAUUUAUUUUUUAGUGGGUUUAGUUUAAUUUUCCCUUCUCUCUCCCCCAUUUUAGUUAAUUUAUCCGACAUUUGCCUUCUUUCCCACUCUCUCGUCCUAUCUUCCCCAAAUCCUCUCUGGUUCGAUUAUUGUUGAUAUCGCAGAAAGAGAGCGCUUCACGUUUUAAAUUCAUUUAAGGGAAAGGACAAAAACCUUAUUCAACCAAAAAAUAAGAGAACGGAUCAAUGAAAGAGAGAAGAGAUAAGGAAAAGAGAUCUGUCAAUUUUUUUAACAGCUUUAAUCUAUUCGCAUCUCAUUAUCCCCAUCACCUGGCCGGAAAUCCCGUGGUUGACCACCUAGAAGAAACCCCACUCCGACGAGGCCUUAGUAAUCUGCUUCUUGCAGGCUCCGACCACGAAUUUUUCGAGCUCGAGCUGCCCCAAAUCGACAACUGGAAGAUCGCAUUCCUCCACCGAUGGAAGCUCCGAUAGGUUCAUCUUCUGCGGCGGCACUGUGGCGAUCAAAUUGUUGAAGAGAUUCUUUUAUGUUUUCUCGAACGGUGGGUCAGCUUGCCCAAAUUAACAGUUAGAACAAGAAAAUAAAAACAGAGGUCUGAGUGUUAAUUCUCACAAAAAUCACCAUUGAAUUCGAAAUCAAAAUCAUGUAGAACAAGAAGAGGAGCAAGACAAAUCACCACCACAAGAACCAACCUAGCUCGCUGCCCCAUUUGUCUUCAAUGAUUUUGUUUGCCAGAGAACCGAUAUAAAAAGCAAAAAAAAAGGAGAGGGAUGAAUCGAAGAGAAGAUGAAUGCUAAAGUAGAAGAAGAGGAGGAAGAUAACCACUACCACCAAGAGGAGCAACACAAAAAAAUGAUGAGAUUUUUUUACUGGGAUAUGGGUUGGCUUUGGGAGGGUGGUGGUCUGACGGGAGGACAACUCCUUUUUCUUUAUCCUUUUUCUUUCUUUUUUUUUUUAAUUUUUUAAUGAUUAAAAUAUAGAAUGUAAAUGAAGGCACAAAUUUGCCCCGGAAAAUCUCAUGUGCAACACACGUGUUGUAAUAUUCCGGUCAAAAUUGUCGGAAUAUUCCUUUUAGGAGGCACCGUGCAAUGAAUUAACGAGGUCAAGUAAAAAAGUGUAAUUUUUUUUUGUUUGGGGGGCAAAGUGCAAAAUGGGCCAUAGUUUAGGGGGCAAACUGCUUUUUACUCCUUAAACAUUAAUAAUAAAUAUGCUAUACGUAAUAAUGAAAAUCAAAAAAUAAUAUAAUAAUAACGAAAUGAUAAUCAUGAUCAUAACUUUUAGAAAAACAAAAACAUAAAUGAAACAUACCGACCAAUAAACAUCUUAAUAAGAUUAACAAGAUAAACUAUAAGUAUACAUUAAAAUUCAUUAGAUUUUUUUUUUAACCAAAUGUUGCAUGAAUAAAAUGGGGCCUCCUUAAAACCUUAUUUGGCCAGACAAGGAAAAAGUAUCCCCUGAUGUUUAGUGAUCAAGAAGUAGAAUAUUGUUCCCACAAGGAAUGUGCAAUUUCAUCCCUAAAUUGUGCGUGAGCUUGAACCAUAGCUUGACUUGGAUGACCUCUGUGGUAGAAUGAAUCCACAUCUACGUCUUCCAGCUCAAGUUCCUUGUUGAAAAUUUCAUCAGCACGACUAAACUUUCGGAUAUAAUUGCGUAAUGCACAACAAGUAAUGACCAAUUGCACUUGCCUAUGAAUCUUGUCGCUUGGCAUUCCCCAUGCCAAAAUUGGAAAACGCUUCUUCAAAAUGCCAAAACAGGAUUCAAUACAAUUCCUUAAGCAUGCAUGUGUAUAAUUAAAUAUCUCAUUUGGUCCAGUCAUUGCUCGAGUUCCUCUAUUAAAUUCUUCUAUAUGGCGCCUACAACCUCUAUACGGCGCAAGAAAACACAUGUAGUUCAUAUAACCAGCAUCAACAGCAUCAACAAGGUAAUAUUUUCCUUUGAAACUUUAGACUUAGUAUAUAUAUUUUAUUCUUAUGUAAUAUAAACGACAUUAUAUUGAAAAUAAAUGAGUACCAUGCGGCGGAAAAGGAAACUUUGGAUCAUUAGCAAUGGCAUUAGGAAGCACCAGAGCAUCAUUAGCACUUCCUUCUCAUCCGGCAUACACGUAUAUAAACAUGAGAUCAAAAUCACAUAUUCCAAAGACAUUCUGCGAUAUGUGUGACUUUCUUGAUCUAUAUGCAUUGCGUUUAGAGGCAGGAACUCAUGCUGGCACUAAUGUUCCAUCUGUUACACCAAUAGCAUCCUGUUAAGUAUGUAUUUAAGGCUUAAAUAAUCAAUAUAAUAAAAUAAUUGAAAAAAUAAUGAUAAGAUACCUCGAAGAACGCAAAUCCGGCUCCUCGGCAAUUAUUGGAUGUAUUUGGUUGAAGUUUGGAGGAGGAGUUAUCACUCCAAAUGCCAAUAAGUUUAAUGCCUUAAUCACUCUGUAAAUGUGACGAUUUCUUGUUUCUAAUGAAUGUUGAAAUCGUUCCAUACUAUCACGUUGUAGAUGAUGCAUUCCAACAGUACGCAAAAAUAAGGCCAACUCUUCGUUAACAGAUACCCGAGCGUAUUUCGACAAUAUUAAGUGGCCUCGACUUGUCAAUGUAUGAAGCAAGGACAUGAAAGUUGGUUUGUUCAUCCGACAAUUAUCGUAAAACCUUCCGUCGUGGUCGUGUAGUAUCUCACCUACCCAAUCAUUUCCACGAAGCAUAGACGUAUUACGUGGAACCCGAGUAGGAAAAAAAUACGGUAUCACAACUUCCAUUAUCAACUUAUACACUUGAGAUUCAUUACUGAAUUAUUCAUCUGAAUUAUUUGUUGGACUUCGUGGGCUACUUGGGCUACCUUCACUCCCAGUAGACAUUUUCCUUCAUAAAAUAAUGAUAAAAUUCAAGAAGAAAAUAUGAAUAAUGCAUAAAUAUAAGAACAUAAACAAACAAUGAAUUAAAAUAGAAAAUAACGUUAAGAAUACACAGGCUAAAAAUACUCAUACAAUCCAAUGAUUAAAACAAUACUUGAAAAAUUGUUUAAUCGACCCUAAUUAAAAAAAACCCUUCAACCCAACACUCUUGAAGCCAUCACCUUGCACUCAUCACCGCUACAAAGAAUUCAAUCAAACCAGUCUAUCCUCACCAUCCAUGGUCAUAAACAAACUCCUCAUUGUCACAAUUUAAAUUUCUAUUAAAGCCCUCAUACGACGCAAUGAAUUUGUACCAGUAAGCCUCUUGAUGGAACUAUAACAUUCAUCCAUUUGGUCAUUACAAGUCACUUGCCAACUGUUUUUCUUAUCCUGCAUCUGUCCACCAAUUUGUUGCAUCACCAUGGUCAUGGAUUAUGUCUUCCCACUCUUACCCCUCUUGUAGUGCUUGUUGCUACGGUUGCUUGGUCCACAAUCGGGAUCCAUAUUAACCAUGAAGUCAGCGCUAGAUCUUUUGCCUCCAAAAUCUAUUUUAUAGAACCUCCUACAGUCUCCGUGUCAUCAUCAUCACUAUCAAUGGGUCCCUGACAUCCGGACCUUGCAUGUAAACCUGUUGCAUAAGUUCUAUAAAAUAUCUCGGUGCAAUUAUCGUAAUGGGGAAUUCUAUUACUAAGCAUCUUAGCAUAGUCUUUAUUUCCUAUUCAAUAGACAAAAGAAAAUGUUACAAGGCAAUUCAUUUUAAACUAACAAAUUUUUAAAUUGAAAAUAUAAGUAAACUACACUUACAACAAUAACUGCAGCCAGGCUUUCCGGCUCACCGGUAAUCUUCUUUGUAUGUUCAUCAAUUCCAUAUCAUGUUUAUGUGUUCAACAAUUAAUAGUACAGUUCCAUAGUGACCUUAUUCUUGUGAAUUUUUCCCGACACUGUUUGACAGUGUAGUGGAACUGGUAAUUAGUGGACUCGUUCAACUGACCAGCAUGUAUAGUCCAGAUUAGCCCCGAAAAGGUUGAGUUUAAUAAAUGUCCUUGUAGGUAAUACUCAUAGAAAUUUUGAAUUAGAAAUUCCUCAUUAGCAUAUGGCCAUUGAGCAUUUUCAGACAUGUUGUUUGUUUCUAAUUACUUAAACCUCUAUGCAUCAAAAUCAUAUAAUCGAAUAAAAUUAGUUAUAUCAAAUAGUAAGACGUAUACAGUUAAAUAAAAUAGGUAAAAGUUUGAUAAUGGUGAAAUACUUGACUAUUAAUUAGUCAAGUAUCAAGUACCACAUAUUAUCCAAUUUAUGUUACGGGUUGCCACUGUUAUGUACCUUCAAAUCAGUGCUGAAGGAAUAAAAUAUGCAAAUAAUUACGGAAAAGAUGCACAAAACAAAACAUUAACAGAGAACUUCACAAAAGACGCACUAAACUAUACAUUAAAGAGAGCAUAAACAAAAAAACAGAGCACAUGUAGAAAUCUCAGAUUAAUUAGUAUUCGACUGGUAACAUAAACAGAGUACAUGUAGAAAUAUUCGCCUGCUAAUAUUUCAAAUUAAAUUAUAUCAAGCUCCCAACAUAUCAUUCGCUCAAGUGUGGAACUUCUCCUCGAAAUCCAAAAUAAAAAAUUAUAAUUAGAAAAAUAAUUAACCAAAGACGAUUACAGAAACUCAAACACAUGUCAAAGGUCUCAUGCGGAUCUGAAAUAAUUUAGAUAUAAUAUUCUAGAUUUAGAACAAACAAGUUUUAGAAAAUUCAUAUACCAACUAGAUCGAACAAACAAAAAUAUCUUCAAGCAUCGAUUUGAAGUUUUAACGAACAACCCACAUCAUUUCGUCUACAAACCAUAACAUAAACAUCGAUUUGCAUAAAUUAAUUGAAGAACCAUUACCUGCGACUUCCUUUUCUUUGAGAAUCGAUCCAGUGGUAUAUUACUAUCAACAGAAGAAUCAACAGAAGAAGAAUGGUCGUGGGAUGCAGUUUGGGAGUCGGAGUGAACGACCACAAGUGUUUUACAGGGAGAUGAAGACAUAUAACCCUCAACAAAUGCAAUUUAUAAGCAAGUACAAAAGAGUAAGCACAAUAAAUAUAUAUAUAUAUAUAUAUAUAUAUAUAUAUAUAUAUAUAUAUAUAUAUAUAUAUAUAUAUAUAUAUAUAUAUAUAUAUAUAUAUAUAUAUAUAUAUAUAUAUAUAUAUAUAUAUAUAUAUAUAUAUAUAUAUAUAUAUAUAUAUAUAUAUAUAUAUAUAUAUAUAUAUAUAUUAGAACACAAUCUUCAAUAUACCACAACAUAAUAAAGUCAAUUAAUUGAAGAAUUGAAUUCCAUCUUGAAUAAGAUAAUAGACUUUAUCAGAAAAUGAAGAUGGGGAGAGAGGCUGGUAUCGCUGCCGACGGAGAGAGAAAGAGAUGAACUGUAGAGAGAGAGUGGGGUGGACAGAGAAAGGAAUUUGUUUUUUCCUUUUUGGAGAGAGAGAGAGAGGGGGGAAAUUUAAUUGCAAAUAAAAUAUUGGGGGACCAAGUCUGAAUAUUGGGCGGACAAUUGGAGACAAAAAUUGAAUUACUUGCCCAAAAGAAUAUGAAAAAUUGAAUUUGAAAAGCGAACCAAACAUUGUUGUAUUUCCCCGAAAUCUUGAAAACAAUAUGAGAAAUUGUCCAAACAUAGCCGAAGAAUUCUGAAUGCAACUAAUCUUAUCUAUACGACAGAUAUAUUUGAAAACUUAGAUUAACACUGUAUCUCAGGUUUAUAUGAAAUCAAAAUAACAUAACAAGACUAAAAAUCAGGCACCACAAGAAUUUCAUAUAAAAACUCACUAGUACAAAAUUCAAGAGUCACUUAAAUCUAAAGCACUCAAUGUCACAUAAAGAAGAACACCACGACCAAGAAAGGAAGACAAUCUGACAUGAUGAACGAACAAAGUGAUCCAAGACGUUUUACGAACAUUGAUUAAAACAUUCAAAGUUAGAACAAGUUGAUUAAAGAUUUGAACUUCACCCUUUGGAAUAAAAAUUAUUCACAAGUUCAUAAAAAUGUGAACAAAUAGAGAAUUUUUUGGGUGGAUUCUUUGACGGCUAGGUCUAUCCAUUAACAACUUUGUUAAAUUAAUGAGGUAUAUACUCAAAUUUAAAAUCCAUUAAUGAGCAGCAUGUGUUAAUUGUAAUUUCUUGUAGGAUGUUUUUAUCUACCAUGACCAGUAUAGAUUUUGACGUAGGUGAUACCGGAAGUCGUUUUUGGUGUUGCACAUUGCAUCUUAAUAUGUUUUAAUCAAAUGUCAAAUGUUUAAACUAGUGAAAUAAGACUGACACAAUAUUUUUUCAUGAACUUCUCGUCAUGUUAGCCCAUGAUUAAUAUGAUAAGUCAUUUGUCAAGGUCCUUGCUUGGCAAAUUAGAAGCUGGUUUGAAUAAUGAUCUUACCUUGUUUUCUUAGUUGCAUAAAUUUGUCUAUAGUUUCUGGUAUUUAUAAGAGCCUAAAAUAGUUAUCAUACAAAUUCGAAUAUAUUAGAAUGUGUUGAUUCUAUCGACAUUGUAACUAGACUGACUCAUUUUGAUUUGUACACUGGAACUUAAAGCCUCAAAAUGUUCUAGUCAUUAAAGGUCAACCAACGCCUACAAAAAUUUUAGAUAUGGGAAUCCACAUUCACUUAAUAAAGGAAGGCAUUAAGUACUUCACGUGAUAACAAUCUAUAAUUUUAUUUCUUCGAACGCUUUCAAAUAAUGAAAACAUAGAUUGAGUGAAUCCAUUCUUUUUGUUCUUUCAUCCCGUCUCAGUAGGCCGUGGUAGUUCGUGAUAGCAAUCUCAGAAAAUAAUCGUUAACAUACGACAAACUUGUGCCGCAGACUCAUUUAAUCUAAAGUGAAUUCUACUUUUCUGUAUAACCAAAGGCCAUCACUUAUUUGGAGAUUCAUUUGAGUGUGACCAUAAAAUAGUGGAUGGUUAUAUGAAAAAAAAACAUCUUGAUAUGUCAUAUAUUAGAAGCUAGAGAUUUCAUUCCUCAUAGGGAUGGCAAUUUGACCCGCCCCGAGCCGCCCGAAAUUUUCAGGUAUUACCCGCCACGAAAAUAAAUGGGGCGGGUAUGGGGAUUGAUUUUUUUUUUUUUACCGGGUACAGGGACGGAUUUGCCUAUACCUGCCACGUCGACCCGCCCUACAUUAUUUAUAUAUAUAUAUAUAUAUAUAUAUAUAUAUAAAUAUUAGCUACAAAUUGGGAAUUUUAGGUUUUGAUUAUAUAAUGAAAUAUUAGUAUUAUAAUUAAAUAUUGGUUUGUUUGUUGAAAUAAGUUUUUAUAUUAUAAUUAGAUUGCAUAUUUAUUUAUUAAAAAAAAUAGACAGCGAUUUUUACCCGCCUCGAUACUCGUGAGGAUUUUAUGGGGCGGGUGUGGGAUUCUUUUUAUAAAGUUCGGGGAUUUUGAUGGGGAUGGGGAUUUCCAUAAUGGGGCAGGUAUGGGGUUUACAAAACCCGCCCUAUACCUAUCCCAUUGUCAUCCAUAAUUCCUCAUGUACUCGAAGUUGAAACAAGUUUGAGUUAAUCUCACUAAAAUACUUGCUCGACCGGCUAUCAGGACCAUAUUUUUAUUUUGUUCCGUUUUAUUAAGUACAGUUUGUACAUAUUUAAUUCUUUUAUUUGAUUGUUAAAUAAUCCAAAUACUAUAUAAAAUAUUAAGUCAAUCUCGAUUUUGAGACGUCGAAAAUAGGUUCUUAGUUAUCCGAGGAACUAGCGAUAGACUCGAAACGGCGAAAAUGUGAUAGCCAACCAUAAGCUCUCAUUUCACCAUUUCAUGUAUUCAGCUAGCGACUCAGAUAAAUAAAAGCCUUUAUUCGACUUCCCAAGGAAAUGAUGAUUUAGGACAUCUUUAGCGUUUGGCCUAUCUAACAAUCAAACAAAAUCAAAGAUGUACAAAGUGCACUUAAUCGAAAUAAAAUGAAACUAUGGCACCAAAAACGGGUAAAACGUGUAGUUAAUGAGUAAGUAAUAAGAUCUAUAUCCCCUAGUAUAUGUUUUAUCAAAAAACUAUUUCAUACCACCAUCAACUAUUUCACCAUCACGAUUAACCUCUUAGCAAAUGAGGUAUGGCCUUGAUUCAUACAAAAACAAAUACUCACAUCAAACUAAAUGAUUAUGCAACAUAACUUUCUUAUGUUCAUGAUUAUUUUGAGUUCGUCAUCAUGAACUACCACGUGCUACUGAGGCAUAAAUCAAUGAAAAGAAAAGGAAACGCUCAUGUAUGUUUCAUUAUUUGAAAUUGUCUAGAGGAACAAAAUGGUAUUUAAUUGUCACGGAAGUUUUGUAUGAUCUCCUUAUUUAAGGGCUUAAUGAUUCUUAUAUUUUAUUUUUUUGCAUAUAUUAGUUGACCUUUAAUUACACUAACAUUUUGGGUAUUUAUGUACAAAUAUACAAAUUCAAUUGAACGUAAAUGGGUCAGUCAGAUAUCAAUGACGUUAUUAACAUAUUAUAAUAUAUUUGCAUUCUUAUGAGAUAACUAUUUUAUUUUCUUAAUUUGUUUUCUUGAAAACAAGAAAGCAAAUUAAGAUCAUUAUUCACGAAUUCAAAGUCAACUUAUAAUUCAUUUUAAGCAAAAUCUUUGACAAGAGGAAACUUAUCUACUCGAUCAUGGUCUAACAUAACAAGAACGUCAAGCUCAUGUAUACGUAACUAAUUUAUAAAUCUUAUUCAACCCCUUUAAAUAUUUGACAUUUGAUUCAAACAUAGUUCCAAUGUGCAAAUACCAAAAGAUUGUUACCAUAUUAACUACGUCAAAUAAAUACAAAUCGUAAAUAAAUAAAAAUAGUUAAAUGAAAAAACAUUCACGGCAUGUUUGUUAAUUAAUGGAUCUUGAACACGAGUAAACCUCAUUAAUAUGAACACUAUUGUAACAAUCUCUUGAAGUUUUCCAAAUCGACCAGUCUGAAUCGAUGUUUGGCCUGCCCAGUACGUCACGAAAUAAAAAUCGGAAAAUAUGAAACCAACUAAAACACGGGUUUGACCGAUAAGAAUCGGUAAACCCAGAAACCGGAUGAAGAAUUGGGUUUUCGCUUGAUAAGGUGCGUAGAUGGCCGGAUCUAUGCGAAGGGUGGUCGUGGGUGAUUAGAUCCGAGCUGUUAAGGUCGUGGAUGGACGGAUCUGAGUAGGUGACCGUGAUUCUAUUGGUGGACUGCCGGAUCUUGGGCUGAAGCAAAUAAAGAAAACAAGGAAAAAAGGAUGUGAAGAUGCAGAGGAAAAUCAAGAAAAAUAGGGGGAAAGAACGAAGAGGAUGUGCGUGAAAUGGAGCUCAGAAAGAAGAAAAAGAGGGAGUAGGGAGAGAAUGGGGACUGAGGGGUGUGACUGGUGCGUGUCAGGAGGGGAGAAAGAAGGAGUGGCGUGAAGAUAGGAGCGGACGAAAAAAACAUAAUAUGAGAGUGUGUAAAUGAAUUCUAAAUUAUUAUGAGAAAUAAUGGAAUGGAUUUGGAUUUAAAAUGAAGAAAACAGGAGGGGCAUAUUAAAAGAUAUUGAAAAAAAUCUAUUUGAAUUAUUAAAUUUAAUAAAAUAAUAACAAAAAAAAGUAUUAUAAUCGAGUCAAACUAUUCCAACCGUAGAUCAGUUGGGGACAACUUUUUUUAGGGUCAUUUUUAAAACGAGUAAAUAAAACGGGGUUGUUUAUAUAGGUGUAAAUGAAUUAGAGUAAGUCGCCGGUCUAAUUGGCGACUCCAAAUUGUUGGCUCAGUCAAUGGCGAAUUCAAAGAAAAAAUAAUAAAAUAUUGUACAGUCGCUAUUGACGGUGGCGACUUCAUACAUUUUUUGUAAUCUUUUAUUUGGUUUUUCGAUAUUUUUAGUCAUUUUUUUAUUAUUUUGUAUUUUUCAAAAAAAACAUAACUUAUUGUUAUUAAAAUAAAGCACGUAAAACUCUUUUUGUUAUUGCUUUUGUGAUAUUUAUUUUGUAUGAAUGUUUUAUUUGGUAAAACACCAUUUAUUAUUUUUUAUGUAUUUUUAAAAUUGUACACUUUUAUAUUGCAUUACUUUGAUAAAUAAGAUUUAUUAUGGUUAUAAAUAUGCAAUGAUUAAUUUAAUGCUAACAAACAAAAAUUACCUUGAUAUGUAUUUUAAUAGUAAGAUGUUAUGUUUUUUUUAUUACAAAACAAUAAGAAAUUGCUGGAAAGAAAUGAUGAAGUCGCCAUUUUUACUGGCGACUUCAUAAUAUUUUAUUAUUUUUUUCCUUAAAUUCGCCGUUGACCGAGCCGACACCUUUUGGAGUCCCCAGUUAGACCGGCGACCAACUCUAAUUCGUUUCACUUAUCAAAACAACCCCAUUUUAUUUACUAUUUUUAAAAACGACCCUACAACAAAAAUUGCCCCGCUCAGUUGGUUCCGUGUAGGGGCAUCCACAAUAUUGGUUUUUAAAUCCACUCUUCAAACCAUGGGGCCAACAUACCACAUACUCACAUUCAUCCUCCUAUAACUACUCUCUAAAAAUGAGUCUCACUUAUAAACUCUCCAAAAAUUAUUUUGUGCUCCAGUUGGUGCAUUUUGAUCAUUCCUAAAAUAGAUCUUUAAAUAUUAAAUUAUAAUAAAAUAUCCACUAUUAACAUAAAAAUUGAAAAAAUAAUUAUUUUAAACUAAUAUAUUUAAUUGAUAAAUCAUAUAUAGUUCUUGAUUAAUUUAAUUUUUAAAUAACGAUAUCUUAUCUAAUAUUUUAUAAUGUUUAAUUAUGUUGUGAGUUUCAUUAGUUUAUUUGUUUUGUCUAUUUUCAUAUACAAAUUAUUAAUUAUUAAAUGUUAUAAAUUAUUUAAAAAAACAUAAAUAUUAAAAACAUAAAAUAUGAUAGCGUACAAAUGUUGGAACGUCCCUCCAACUAUAGGCAUAAACAAAAUAAAACAAAAAUUAAGAGAAUGCAUGAAAAAUAAUUAUUGGAAUCCGUAAAUGUUGACUUAUUUUUUCGUUCACGACAUAAGAUUUCUCUUUCUUGUUCAAGGAUCCAAGUUUAUUAAUCAAUAAUCCAUUUUUUCCCUUAAGUGUAGGUGUUGACUCGGGAUUCAUUAUCAUUACGUAUUUCUCAAAUCUUUUCUUUUCUUGUUCUUGCAUUGCUAUAAUUAUUAUCUGAUCGGUUUCUUUUUUAGCGUGUAGCUACAUUUGUUUUGCUUCCAUUUUGGCUUGUAACUUUUGUUGUUCUCUUGCAGUUAUUCUAAUGGCUUCUUCUUCGAACUGACUUGAAGCUUGUUUUCUCAUACUAGAAACUCCUCUACAAAUAGGUCUAUGGAAGGAAAAAAAUUAUGCUUUCUAGGACCUUAUACAGUUUUGAGACCAGUAGGACGUGCUAGUCUAGUUGAACCGUGAUUAGAUAGUUCAUCUUCAUUAUCGGGACUAACUGUGGUUGGAGUCGUAGUAGGGGUAGAUUGCUCAGUUGAUGGAGAUGUGCAUUAGAAGACUCUCCCACGUCAUUUUAUCUAAAUUAAUAUCUGUCAUUUUUCUUUGAGAAGUCUUUUUUUGUUUUCCUCGUUAGUCGUUGACAUGAUGGUACCAUUUCUAAGCGUCCUUCAGAAUAAGCCAACAAGUAUCCCAUUUAAAAUGAUGAUUUUUAUUAUCGAAAUAUAAAUUCUUCGCUGCCCCCAUCUAUAGAUAAAACUUGAAAUAUAAAUGUAAAUACUUGACUUAAAUGUAUAUAUAUAUAUAUAUAUAUAUAUAUAUAUAUAUAUAUAUAUAUAUAUAUACUGUUCACAAGGAGAUAGUAAUCCCAGGCCUAAAGGAAGCAAGGUGAGGAUAGAAGAAGGCAACCUGCCACCAAGUAAGCCCCUCUUUCUCCUUGUCGGUCUAAUUAGUCUUAGAUAUUCUAUCAGGCUUGACUAGACCUACAAGAGUCGGCUACUUAGCUUAGACGGACACAAUUUCGGACCUUUGUAUUGUGGAGAUAUAUGUACAUAUCUUUAUUGAAUCUUUGUUGCCCGAUUCUUCGAAGGCGGGUCAACCUCAGGAAUCCCAGGGGGCCAAUCCCUACUUUCAUGUUUGAUCCUCUUUCUGGUUCAUCCCACGACGCUAGAACGGGUUCAGUGGCCGCUCCUGCUUGACCUCAGAUUAUGUCUUUCGCAACGUCAAGUAAUUGGAUAAUCUCGACAGCUGGCGCAUCUGUUCUGGUCUCUUCUUUUUCCGUUUAUUUCUAUUUCUAUCCCGGUUAGAUCAUGGGAUGACUCCUCGAAUCCUUUGCUUUAUUUCAUCUCUCUGACAAUGGGCUUUUGCCAAUCAAUAUCUUCUGACUUUCUCAAAUGAAGGUCGUCUUCGGAUUUGACUUGACUUGCUGGGUCCCUUCCUCAGUCAAAGACUGGGGCCAGAUUAGUAAUCUAUCAAUCCACCGUGGCUUUCUUUCUCCAACUUCUUAGCCCCGAUCUUGGGGAUUUCCUAGUGACCAAAUUGAUAUUUCCGUGAGUGGUAGAAAGCAACGUGCGACUUGAAGGACACGAUCCAUUGUGGAUUUUUACAUCCAUCAUUUUCCAUUUGUCUAGGAAUGAGGGUGCCCUUGACUCGACAUUGUUUGUUCUAUUACACUUAAGCCCUUCAUUUUUUUUGGGUUGUAAAUAGUCCACGAUGGAGCUCGAGUAGAAAGGAUUAAUUCAUUUCUCGGGGGCAAGGAUCUAGGGUUAAUGCCAAUC
This 89436-nucleotide long non-coding RNA is filed under the name Erythranthe guttata (spotted monkey flower). Its description in RNAcentral is "long non-coding RNA (EGUT_LNC000316)". Lineage: Eukaryota; Viridiplantae; Streptophyta; Magnoliopsida; Lamiales; Phrymaceae. The record is from RNAcentral.